RNAcentral lists this long non-coding RNA (90160 nucleotides) under Vigna radiata. RNAcentral's name for it is "long non-coding RNA (VRAD_LNC001308)". The stretch from base 6 to 231 matches the Rfam family "RNase MRP". Lineage: Eukaryota; Viridiplantae; Streptophyta; Magnoliopsida; Fabales; Fabaceae. The record is from RNAcentral.
ACUUUGGAUUAGGGGGAGAUGUGAUUGGGCCUAUGCUUCUAGCUGGGCUUAGGAAAGUCCCCGGGCCCGUACUGCAGAAAUGCAGGCCCUGUAAGGGGCUCACUACGAGAUGGAACUUGCGGCUGAGACAUGUGUGGAGCCUAUGCUUGUUCUGCCGUAGUAAUUGGCCAAUUUCACAGUCAUCCACAUGGUCAUCAUGACUAACAGAACGGGGCUUACUCCCUCCUAAUCAUCUUUUUUUAAUUUUUAUUUAAAUUAAUUUCUUUUAUCUUUUAUAACAUUUUAACUAAUAUUAUUGUGAUAGGUUGAUUAUAAUAAUAUUAUAUAUAUGGCAUGUAUUAUUAUUAUUAUUAUACAAUAUUGUAAUUAGUGAUAUACAAAUUAAACAUAUUUUUUAUAUAUGUAAUCGUAAUUUUUAUGUUAUUUUUUCUAUAUAUAUAAAUCUAUAAUGGUUAUAAAAAUGGUUUUGAUAAUUUAAUUAGAAAUUUUUGGAUAAUUUAAUUAGAAAAGUGAGUUAGUUGAAAUUUUAUAAAAUAUAUUAUCUAAAGGCUAUCAAAAUUAAUUAAGAUAAAAAUGGAUAUGUUUCUAAUUUAUAUUAUAUUAAAAUACAAAUCUUAAUUAUUAGAAAAAAAAAGACAGAAAAUCUCAAAAUAAGGUUUGAGUUGACAAUAUUACAUUAUUUUCUCUGUAAAGAGAAAAACCUAGAAGCUAAGUUAUUAGGAAGACUAAAAAAAUUUAAAACUAUGUGCUGAGAUAAGAGAACCUAACCUAUGUUUUGAUUUGAUUUUUAUGAUGUAAGAGGAAUUACCUCUCUUUUCUUUGUUUUGUCAUGUUUUGAGGAGAAUGAAUUGAUGUUAUUUAUUUAUUUAUUAAUUGUUUUGGAAAAGAGUGGAGCAAAUUGAAUGGAGGAUGUGGUAGGUGCGUGAACGUGAAAAUUUGAAUAUGAGAAUUGGGAAUUGGGAAAUAGAAUUGAAAAUUUCCUCCCUAUAACCUAAUUAAUAUGAAAUUGGGAAACAGAAUUGAAAUUUUGAAUUUUAUGAAUGAGAGAUAUGUUACUUGAAUUGAAAUAGAAAAAAUCGGUGUGAAACAUUAUUACGGUGAAAGUGGUGAUAAAACAUUUAAUAUUAUCAUUUGGUAAACAUUGUCUUUGGAGGUUGUGAAUGAGAAUGAGUUUUGAAAAACAUUGUGCAUAUUAAUGUUAAAAUAUUAUCAAAAAAAGAUGUUGUCAAAUUAUCAUCAUCUUUAUUAUUAUUUAUUAUGUGCAUAUGCACAAGUCAAGAGACUUGUUUUGAAUACACAUUAAACCAUUCCUACUAAAAUCUCAGUUUUGAAUACACAUUAAACCAUUAUUUUUAUCUUUUUAACUACAUAGAGUUAUGGAGCAGUUACUAAUUUUGUUUCAACAUAAAGCCCAUUUAUUUUGAACCCUGUGAUGACCAGACUUUAUAUAAGGGAAUGAGUUAUUUUCAGUUUUGAUCACUAAACUUACUUCUCUAUUCAGAAAACACACCAUUUAAUUUGAGUAAGUCAAGGUUCAGAAAACAAAGUUAUCUUUGUUUGGAUUACAAAAGUUGCAAUGACAGGAGGUACGCACAUUAUUAUUUUAUUUUUUUGCUUCCGCUGUUUUUUAUCUGGAUGUGUUAUUAUGAUGUUAAUAUAACAUGUUUAGGUCAAUUUUAUACUCUGUGAAUUUUUAUAAUAUCUCUAUUGCGUUUUGUCAUUAUUUAGUUCUAUAAAUGUGGUGUAUCUCUUAUUCUCUUUUUUAUUAUUUUUCAUCACAAUGUAAUAAUACAGAUUGUGUUUCUCUUCUCCUUUUCUUCAAUACCUUACAUACAUGUUUGUAAAUUAAUUAGCAUUGCUUUCACUAGUGCAGAAUUGGUUUUUAACGUCACCCCUUAGACGUCGGACCACAAAAUAUCCAACGUAAAUUAUUAACCGGUGGCAUUUUCGUAAAUAAGUUGGCCAUAUAGACGUCCAUUAGGUAGGUCCCCGACAUCUAUAAUUUUAUAGACGUAGGGCCCCCCUAACUGUCGUCUACGGGCCUGAUAAGUAAGUGAAAAGUCAUUUUUUUUCCGCCAUAUAGACGUCUGUUCCCGCCACCCCAACGUCUAUAUACGAUUAUAGACGUCGGUCCCCUUGUAACUGACGUCUAUAUGCCUGACAGGGUAGGUGAAAAGUUGACGUAGACGUUGAUGCCCCUAGUAACCAACUUCUAAAGUCAUUUAGACGUCUAUUGUGGGAGGACCGACGUCUAUAAACAUCUGUUAUGGUGGGAAUCGACUUCUAAAUACUCAACCCAGAAAUUUAAAAAGUCACUUUUUGAUUCCAUUUAGACGUUUGAUCCCACUACUCCGAUUUCUAAAGACAUUUAGACGUUUGUUGUGGGGGGAAACCAAUGUCUAUAAACGUCUGUUAUGGGGGAACCAACUUCUAAAUGUCUGUAUUAAAACACUACGAACGCGAGGCAGCAGUUACGCGUACUCACUGUUCAUCAUCUUCCUCACAUUUUCUCUUCACGGGCUACGUUUUCCAGGUUCGUUUUCUCACUUUUACACCGUUUAAAAUUAAUUUUACUCCGAUUACAUUACUCUUUGAUGAAUUAUCUUUCAUUUGAACCGAUUAAAAUACAUUUUCAUUGUGUUUUGGUGCAGUUUUGCUUGUGUCCUUGAGCGGCAAUUUCUUGUAUUUUGAACUCUUCGAAUUCCCUCUACUACAUUUUUAAAACCAUCCAAUACAAAAAAAAAACAUACAAUUAAUUUUCUUCAACUAAAAUAUAAAGUUGUAAACUCGAAUCCCCAUGAGCCAACAGUAACCCAAGAGGCCUCAAGUAGAGAAAGAUUCAAUUAAAUACGGCUACGUUUUAGACAUUUGACUUAUAUAGUCUGACUUCUAUAUAGACGUCUGACCUAUAUAAUUCGACGUCUAUAUAGAUCUCUGACCUAUAGAGUCCAACGUCCCAUUAAUGUCAACCACAAAGACGUCGGUUCGAGAUUUGACGUUAAAAACAAAAAAUAAUAAAUGUCUAAAACUUUUUUGCAGUAUUAUUUUUUGUUUUUAAGUACGUUCACGAGCCACUUAAUCUACUUUUACUCCUAAUUUCAGGAGAAUAUAAUACCGGUACAAAAACAAAGAAAAAAAUGCACAAAAAAAACCUUUUAGAAAUAUAAAAAAUUAAUAAUGUUUCAAAAAUCAAGCUAGCAAGAUAUUUAUGAAAUUCUUUUAUUAAAAAUAAUAAAAUAUUAAAUAUACACUAAUUUUGUCCCUACCUUCUUCACUUUAUAAAAAUAAGCUAAAGCAUCAUCUCCAACAAAUAUCACAUGAAGAUAUUGUUAUAAUUUACUGUAAAACUUGGUUUGUUACAUAAUAAACUCUCAACCUAGAAUUUUAUUGGAAUUAUAUUUUACAUUAAUUUUCAUAAAAUGCAAAGAUAAAAUAAAUAUAUAUUUAAUAUAGAACAAAACCAAUUUUUAAAAAUAAUUAAUUGAAAAUAAAAAAACAUAUUUAAUACAAUAAAUAAAUAAAAAAUAAACAUACAAUUUUAUUUAAUGUCAAGAUAUCUUGUAUCUUACAUUUAUUCCAAAGCCAAUUUUAAAGUCCUCAAACAGAUUAAGGUCUUUCUUAUGAUUUGGCUUAAGCAAAUAUUUUGUCUAUUGAGUUUGAGCUCCUUGUGGUGGAUAAUAAGGCUCGGGCAAGCAAAGUUCUUCAAUGGUUCCUUCAUCAAUGGGUGUCUUUAUAGGAUUAAGCUUGAUUUCAUACAGCUUUGGCCACAAUUUUCCAGUUACUGCAACAAAACACAUGUUACAAAUUCAAUACGAUAAACGGUAAGAACAUUAAUUUUCCAUUAUUCAUGCUUCUUAGGGAAUUCCUAGAAAGGAAAAGUAACUCAACAAUAAAAAACAUAUAAAUUGUAUUAGCAUAUUCUUUAAAUUUGAUGAGAUAAUGUUGUCCUAAAAAUAAAAUCAAUUAUAAUAUAAUAAAGAAAAUAAUAACUUAUCUAUAUAUAAAUUUAAAAUUUUAUAGUAAAGUAUAAGACUAUUAAUAUUUUCAGCAUAAAAACAUAAUAACAAAAUUUUUAAACUCUUACAAAUAAAACUAGUAUAAGUCAAGUUAAUGAAAGUACAUUUUUACUGAGAAAUAAAUAUCUGUAAUAACUACAAAUAUUUACUUUUAGGUAAGUAAAAUUAUUUAAGAGUUUGUACUAAAUAUGAAGAUAAGUGAAAUGUAUUAAAUCAAAUAGUUAGAUUUUAUCUACAUAUUAAUAAAUAUUUUUCCCUUUUUAUUUGAUUUGUUACUGUUGAUAUUUAACUCAUGUAUAACUGGACUUAUAUAUUUCUAAUAAAUUCCCCUGAUUAAUCUAGAAUGUAAUAUUUAUUAUUUUCAAUUUGAAUAAUACAAGUAUAACUUUCAUUUCACAACCCAUUUGGCAUACUUAUACAUCUAAAUAUUAUAAUAACAAAUUUCAAAUCGAUAAUUUAAUAAUUAGAAGAAAAAGAGCUUACCAAAUACACGCUUCUGCUCACCAUCCCAUGCUAUCCCAUUCAAAACAUCAUUCUCCUUAAAGAUGAAAGAUAUAUGAAUAUAAGUGCAACAAUACCAACUUUAAUUAUUAUUUUUUAUUUCGAAAAUGAAAUUAGAGUAACAUUUUGUUUUCAUAUAACAUGUUUUUAUAUAAUAGUAACAUUAUGAAAGUGCAACAUAUAUACAAUAAAUAUUAUCUCUUAAUAUCAAAAGAAUAAACUCCUUACAUUGAUCUCUCCAGCAUCUACAAGUUCCUUCCUGCGUAUAAUAGACCAAAUGUAACUUUAAACAACUAAUGAAUAAAGAAAUUUUCUGUUUUUAUAUACUUCAAUAAAUGAUUUUUUUAAACUAUUCAUUCCUAAAGUACUUGUUUUAUGUUUAAAUGGCGCUGAAAAAGAGAACAUUACUUUAAAUUUUGGAGUAGAAUCCAUCCAAGAAUUCUGCCAUCAUUGGGAGAUAUUCUCACUAUGCAAUCAGUCUACAUAAAACAAAAUGUCAAUCACAAACAAUACAAACUUAUAAAAAAUACAAAUUUAUUGAUUAAAAAAAAUAAAAAUUUGACAAUGCAUGCACUAAUAAAAAAUCACAAACAAAACCAACUUAAAAUUAUAAUGAAACAGAGAAAGACAUACCGGUAUAACAUUUGCCCAAACUUCACCAUUUAUGUAUUCUAAUUCAUUGAGAUUGUACACUUGGUGACCCUUAUAGUAGAUAACAUGUCUUGAUACAGCUGCAACAAAUAUGCCAAUGUAAAUUCCAUUAAAUACAACACAAAUUAUCAACACAAAAAUUUUGGGUAAGAGAUAUGCAUUCAUAAUAGUGAGAGAAAAAUAAUGAAACUAUUAAGAAAGUGGGUUUUAAAGUCUAACUCAACCCCACAAAGCCAGCUUGCAUGGUGAGGAUUGCACCUCACUUAUAUAUAUUAUAUUAUAAAUUGGUUCUUGCAUGGUGAGGAUUGCACCUCACUUAUAUAUAUUAUAAAUUGGUUUUAUCUCUAGUCGAUGUGAGACUUCCAACAGUGGACUUGAGCAUAACUUAAACCUUCCACAAAACCAGAAUUCAAUCUCACAAAAUCAGUUUAUAUGAUAAGGUUUGCACUGUACUUAUAUAUUAUAAACUGAUUUUAUCUCUAAUUGAUUUGAGACUUCCAACAAAAACUUUAUUUAGAUAAACAAACCUUUAAAUGUUUGAGGAUGAAGUUGAUACAACGUUGAACUGCCAUCACUUCCAAAAAACACUUUUCCAUCAGUUGCCAGACCCCACCCAUCAUUCAUAUCAUGAUUAAAUGUUCCAAUCUAUACAAUUUUUUAACUUUAACUUUUAGCAUGGAUGUUUAAAAAUCUUGGUAAGCAAUGAACAAUAGAAAAAGUAAAUGAGAUUGAAGUUAAAACAACAAACUUGGUUUGAAUUUUUAGGGUCAUAUAUUAAACCAUCUCUCCGCAACCAAGUUACUUGAUACAACCUACAUAAAGUGCAGUGGAUAAUUGUGUUAGAAUACAUCCAAAUAUCGAAUUUUAGAGUGAAAAUAAUUUACUUUUCGUUUUUAAGUCUUAGGAUUUUAGUAGGAACAUGAUAUUUGACACCAAUAAAUAAUGAAAGGGCUAAUAUAAAAAAAACAAAAAUAUCAAUUUCAAUAAAAUUUUAAAACAGCAAAUUUAUGUCUUUCUAUUUAUAUAUAUUUAUCUUACUAAUUUUUUCUUGAUCGACAUAAAUAGAAAACAAAAAUGCAAAGUGAUUAUCUUUUAAUACCUCUUAUUGAAGAGAGUUAAACCUUCCCCAAAUAAGGAAUCAUCCAUCUUAUGAAUAAUUUGAACCUGCAUGUCACAAAUAAUCAUUAAAAAAUUUAUAAUUCUCACUGAACUGCAUAACUUAAUAAAAUAUAGUAAUUUGAGAUCCAAAUCAAAUAAUAAUUGGAACAAGUGUAUAGUAACAGCUUAAGAAAUGAGUAUAUUUGUACCUUGCCACUAAGAAGAGCAACUUUUCGAACAGAUGACUGAAACAACGAAUUAGUGAAAGGUUAAAUGUAAUUUUAAAACAAUUAUUAAUUAGAAAAAAAGAAAACUGUUUUCUCUUUUAACUAAUAUUUUAAUUAUUUAUCUUUCAAAAAAUUAUUUUUUAUUUUAAAAUAAUUAACUUAUAAAUUUUAAAACAUGACUUUGGACUGCUUUUAGCUUAUUUAAUGUAUAUAAAAACUUGUUUUGUUUUAUUGAAAUUAUUUAACUAAAAAUUAGGGUUUAUCAUUAAACUGACCAAGAUUAUGCUUUAAGCUUAAUAAUUGAACUGUAAUUAAAUCCUUGAUCUACGAAUUUAUCCUUUUAAAUUCUCAUUUGAAAUCUUUUACUUUAUUUCUUAUUUCUUUUAAUUGAUGAAGUCAUUUUCAUUGCAGAAGUCAAUAGAUAAUCUCUUAGCUUGUGUUCGUUUGGGGUGAUUUACUGUAUGCGAGGAUAGAUUUGCGAUGAUUUGUUGUGUUUGUAUGUGCUGAUUUGUGAAGAAAGAAAAGCGGAGAAAAGGAAGGAUUUGCGAGAUUGUCCACUUUUUAGCAUCUCGUAAUUUUGUAAAGAUUUGCGAUGAUUUAUAAGGAAAAGCCAUCUAUGCCCCUCUACUAUUUCUAUAAUUCCAGGACAAUUUUACAGCAAGGAGUUUGGCAUGUGCCUCGCCAUGCUUUUGCAGUAGAGAACGAAGACGCUUGAUGAUGACGACUCAAGCGUAUGAAGAAGACAAGGAGAUGUAUUCGGAUCUAGUAAAAAGAGGUUUUCCAUGAAUUUGUGAAGCAAGCGUAUCUAGAUACAGGUUUCACGUAUCUGGAUCCAUGUUUUCCAUGAUUUUUCAAAGGAAGGGUAUCCGGAUACAUGUUUCGCGUAUCCGGAUCUAGGAGACAGUUUUCUUCGUCGCUGUCAAACGUACAGAUUCCCCAUGGAAGCAAUGGUGGCUUCGGGUUGAGGAGAAUGCCAGCAUAGAGACUCAGACAGAAAGUGCAGUGGAGAAAAGGAAGAGGGAAAGGAGGGAGAUGUCUGCCAUGGAAAAGAAGACAAAAGUUUGUGCGGUGCUGUAUUCAGUUGCAGCCAUUUUCAUUUCCCAAGCACGGUAUUCGAUUCCAGUGUUGGAGCAUUUCCAAGCUUCGAAGAUUCAUGGUGGAGGAAGUACAACUCGCUUGCUGACAUGAAGCUCUUCAAUGGCGACAAAUCAACAUCAUAAAAAAUAAUAAGUUUUAUUUAUAUUUUAAAUACACUACUAUUAAUUAAUAUUUCAUUUGUGAAUAAUUAAUUAAAGAAAUAAAAUAUAUAAUAUCUAAUUACAUGAUUUUAUUUUUACUUAAUUAAAUAUCCUAUUAAUAGCAAUAAUUAAAUAUCACAUUAUUAUUUUUUACUUAAAAACAAUUUUAUUUUAUUUUCAAAAUUAAUUAUUAUUUUUUUCUCUCUUAUAAAAAUUAUUUCAAUUUACUAAAUAGCUAAACUUAUUAAAAAAAUUAUUUCAAUUAAUUAAAUUACAAUUUUUAAAAUUUUAAAAAAUUAAUUUUUAUUUUUUUCUGUUAUAAACAUUUUUACAUUUAAAUAUAACAUUAACAAUUAUCAUUUUAUAUUACUUUAAUAGUUAGGAGUAUUUUGGUAAUCUUUAAUUUCUACCAAUUAAACAAAUUUUUUAAAUCUAUCAUAUCAAUCAAAUCUUACACUAAUUUUCAAAAACUUUACUUUCAAAUUCACUUCCAAUUACCCACAAAUUCACUAAAAAAACCAACAAAAAAAUUACUCUCAAAUCCACUCAAAUCAUCUCUUCCAAAUCAUCUCUCUCAAAUCCUUACAAAAGAACACAGCCGUAAUUUACUAGGUCAAAUUUCACAUCUUCCAACAUAAAUAUUUUUUAAAAUACUCAUACAUUCUUUUCAAAAGGAAAAUUCAAUCCAGAGAAUUGAUAUGGAAUGAAAUCACUUUUUGAAAUAAAAAAAAAACACUAAAAUGGAGAUAAUUUGCUAAAGAAAUAAUCUAGUGAUUGAAAAACUCUCCUUUGAUGUUUAUACUUAAAAACAUUUUAUUUUAUGAUUUUUUAAAAUACUGUUUAAAAAUCUUUAUAGUGAAUAUUAAAAAGGAUUAAACUAAUAUAUAAGAACUAAAAAUAAUUAAAUGGUGAUAAGAUAAGAAUGAAUUAAUGAAUGUUUACCUGCCCAUAAAGGCCAGUUGACUCAUAUAAGGUGUCAUUUCCAUAAUAAAGAAGGCCCUGAAAUCAAUAACAACAAUCAAAUAAAAUGUCCAAAUCAACAUUUUGGUAUUUCAUAAUUAAUAAUAACAUAAACUCUCUCUUCAACGUAAGGCUAAAUAUUCACACAAUUACUUGAAAGAUUGUCAAUUAGUUCUAUCUAUGAGAGAUUGUCAACAAAACUUUUUUUUCUCUCUCUUUUUAGUGACUUUCCUCCUCUUUCUUUCUAUUUUUUGUUCAGUCACUAAGUCUAUGUUCCUUUCAAUGGAUUUUAUUGUUGAAGCAUAUUUGGAAAGAUGGAUUUAUGGGAUUAUUUGUGUUCGUUUUCAUAAAUUUGAAAGGAAAAAAGAGUGACGAUUUACGGGAUAGAUUGUAUUUUUUAUCUCUUCUGAUGGAAAGAGAUUUGCGAUGAUUUUUAUGAAAUAUCCAUUUUAUCCCUUCCAUUUACAAGGUACAUGAUAAACUGCCUCGAAUAAACAUGGUGAUGCAGAGAACCUUAGGAGAAGUGCUCUCUUCGUUCUUUUUUACUUCAUAAUUUAUCAUCAGUUUAAUCCAUUUUUAUUGAGAUAUUAAAAUACAUUAAAUUGAAAUAAUUUUUUAAUUUAAAAUGGUUUGCUUUUUUAAUUACUUUAUUCGGUUAAAAUAUUUCAAAUACGAGUAUUGAAUAAAAUAAUACUUUAUUCUUAAAAAAAAUAUUUUAAAUAUAAUUAUAUAAUUUUACUUAAAUAUAUCUUUUUUAUUUUUGAAAAUAAUUUUGAUUUUUUUCCUCUUUAUAAUAUUUUUUUAUCAAUAAAUAUAUUAUUAAUAAAUAUAAUUUUAUAUUAUUUUUAUCAUAAAGGAUAUUUUAGUAAUUUUAAACUUCUACCAAUUAAAUAAAUUUUUUUAUCUAUCACAUCAAUCAAAUUUUACACUAAUUUUCAUAAACUUUACUCUCAAAUUCACCCUCAUUUACCUUCAAAUUCACUCAAACAAACAACACUUAAUUCAUCCUCAAAUCCCCUCAAAUCCAUCCAUUCACUCUUCCUCAAUUCCUCUCUCCCAAAAGAACACAUCCUAAAACUAGUUUUGAAAAAAAAAAUAUUGGAUAAUAUUAAAUAAAUUUUUCGCUUUAAAAAUGCUACAAACUUAAUGAAAAUACUCAUAUAACAUACUUUCUUUUAACAUACUUUCUUUUAAAGACGUAAUCAAUUAUACUUUGAUUUAUCUCUUCAAAUUCCGGAUUAUAUUAUGUUAAGAUAAUUGUAUUUUCUUUAUUAUAUGUUUCUCCUUCUUUUUUCGCAUUAUUUUUUCUCUCACGAAAUACAAUAUAAUUAGAGUUGUCAAAAUGGUUACCCGACUCGGUCUGGUCCGGCCCACGACGGGUUGAUCCCUUAGUGAAUCAACUCAAUUCGACUCAUUUAUUAGCGAGUAAAAAAAAUUUGAACACAGCUCGACCCACCACGUAUUGGCUCACUCACCCACUUAAUUAUAAUUUUUUUAAAAUAAUAAAAAAUUACAAACUUUCUAUAAUUCAAAUCUAAACAAAUUUCACUCCCAAAUUUCACUCCCAACAUGAAUAUUUAAUUAAUUUUGAAAAUAGGAAACUUAAAUAAUUUUUUCAAACAAAAAAUAAUAAUAAAUAUUUUUUUAUAAAAUUAAAAUUAAAUUUUAAUAAAAAUAAAAUAAGGUAGAUGAGUUGGUGGGCCAACCUGAUCUACCACGGAUUCAACCCGUAUGAGCCGGGUUUAAAUGAACCGGAUUGAAAUCUAACCGCAUGAAAGAAAUACAAUUUUUUCAAACAUAACCCAAUCUGAACUCGUGACAGAUUAAAUUGACCCGCAAAUUGUGAUCCAUUUAGACAGUGGUAAAGAGAAUAGGUCAUUCCUCGUCUCUUUUCACCUUACACAGCAAUACACUUACAUAGGGAUUUCAACCAUUUAAUGAGUGACUAUUAAAUUUAUUAAAAAUAUAAGACUUCCGACCAUUUCUUCUUAUUAAAGUUGUUUAACCUGAAUUAAAAUUUUCCAACCACUACAUACAGCUGAAGAAAAAAAAAUUGUAAAAUAUUAAAUUUGUCAGUAGUUAGAAAAAAAAAAUUAAAUCAAGUAUGUAAACCAAUUUCAACGCAGGACGAAGCACUAUUUUCAGUCCGCAUAUGUUAUAUGGAUUGCAGAUCAAGUUUGAACCAUACCUAAACGGAUGAGAGUAGCUCGCGUACUCACCCCCGAAGUAAAGUACAUUUUGGGUUUUGUCUCUCAGCGUACCGAAGAAGAGUUUGAAAGAUGCAAAGAAGAAAAGAGAGAAUAGAAAAAGGAUGACCUGGGUGAAGGCUUGAGGGUCGUGAGGGAAGACAUUGACGAUGGUGAAGUUGGCAUAGGAAAUUGGGUGUUCCAACGCGCAGCAACUGUUCGACGAAAGGACUGAUAAGAGAAGGAUGAGGGAGAGAAGAAGAGGAGCAGCCAUGGAAGGUGUGAGAGUGUGGUGAAAGCGUGAAAGAAGAACGCAUUUAAGGAGUUACAUGAUUGGUGCUAAUCCUAUCUCAUACACCUCAAAAGUGUAAAAUGUCGGUGUUUCUUCAAAACAAUAACUACAAGUGGGUACGCACGUUUUUUUUUUUUUUUUCUGUAUUGUUUAUAUUAAUUUAUUACAUUAAUAAAUAUUCAAGUUUUAUUUAUUAUAUUAUUAAUAAAAUAUUUUUAUAAUUAAUUUUUUAUAUUAUUAUUAGUUUUAAUUUAAUUUUAUUUAUACAAUGUUUUAAAUCAUGAUAUAUAUAUAUAUAUAUAUAUAUAUAUAUAUAUAUAUAUAUAUAUAUAUAUAUAUAUAUAUAUAUAUAUAUAUAUAUAUAUAUAUAGGUUUGUUAACGCGUGUAUGUCUGUUUUUCGGUUAUUACAUUUUAACAAUGUGUACCGGAUUAUAGGAGACAAAAAUACUCUCAUAUAUGAUGAAUUCUAAGUUUUAAAGUCAAGGAUAUCUAAAUAAUUUUCAUUCUCAAAACUAAAAAAAAAGAAACCCCCCAAACACUUACUGAGCUCUCUCAUUCCUCUCAAUCCUUCCUCUUUCAUCUCUCUCACUUCAACCUUUUCUCUGUCAUAUAUACGGUAAUCCCAAUUAAAAAAAAUUAGAAACAUAGGCGGUUAAGCAAUUUCUUACAAAAAAAAUAUUUUAUAAUGAGUUUUCAUUUUAUAAUUUUUGUCUUAUCUAAUUAGUUUAAUACCUAUUUUGGUCCCUCUUUUGGGGGAUUUGUUCAAAGUGGUCCUCCUUUUUUUUUAAAAAAAGUUCACUAAAUUUAAGCCCUACUUUUUGUAAAAAGUGUGCAAGUUAGUCCUUUUUGCUAACAAUGUUAAUUCUGCUAAUGGCAGAGCUGCCAGUUCGUUAUUAUGUGUUAAAAAAAAUUAUUAAUUGUGAUGUGGAAAUGUAAUAAAAUUAGGGUUAAAAUUAAAAUUGAAAUUAGGGUAAUUUGGAGUAAUUAGGCAAAGUGAUUUUGGUAAGAUGCAAUUGGGAUUUCCUUGCGAUUGGGAUUGGGAUUUCUUGGCGAUCUCAUCGCCAUCUCCGAUUCUAGUGUAGACCCAACUGCUGAUGGGUUCCAGAUUUUCUCCUUCUCGCGCUCUCUCUCUGUUUCGCCACCACCUCCCCUCUUCGCGCUUCGUGACAACAAACAACACCAUUUUUUUCCUUCAUCGCUCUAUCACAGCUUAACCACCUAGGGUUAAAUUAGAAAUUCAAUUUAGGGUAAUUUGGUGCUGGUAAUGUUUUGUUGUAGUUGCAGGGAUUUCGCGUUUUGGGUUGCAGGUUCGUGGUGAAGGUGGUUGCUAGCGUCAAUGGGCGACGGUGGUGGAAUGAAACUACUAUACCUUGGUUGAUAUAUGGUGCAAUGAAGGUUAGGGUUCAACGAUGGAACAAAAUUGUUGUGGGAAGGUUUUCAUGGCUGUGCGAUUUUGGCAUAUAUGCAAUUUGGACUUUGCAAAUUAAGAUUCAAUGAUGGAACAAAACCGCUGUCACGAGGUUUCCAUGAAUGGUUGUGCGAUUUUUGCAGAUCCAUGAUUUGGGUUUUUCGAAUUAGAAUUUGUGGAACAAAACUGUUGUUGCAAGGUUUCCAUGACUGCGAUUUUUGCAGAUUUACAAUUUGGACUUUGAGAAUUAGGGUUCAAUGGUGGAACAAAACAGCUAUCGCGAGGUGGAUUCACGAUUUGGUGUUAUAGAUUACCCACUCCAAAUUACCACAAACUGAAUUUCUAAUUUAACCUAACUAUAUUAAAUUCCACGUCAGAAUUUAUUAUUAUUUUUUAAACACAUAACAGUGCCAGCAAAGGAAAAACGUUACACCUCAUCAUAUAUUAGCCAGCUGGCAGUUCUGCCGUUAGCCGAAUUAACGCCGUUAGCAAAAAUGACUAACUUGCACACUUUUUACAAAAAGUAGGACUUUAGUGAAAUUUUUAAAAAAGGGAGGACCACUUUGAACACCCCCUCGAAAAGAGGGACCAAAAUAGGUAUUAAACCUAUCUAUCACAAGCAUAAUGACAUAUGAAGGAAUUAGUAAUUCGCCUGGAGAAAACCAGAAACACUCGCUAUUAAACAAUUUCUUACAAAAAAUGAUUUUAUAAUGAGUUUUCAUUUUAUAAUUUUUAUCUUAUCUAAUUUUCACAAGUAUAAUUACAUCAGAAGGAAUUGGUAAUUAACAUGAAGGUUUUUUAAGAGAUGACGAUUCAACAUCUGUAGAUGAUAAAAUUAGAGAAGUUAUUGAAGAUGAUGAAAUUGAAGAGUUCUUGAAUGAACCUUUGCUUGAAGACAAAUAUGCCAAUGACUCAACUAUUUACAAACGUUUGUUUAACGACGAUUGUAUUUAGAAAAACGUUUGUUACAUCAUAUAUGUUUUUAAAAACGUUUUUAAAUAUGAUUUGUAACUUGUUAUAUUGUAUUUAGAAAAACAAUUAAAAACUUGAUUAAAAUAAUUUAUUUUUAAAUAUUAUUUUGAAAUAUUUAAAAUUCGUAGUUACAUCAUAUAUGUUUUACAAUGGUUUAAUUAUUUUUUAUAUUUCAGUAUUUUAUUUAACGAACUAUUGUGUGUAUUAUUUGUUUAUAUGAUAUAGCAGAUCUUUUUGGUAUGGUUAUAUGUUAAAUGUUUAAGGUGCACUAAUGUUUUUCGAAAUUCUAUUGAUAUUUUGUGCAAAAGUUAUGUGAAAUUUUGUAAUGUAAUUGGUUAUGAUUAUUCUUAGUAGUAUAUUUUUCACUUACCAUUUAUGUAUAAUUUAAUAACCCAGCAUUAUUUUUUAAUACAUAAAUUUACAUAUUUGAAAUGAUCAAAUGGUAUAGAUAAAUUUACAUAUUUGAAUGUUUUUUAAUAAAUAAUGGCCUUGGUUUUGGCCCUGCUCCUAGUUGACAGGGGUACGGAGCAUUUGGCCAAAGUCUCUUUCUACUGUGGGACAUUGAGCUACGCAUGCCACCCAAGUUGGUUUUGGCACAUUAUUUAUAGAGUUGGUUUAGUUUCACUUUAAAAUUUUAAUUAAAUUUUUGAAACAUUUUUUUCACAAAAUAAAAUUUAAUAUUUUAAAUUAAAAAAAAUUAAAAAUAUAUUAAAUUAAAAAUUUAUGUGACUUAAUUCAAUAAUAAAUGAACAUUUUUUAUUUAAUAAAUAUUUAAUUAAAUUAAUAUUUUACAUAUAAUUAAGUACAUAUUAAUAUUUUAAUUUAUAAAAUAUUAUUUAUUAAAUAAAAAUAAAUAAAACAUAUUAAAAGAUUAAAAAAAAGAUAAAUUUUAAAAAAAUAUGUUAAAAAAUACAAUUAACAUAUUCAAUUUGAAUUAUUUAUAUGUAAUCGUAUUUCCAAUUCCAGUUAAUAUAUUUCUUUUAAGUUUUUUAUUAAUUUUAUAAUAUUUUUUAUUUAUUUUUGUUUAAUAAAUAAAAAUUUACAAAAUUAAAAUAUCAAUAUAUAUUUAUUUAUAUGAAAUAUGCUAAAUUAGUUUAUAUUUAUUAUAUUAAAAAACAAUUUUUUGAUUAAAUAUUUUUUUAAAUUAAAAUAUUAAAUUUUUAAUAUGUUUUUAUUAUUAUUAAUAUUAAUAUUAUUAUUAAAGUAAAAAAAGUAAAUUAAAAAAUUCUUAAUCGACGAUUAAAUGCCCAACAAAUUUUAAUUUUUUUAGGGAUAAUCAAUUAUCACACCUAAUUAUCAAUUUUUUUAAGGAUACUUUCUAACAAACACCUUCUCAAGGAAUCUCUUUUGAAGAAAAUAUAUAUCUUAUGAGUGGAGAGAUGAUUACUUUACUUUAGAUGCUAGGAUAAUGAUUUGUAACUGAUAACUAUCUAAUUUUGCAAUCUUUUAGGUGUUUAGAAGUCUAGGAUAACUUGUUUUUCUUUUUAAUUAUCUAGAAUUAGGAUGGUUUUAGGUUUUUCUUUAUAUUCUUUAGUUUUGUAUAAUUUUAGUUAAAAAUAAGUUUUUAGGAGUAUUUUUAGUUUUUGCUAAUAAUUAAAAUAUAUAUAUAUAUAUAUAUAUAUAUAUAUAUAUAUAUAUAUAUAUAUAUAUAUAUUAGAAAAUCUUUGAUAAUGAAAUCUCUCUUUUUAAUUGUUAAAUUUCCUUUUCUUUUCUUUAAUUUGGUAUUAUUAUUUUUUCUUUGAUUAGAUAUGAAAUAGAAUGGGUUGCUGCACUUAGAUUGGGUUACUGAAAUGUUGAUUGAAAUGUUGGGCCACUAUUGCAAGCUUGGCCGGAUUGGGCCUUGAUCUUUUUAUACUGUUUGAAGGAAAAAGUUGGGUGUUGCUCCCUCCACCUCCUCAACUCUUUCCAAAACUUAUUUAAUUACAAAACAAGCCUUAAGUUAAAAUUAUUUUACUUUUACCAUUUAGAUUUUAUUUUUUUAUUUUAAACCCUGAUUCUACCCUCUUUUAUUUGCACAUCACUCAAACCCACUCGUAAUUCUCUCUCUCACGGAUUUCUUUCCCAUUUUCGUUUUCUCCCUUCUUCUUUCUCCCCUUUCACUUUUAAUUUUCGUUUUCAUUUGUCAUCUCCGUUUCUUCUUCCUUUUCAUUUCUGUUUCACUGCUUCCAUUGGUCGUUGAGUGGUGGUGUGGAGCAACGUCCAGGAGCACCGUGGAGGAGCAGCACAGAGUAGAGCGAAGUUCUUUGUUUCGGCAUCCAGGUUGGUUUUCUUCACCACUGUUUUGUAUCUUUGUUUGCAUGUUAGGUAGUUUAAUUUGUUUGCUUUGAAUCUGUGUUGUGGUUGUUGUGUAAGUUGUUCGUCUGUUGUGCUGUAAACAAGGAACCUAAGGCCAAAACGGACAUGGGAUAUCCGUUUGGCCUUCAACGGAUAGCGACAUUCGUCGACGAAUAUGGGUAUCCAUUGAAGCUACUACCUCCAGACCACUUCUAAGAAGUUGCUACCUCCAAACAGAGAACCACCAACACCAACAAAAUGCACGAACAACGCAAUACGAGUGAAGGAGAAAUAGUACAGUGAAAAGAAGGAAAUGUGAUUUCUACUGGAUAAACUUUAGAUUUGUGGGUUCUAUAAAUAUCUAAGUGUAUUGUUUGUAUGUGAUUAUUGAUCACCGAAAGUCCACAUCCAUCCAAAGAUAAAGGCACCGUAAAUAAUUGGAAAGAAAAAAUGGGUACUGAAUGUUGCCAACUAAGUUUUUGUAUUAUUGUGAGAAUUAUGCACAAGUAGCUAGUGAUGUAUGAAACAUUAGGUGCAAAGAUCCACCGAAAGAUUUCUUGUUUGCUUGUAAUGAGUGGUAUUUUGGACCUUGUGUCUUCCUUAAUUAUAAAAGGGGCACACAUACAAAUGAAGAGGCAUGGUGCAGGAGAGAAGAAAUAAAGUGUGUCAGUGUUGUGUGCACCAUGUAGAAAAAGAUUAAAAAGAGUGAGUAGAAGUGAGGAGCAUCGUGUGAAGAAGAAAGAAAGUCUGUGUGCGUGCUGUGAGAACCGUGAAGAACAAAAUAGAGAGGAGGGUUGUAAUUUAAAUUAUUGAGUUUAUAUUUGUUGUAAGUUUUUCAGAUUUCAGAGUGUUGUACUUAUGUAUUCUGGAUUUCUAAACAAAAAUUGUCAGUUUAUUAAUAGAGAGUAUAUUUCCAAAAUUUUACAAUUUCGGUGUGGUGGUGUAGAGAUGAUUUUACAACAAGGACUGCAUGGGUGGGUUGGACGUUGGUGAAAAGAAUUUUUUUUACCAACUAUCUUUACCAGGUAAAAACAGGUUAAAUGAGGAAUGUGGCAGUGUAAGAAGAAGAGUAUAGUAGUGUAGAGAGAAGGGUUUCUUAUUAAUGUAAGGGUCCCGUUAUUUUGAUACCCAAUUUUUGACACAUAUUUGACACUGUCAUGUGUCAACGUCCUAUUGGGUAGUUUUUUUUUUUACUUUUUUUUUUAAAUUUGGCUUGCAAAAUGGAAAGCUUUUCAGAAAAUUUGUAUUCCAAUUCUACCCCCUCGGCUUUUUCAUUGGUUUUGUGUGACAGAUUGUCUCUCUCCCGUCGUCUCCCAUCGUGCUCUCCACUCCCCUUUUGUGUGCUCUCCAGUGCUCUGAAAUGGCAAGUUCCGGAAUGGACCUUCGUUGGACCAAAGGUUUGGGUAUUUCGUUUUAGGUUUGGGUAUUGGGGUUCUUGUGGUUUCUUGCACACGUUAUGGGUUUUGUUGAUUUGGUGUGUUAUUUUGUUUUGGACAGUUAAGUGUGCGUCAUUCAUUUUCAACUAUGUAUGUUAACACUCUCAACGAACGGUUGACAGAGGAACAACGGGAAGUCAUCUCGAAGACUCCAUUUGGUUGGUUUUUAGAGUUGCAUGGUAAAGUCAUAUUGAAUACUAAAAUUUUGCGUGAGUUAACCAAGACAUGGGUGGAUUCGAGCAACUCUUUUAUUAUUGCAGACAAGCAUUUCAAUAUCAAUGAAAAUGAUUUUUGUUCAGGAAUAUGAUUGAGUUUAGAUGGUGAAAGUAUAAACUUGAAGCAUUCUUCAGUGGGUAAUAGUAAAUGUGUUAAAUACUUAGGUCAGGAAAUUACCCAUUUGAAAUUCAUUUUCAAAUUUUUGUUGAAAAAACAUAAAAAACCCUUCCUUGUGAGGUUUUUUGUAGCUUGUACAUCUUGUUGGGGAUAUGUGAGAUUUUAUUCCCAACUCGUAGUGGACGAGUUCUUCCUAUAUUUUUUAAAAUUGUUGAUGAGUUGAGUGGUCUGAGUAAAUACUGUUGCGGCAAUUUAGUUUAUCGUUUUUUGUUAGAAAAUUUGAGUAAAGCUUCAGAUUCAUUGAAGAAAGGCAAAGCUAGAAGCAAUGUUUAUGUUGAUGGCUGUGUGUACAUGUUGCAGGUAUUGAUUUCACAACUAAAGUUUGGAAUAUUUGUUAUUUGAUUAUGAAUAAUUUUAAACAAUUACAUGUUAUAUAGGUUUGGUUUUGUGAGCAUUUCAUGGCUCCUGAAGGUGCAAUUGAGAAAGUUCCAAGGAUCUUGCACUGGAUGAAUACAAAUGUUGGAGACAACAUUGUGAAACGUGUUUUUGAGAUGGGUGUGGUAUGUGUAUGUUUUUUUUUUUUUUUACUUUUGAAUGUUAUUUUAUAUUAAUAGAUAUAAUAUAACAUAUUAUAUGUUGUUAAAUUUCAGGUUCAUGUUGUACAUGAAAUUGGUGUUGUCAAGAUUGAUGAGAAGGAUGGUAUAGAAAAAGAACCACCACCAAAAAGCUAUGAAGAGCAACGAAGAAAGAAAUUUCUUAAAAAAAACACAGGGAGAGUUUGAUGCGCACUGCAGAGGAUCAGAAAUGUGUAAUUGAAGAGCUUAAAAGGAAGGUGAAUGUCUUAGAGGCAGAGUUGGAGGCAGAGAAGGGCAGAACAACACCUAAAAGGUCAACUGCAGAUGAUAGUGUCCAAAGUGCAGGACGUCCACCACCAUUUAGUGAUGAUGCAUUUGUUUCACCUGUUGGAGUGUCGACCGAGGAAGCGGGUGGAAUGUGCAAGAAUGAAGAACGUGCAAUGUCCGCAAAUGCACCGGGUGGAAUGUCCAACAAACAAUUAGAGCUGAAGCAUUAUGUUAGGAUUGGUUCAAGAAGGUGAUUUAAGAGCCAAGCACUUAGGACACCAUACAUAGGAAAUGUAGUAGUUAGGAAGACAGAUGAGUAACUAUUGUACUAGACUUCAGUGUUAGGACAAGAAAAAGAUGGUGUAAUUAAACCUAUUUGGUUCAAUAUAUAGAACAAUAAUCUUUGUUUUAUUACAUUUAUGUAAUUACAAAAAAAUUUGUGUUUUAUUGAAUUGCUUUAUAAAUUGAAUUCCAAGUGAUAUUGUUUGUGCCCAAAAACGAAUUAAUGGUUGUGAUUUGAUGUAUAUAGUUGAAUUGGUGAACAUAAUGGUGGAAAAGAUUGCAAUGUAAUCGUUUUCACUUGGGACCACAGCUUCAGUUUUGGGUAAUCUGCUGUGAAAAUGUGUGUUGUAAUCGAUUACAAGAAGUUUGUAACUGUUUACACGAGUCUGAACAGAUAUUUGGACAUCCUGUUGAACUGAAGGAGCCACCUGUUAUAGCGUGGGGGACCACAGUGUGUUUUUAACAAAAACCAAUGAUUUAAAAUGUGUUUCAUGGUUAUGGAGUGAGGAGAAGCUUGAACCUAAUGUUCUGGGUCCCCCAACAUGUAAGGAGGGACCACCCAUGUUGACAAAGUUGUGUCAAGUGAAGUUGUUUUGUGUCUGGUGUCAAACUGAGCUUUGUAAUCGAUUACAAGCAGUUUGUAAUCGUUUACACGAGCCUGAACAGGUAUUUGGACAUCUUGUUCAAUUGAAGGAGCCACCUGUUAUAACGUGGGGGACCACAGUGUGUUUUUUACCAAAUCCAACGGUUUAAAAUGUGUUUUAUGGUUGUGGAGUGAGGAGAGCCUUCAACCGAAUGUUAUGGGGCCCCCAACAUGUAGGGAGGGACCACCCAUGUUGUCAAACUUGUGUCAAGUGAAGUUGUUUUGUCUAUGCUGUGAAAAUGUGUUUUGUAAUCGAUUACAAGGAGUUUGUAAUCGUUUACACGAGCCUAAACAAGUAUUUGGACAUCCUGUUCAACUGAAGGAGCCACCUGUUAUAACGUGGGGGACCACUGUGUGUUUUUUACCAAAUCCAAGGGUUUAAAAUGUGUUUUAUGGUUGUGGAGUGAGGAGAGCCUUCAACCUAAUGUUAUGGGCCCCCCAACAUGUAGGGAGGGACCACCCAUGUGGAGAAACUUGUGUCAAUUGAAGUUGUUUUGUGUCUGGUGUCAAACUGAGCUUUGUAAUCGAUUACAAGCAGUUUGUAAUCGUUUACAUGAGCCUGAACAGGUAUUUGGACAUCCUGUUCAACUGAAGGAGCCACCUGUUAUAACGUGGGGGACCAUUAUAUGUUUUUACCAAAUCCAAUGGUUUAAAAUCUGUUUUAUGGUUGUGGAGUGAGGAGAGGUUUCAACCUAAUGUUGUGGGCCCCCCAACAUGUAGGGAGGGACCACCCACGUGGAGAAACUUGUGUCAAGUGAAGUUGUUCUAUGUAUGUUGUUAAACUGAGCUUUGUAAUCGAUUACAAGCAGUUUGUAAUCAUUUACACUAGCUUGAACAGGUAUUUGGACAUCCUGUUCAACUGAAGGAGCCACCCUUUUAUAACGUGGGGGACCAAAGUUUGUUUUUUACCAAAUCCAACGGUUUAAAAUGUGUUUUAUGGUUGUGGAGUGAGGAGAGCCUUCAACCUAAUGUUAUGGGGCCCCCAAUAUGUAGGGAGGGACCACCCAUGUUGUCAAACUUGUGUCAAGUGAAGUUGUUUAGUCUAUGCUGUGAAAAUGUGUUUUGUAAUCGAUUACAAGGAGUUUGUAAUCUUUACACCAGCUUCAACAGGUAUUUGGACAUCCUGUUCCACUGAAGGAGCCACCUGUUAUAACGUGGGGGACCACAGUUGAUCACAGUUCAAUAUCAGUGUUCAUUGAGUGUUGAUUAGUUCCUUCAUUUGUAUUUGGUUGUAUAUAUGUCAAAUAUAAUACGUGAAACAUUAUUUAGUUCCUUCAUUUGUACUUGGUUGUAUAUAUGUGAAAUAUAGUACGCAAAGCAUUCAAACAAGAUUUAUAACUAGACUUUUAAAUUGCGAUACUUAUUUGAAGUAAUAAAAACAUUACAAUAUUCCAGUAGAAGUUCGAAAUGAAAAAAAUACAUAUAAGACCAAAUUAAAACUACGAAGUGAAAUGAUAAAAUGGGUUGGUAGGUUGCUGCAUUCUGUUGUAACUGUUACCAAGUCGUGCUUCUACAACGUCCAAUCUUGUAUCCAGGCCGUCCAAUCUUGUACCAACGUACGUUUGGAGUUGGUCAAUGCGUUGUAUGACAUCAUCUAGUGUUGUAAAAGAACUUGGUUGAUCAUUCUGUUGUACUUGUCUGCGUUCACUCUGUUGGUUGUCAACGUCGUCUUUGUGUACCCACACUCCGUGUACAUUUUGGACAUAACCAAAAGAGACUAUUUUGUCACAUCCCACCUUUUGUUUGUCCAUUAUUUCUGUCAUAGGAUCAAAAGUCAGAGGCACAUUAAAGUGUUCCAACAAUAUAGUUACCAAAUGAGGGUAAGACAUCCUUUCAUUGUCGGAUAGAGCCCUUUUCAUCCUAUUGCGGAUGACAUGUCCCCAGUUAAUCUACUUUGAAUUCAAAAGGGCCCAUAACAGUAUAAUAUCCUCGUUGGAUGCCUGACCAAUAUUUGAGUAACGUGGAAUCAAUAUUCUAGUUAGUACAUAAUGCAAUAUUCUUGGUUGCACCUUCAAACCCCAACAGUUAUUCUAGCACUCAAGUCCGCUUUUUCAUUACAAACUAGUUGCCUUGCAGUGAUGGAAUUGUACUCUUCUUUCCAGUCAUCAACAAGACGUCGUUCGUAACGAACUCCGGUACAUGGGAGGGAGGUGAGUUGUUGAAAAAGAGUUGGGCUCACUCUAAUCUUAACCUUUUUAACUUCGCUUCGAAUAACUCCCGUUUCAGAAAUUUGCGUGUUGCUAUAAAAUACUUUAACUAAUUGUGGGUAGAAGGGUUUUCUCAAAGAUACAAAUUCGCUCAAUGCUGCAUCUCGCAAAAUGUCGUAAAAUUCAAAAUUGCUUACCUCAAAGUAAUCUUCAUCCAGGUAUUUGCUUUCCAAAAUGUGUCAAUUGAAAAAAUACAUAGCAUAUUUCUCAUACUGUGUAGGCGAAGAGAACAAUUCUUGUCCUGUUGGUGGAGGAGACGAGGAUGUUGUUGGAGAUGGGGGUGGGGUAGGCGUCGGACUUCGAGGGCGACAAACACCACGGGAAGAAGCUCCCCUCUAUUUCUUCCUUGUGCGAUCAGCCAUGGAAGCCCAGUGUGUUGCGAAUGACAAGCAGGGAAUUGUGAAGGAGGAUAAUUGAAGACCUAGAGUUGUGGGCACUUAAACCUAAAGAGGGGCACGUGGGCAGUUAAACCUAAAUAGGGGAACGUGGGCAGUUAAACCCAUCUAUUCAUAUUUAUAGGAAGGCAGGAUACAAUGUAAUCGAUUACACAAUAUUGGUAAUCGAUUACAAUGCCUAUUUCCAUCACAAAAUAACACCUUAAUUAAGCUAUGUUACAGGAGGUGUUGUCAACAGUGGUAUUCAUAGGUAAAUUGACAUAGACUUUGCAAAAUAAUAAAAACACGAUUUUCAUAGCUAAAUAACAAGAACAAAGUUAUAUACAUCAAAGUAUGUUAUUAUCGAAAUUGUUAUGCACAGCCGAUAACAAAGACAAAAAUCCCGAUGCGGCCACUCCAGAUUGGUCUGAAACUUGGUAAGAUUGGGAUGCAAAAGGAAUCACUUCAGCACUUUGUAUAACAUGAGGCAUUCUUGUUUCCUAAAUCAACACAAUUACAUUUAGAAAACAUAUAAAAUUUAAGUUAAGUAAAUGGAAAUAGCACACAAAAGAAAUACUCACAGAUUAAUUCUUCUACGAAUGUUGUUGAACACUUCUUUGCUGAAGAUGUUUUUGUUUUUCUCGUCCGUUUCUCAACGUUGGACUUUAACCUGUUUGUAUGCGGUCACCCUUUCGCUUCACUGGUAAAGGGCUGCGGACAAGUACGUCAUCAUUUCCUCGUUCAGUGUUAGAUGUUGGAGAAGUAACCGGAUUUUGAUAUCUGAGUUCAUCUCCAUCACUAAUGAUGUUAGUAGUCAUGGAUGAACUGCAGCCAUAUUUAUUACCAAGUAGAUCAAGAUCCUUUUGUAACUGAUUUGAAUUAACUUCUGACUCACAAGCAACCUUCGCUAUUUCACAGAAUUUUUUACACAAUAGUUGGUAUCUUUGCAUGGUCGGUUGAAGCUUUGAGUUAGUGUAAGCUGCUCGAAUGAGCGUGUGCCUUCUACGAAUAUUUUUACUCCAAUGCCUAAGAACGUAUUUGGAUGGCACAUUGCAAACAUCUUCUUGACCAAACACCAAUAGUGCAUGGCAACAAAUGAUGCCUCUAAACUCAAAUAAGAGGCAAGAACAUUUGGUAUUGUUAGUGAGUGGAUCAAAUUCAACUGUAUAAAAUUUAUCUACACAUUUACCCUCAAACAUCCGCUCCUCUUUUAUUGUGUAAGUAUUCAUAUAAGUNUCCUUNACAGUNUUNUUGAUAAAACAAUUCAUCCUGGACCGAAAUUCUGUUUGAACCUCGUCGAACUUUUCAUGUGUGUACUCUAAUUGAAAUUGUCUUUUGAUCGGUGAUUGGGAGCCACAACCAAUCGUGGUGUUAAGGGAGGAGAAGUCAGCCUGUAUUUCUUUUUGUGCCUUCACUCUAAAGGCAUUGUCGAAUUGAACAACAAAUUGUUGUAGUGUCGUGCUUGAAUUUAAAAAUCCAUCAAAAAAUGCAUUCAUACCCUCGCUUCUUUGUGUAGUUGACAUACCCGCCCAAAAAUAACUCCUUAAGUAACAUGGAACCCGUUUUCUUCUUGCAUCAUAAAGAUCACAUAACCAAUCAUCGACAUUGACCAGUGCAAACUCACCUGAUUACCUACCAACGCACCCGCCCAAAAAUAACUCCUUAAGUAACAUGGAACCCGUUUUCUUCUUGCAUCAUAAAGAUCACAUAACCAAUCAUUUGCCUCCAAUCCAUGCUUUGUAAGUAGAUCUUCCCAUCCAUUCUCGAACUCGCUUGGCGAACCACAGUCAUAUACAAUGGCGUGUAUAUCGGUUUUAAUGGCAACAUAAUUUUUGUAGCCUUGAAAUUUUUCAGGCAACUUCUUCAUUAUGUGCCACAAACACCACCUGUGUCUUGUGUUUGGAAAAACCUCUUCAAUUGCAUUUGCCAUUGCCUUGCACUGAUCCGUUAUAAUACCAUCUUGGGCCUUAUUUCCCAUGCAUCUCAACCAAGAUUCAAACAACCACACGAAUGAUGCAGUGUCUUCGGAAGAAAGAAAUCCACAUCCAAGUAAGAUUGAGUGACCAUGGUGAUUUACGCCGACAAACGGCGCAAACGGCAUGUCAUACUUAUUUGUCAAGUAAGUCGUGUCAAAAGAAACAACAUCACCAAAUUCCUCAAACGCCGCUCUACUUCUUGCAUCUGCCCAAAGAACACUACAUAUUCUAUUCCCUUCGUCCAAUGCAAUGUCGUAGAAGAAGUCAUUGUUUAAAGCUUUCAUUGAUGAAAAGUGUUUUAAGAGGGCUUGACCAUCGUUGUCCUUACAUAAAGACUUCCUGUGUUGCACAACGUAGUUUUUUGCGUCUCGUUCAACGAAUUCCAUAUUCUCAAAUCCACCUACAUCGCUAACGAUGCUAAGGAAACUCUUAUUUAUCCUAACUCCGGCAUCGUCAUUGACUUGCAACGUGUGUUUCGCUUGCAUGCUCAAUUUUCUAUUCCCUGCAAUUAGCUUAGAUGUAUUAGGGCAUAGGUCAUGACUAUGAUGUAGUUCAACGGAUUUUAUAAACCAUUUAUUGUCCUUCUUUCCAAUGGUAAUGCUUGCUGGACAUUUAUUUGUUUGGCUUGCAAGUGUUUUCACUUCAGGCUUGAUGGAAGAUACAUAUUUCCCUUCUCUUGAACAAACUAAUCGCAAGUAGUACACAUUGUUUUCCUUAUUCUUUUUCGAAGAUCUUGUCCUCACAGCAAAUCCACAUGUGAUGGCGUAAUUUGUGUAGAAUUUCUUUGCCUCUUCCAUUGAAUCAAAACACAUAUGAAUCUUAGGCUCGUUGUCCAAACAACUUUCAUUAGGCUCAGGACUAUUUCCUGUGCACUGAGGCAGGUCAUUCAUUAUGAACACAAACUGAUCAUAAAAAGUAUAACACAUUUUUUUCAAAAUUCCAAAAUUGUCAAGUGGUAUAAAAUUUUAUUAAUUUUAAAUCAAAAAAUAUAAUUUAAUAAGUACAAAUUAUAUAAAAAAGUAGAAAUCAAAUGAAGUGGCUUCUUAAAUGUGAAAAACAUAGUCAUACCUACAAGGACCCUUAAGUGAAAUUGUUGGGGUACUCACCAAACUCCUGCCAAGGACUUUGCCUCUCCUCCUUAAAUGAACUUAAAGAACUCUUCACCAAACGCAACACCUGGGCAAUCAACACUUUGCCUUCAAUGAAGAUAGGUUGGUCGUUGAAGAAGUUAUGGAAGAAAGAGACAACGUUUUGGAGGGAAUAAGUGUGUGUAGCAAGGAAUACAAAGCAUUUGUAACUCACAUUGACUAUGAAAAGUUCUUUUCAUUUGAUAUCAUUAAGGAUGGGUGCAUUUAAUUCUGUCAUGAAAAAGUUUUUCUCUCUCCUUUCCCACAAUUAAUGAAGUUCACUUUCCAUUCCAAACAUUUAAUGCAAGGUCAUUCAAGCAAGUUAUUACACUUCUUCUUUCAUCAAUUUGUGACAUAAAGUGAGGGGCCCGUUCAUCAAGUAAUGUACCAUCAUUAAAACCAACAUCAAAUCAGUUAAACUUAUAAUAUUAUAUUUUAAUCAUAAAAAUUGUUGGGUGCAGAGAGGUCUUUAUAUAUCUCGCUCAUACCCAUCUUAUUUGGUGGAAUACUUCAAUCUAUUUGUGAGAUUAGUUACUUAUUAAUUUUCGUUAUUUUUUUUUUCAUUAAACUUGCUUUCUAUUGUUGUUGUUAUGUUCAACUGGAUUCCAUAUUGUUGCAGGUUAUCAAAGGAUUACCAUGGAUGCAUGGGAAGACCUUGUGUAAGAUGAUGAUGUCCUAGAGUCAUUUCUUAAAAAGUGUGAUGCUUCUUCGUCCCUUAUACCUGGCCCUACGGGUAAUGUUCAAGUUGCCAUCCUCAAUAGGAAAAAUCCUGAGGACCACAAAUCCACACAAGAAUUUGCUAAUGAUGUUGCUCAGGCAACAUAUGAAAGAGAUUUCAACUCCAACGCAUGGAAAUGGGAAGAAAUGUUUAUUGAACACCAUGGUACAUGACCUGUUCAUAUAAUACUGGUCAACAAUCAACUUCAACAAUAUAUUUGUUUAUGCCGCUUAUUUUGAGAAUUGCAGGUCUUGUUAAAGAGGGAAAGAUGGAGAACGUUACUCCACUUAAAGAGGCCAAAAAAUUUGAGAUCCUUCCAAUUGUUGCUUGCUUAGUAAAGGAGUGCAAGCCCACUGGUCUGGGAGACAUGUUUUUGACUGUAAAGGCAUUUUUUUUUCCAUUGAUAUUAUCUUAAAAAAUAAAUAAUAAAAUAAUAAUUCAGUCACUGUGAGAAGGACCCGUCCGCUGUCAGGAAGGCUUCAUUGCACCCUAAAGUUCUUUGAAGAUCCUCAAUUUGGAGACAAUAUUCGAGUUGGAUCCGUCAUCAUACUCAAUCUUGUAAACCAUUCAUUAAGUACUUCAUUUAAAAUUUUAUUACUGAUUACAGUUGUUGUGAUUUGUUAUUUUUUAUUUCAUAUUUAACUAGUUCUUAAUUUCCUACUGUUCUAUUAGGUGAAAUCCUUCUGUGCAUAUGGGAACAACCACUACCUCAAUAUCGUUCACCGCAACAUUGUGAAGGUUUUUCCACCUGACAUUUGUCAUCCAUCAGUUGACCUGCUGAAGGAAACGCCAAAACCUAUCAUUCGACUUCCGAUGUGGGCAGAAAACAAUGACAAUGUGGAUGCCAUCCUCCGCAAAUUUGUUCGGCCAACUGACUUACCGUCAUCAUCAUCCACAGAAGCAGACCAACCGUCAUCAUCAUCCAAACAGGCAGACAAUUAAUAGAUUAAUUUACGUAUGCUUUAAUUUAUCUUUUGUAGUGAAGGGGAAAAAUUACUUUAAUGGAGUACUGUAAUAGUAUGUUAUCAGCUCUGAGACUGGUUAUUGGAUGACUGUAAUUGUAUUCAAGUUUCAAUGUUGUUAUUGUGCACUUUUAUAAUUUAGUAAGAUCUAAUGUAAUGUUGUUAUUGUAAUCAUUGUUUUGAGAUGAAUGAAUUCACCACUAUUUAUUUUGUCAAAGCAGUCUACUUUCCUUCAAAAACACCCAAAAUGACCAGUGGUCCCCCACGUUGCCACAUGUGGCUCCUUCAGUUCAACAGGAUGUCCAAAACUGCAUUAUGGCUCGCGUAAUCGAUUACAAGCCUAUUGUAAACGAUUACAAGAGUACUUUUUGUGGCAAAUUACACUAAAACUCACCAAGGUUCAUGUCAUCACCCUAGGUGAGACCCCUCUACAUCAUGGGGUGUCCCAACCAACCAUCACAUCAAACCCUACACUCACGCUUGUACAAAAAACAAGUCAAGUUGUCUUCAAAAACACCCAAAAUGACCAGUGGUCCCCCACGUUGCCACAGGUGGCUCCUUCAGUUCAACAGGAUGUCCAAAAUUGCAUUAUGGCUCGCGUAAUCGAUUACAAGCCUAUUUUAAACGAUUACAAGAGUACUUUUUGUGGAAGAUUACAGUAAAACUCACCAAGGUUCAUGUCAUCACCCUGGGUGGGACCCCUCUACAUCAUGGGGUGUCCCAACCAUCACAUCAAACCUUAUACUCACACUUGUACCAAAAACAAGUCAAGUUGUCUUCAAAAACACCCAAAAUGACCAGUGGUCCCCCAUGUUGCCAUAGAUGGCUCCUUCAGUUCAACAGGAUGUCCAAAAUUGCAUUAUGGCUAGCGUAAUCGAUUACAAGCCUAUUGUAAACGAUUACAAGAGUGCUUUUUGUGGCAGAUUACACUAAAACCUGGACAUCAAUCAUCAAUCAACAAUUAUUUCAACAUUGCACAUAACCAAUCUUCAAAAUCAAUCGUUGUAUUGCAAUAAUCAUUUGUACAAUGUCUUCAAAUAUAUAAACGAUUACAAACACACACGCGUUAACGAUUACAACAUCCUUGUGCAUUGAACAUAAACAAGGUAGAAAUCAUAUUUCUUAUUCAUAUAAGAAUUUGUAAAAUGUGUUUCUAUAUAUUAAAAAUACAUAGUCUCCAUAAACAAUAAUGUUUUUUACAAUGUUCACUACAUUUGAACACAGGACAACUAUCCUACAAAAACCCAUACACCGAAAGCGAAUCUAGUAAUCUUAUGUUUUCGUCGUCCAGGAUUCAAUCAACUACAUAUUGCUUUCUAAAAGCAAGCAAUUCCUCCUGAAAUGAAAACAUUGAUAUUGUCAGGUCAACCCAAUCAUCAAACAAUAAUGAAAAUCAUAUUAUGACUUACAUUCGUAUACAGUGGCAUACUUUUCCCAUUGUAUUUAUCCUCUCCAUCCCAAAUUUCCAUAGCUUUUAACAUUAUAACUGCACAGUUAUGUCUGAAACAAUAUAAAGAUAACAUCAACCACUUUUGACAAAUCACAUCAUUUACAACACCAUAUUUGUAAAUUAAAGACCUAUCACAACUUACAGGUUAGGUUGGGAUGGGAUUUUUGCAUGUACAACAGACAAAGGUCCUAUACUCCCUUCCGGUCUGUUGUACAAGAUGUAAAAAAAACGAGCAAGGUUUUCAGCCUACAAAGUACAAAUUACAAUAACAGGUUAACAAUACAUUAUUAAAUUAUAGUCAAUAUCAGUAUUAAAUGAGGUAAAACAUACCACAACUGUGUCAAUCUUUCUUCGGUUUCUUAUGCCCUUCCCCAAAGAGUCAAGAACAUAUAUGGUUAAUGUGCUAAUUUUAACUACAUAGCACCACCAAUGGUAAUCAUGGCAAAAAGGAAGAAACAGCUACAAACAAACAAAAGGAAAGUAAAUACAUCAACAACAACUACAUGUCAAAUACCACCACAAACACAACGAAAAAUAAACCUCACUCACAAAGUCAGCUGUUGCAAUGUCUUGAAGUCCAAAGUGUCCGGCAUGCAAACAACUACUGUAGUUAUGAAGACUGAACACACGACGAUUUUUUGCCAUUCUCCUAAAAUCAUCGAGUAUAAGGUCCUGCGAGUAGGUUCAAAUCAAACAUACCUAACACAUUAUUCCAACAAUCAAUUAAACCAUCUCACAAACCAAUUACAAACAAAUUACCGCAUAUAAUGAACUAAAAAGAAUCUUCUUCACAACCCCAGUGGUCCUUCUCUCAAAGUGCAUAAAUACGGUAGCAGCAAAUAGCACCACCUAAACAUUCAAAAUUGAAGAAUUACUUAAAAUGAAUAUGUACAUUACAAAUCAACACAAGUUACCAAAAAACUUACCAUGUUAUCAACAUAUUGGUAAGGCGCUAAAGUCUGAAGGGAAGUUGAGUUCAGGGUCUGCCCAAUUAUUUCACAAACAAUCCUGAUAAAAAAAAAGAAUUUUUCAAUUCAAAAAAUAUGACGUUGCAACUUAAAAAAACUAAAUUAUACUUAAUUACCUUUGUGGUUGUCUAUCUCUUACGCUGGCGGCGAUGUACAGGUGGUCAGCAUUGACGCUACACCUUGGAUCACCACCAAUAGCACGCAGAGGGAUGACAACCAAUGCUUCCGGUGCAUCUGCUUGUUCGACAUCCACAUCAUUGUCAUCAAUUUCAACAAUAAUCUGAAUUUCUUUUCCGGUUACUUCAUCCAAGACAACUCCUUCACCUUCUUCAUUCAACACUUCUUCACCACCUCCACCCAAAGGUUCUCCAUCACUUCCACCAACAACUUCUUCAUUCAACACAUCUUCACCAGCUCCACCCACCCCCUUUUCAUCAGCUCCAGCAACACCUUCGCUCAACACAUCUUCAGCACCUCCACCCACACCUUGUUCUACACCUCCACCAAAACCUUGUUCAUGGAACACUUUUUCAUUGAAAAUUGGAAUUCGACGAAUUUUAAAUAGCUCAUUGGUCAAAAAAGCUAGCCUUGAAUUCAAGGCCAUCAUUUCUUCAUUGUUUUUCUUCAAUGUCUCCUCAAGCUUUGCUUCAAAGGUGCCAUCAUCGGAGCUAUCAUCAUCACCUUCCUCAACUCUACAUCGUUUUGGCAAUUGCGCUAGACCUAUCCCUCCAUCAAAAAGCUGAAAAGCAGCUUUGAUUUCGGGCAUGUCACGCACACGCUCGCCAACAUACCACUCCAACUUAAACUACAAGACAUGCAAACAAAUUAAACAGUACAUUCAAAUCAUCAAUAUUUAUACAAAACUUACAUGAAAUACUUACUUCUCCAGUCCGAAAAAUAUUAUCAAUAUUUUCAUAUGACCGUGCCUUAUAGCGGAACCAACGCAACAUAUGAGGGAAAUCCCUAUGAAUUCGAUUACCAUCCAAGGAAAAUCUCUCUACUGCCUAAGCCUACAAUAUUAAACAAAUUUUCAGUCACACAUAAAUCAAAAUGUAAAACAUUCUAUUCAUUCACUUAAACAACUACAAAGAUUUGUACCUGUAAUACAGCGACAUUGCCACUUAGACUCAGUGAGCUUCUGAUACCUCCACCCAUUAUUUUUUUCAUUCCUUUAUUCAAACUAUCAACAAGGUGUUUAUGUACACCAGUAGCCCAAUCAUAUAAACAAAGACUAUCUAGGUCAUCUAAGACUUUUGAUGGCAUAUUAACAACUAUCUUAGACUUCCUAGGAAAGAACAAGACAACCAAGCACACAAAUAUAUACAACCUACAAACAACAUCAACUUUUGUGGUUUCAUCCAAAACAAUCACAUUAAACAUGUCAACCAAGUCUUCCAAAGUUGUGCUUUUUUUAUUAAACAUUUCUCCAACCAAACCUUCUAUACAUUCAUCAAACGGGAUUUCUAAACCCCCUAUACCUAAACCAGUCGUCAUGAAAACAUCUAAAACUGUAAAAGGAACCAAUUGAUGACUCAACCUAAAGCUAACAUCAUGUCCUGUCCACCUACAUACCAUAACCUUUAAUAACUCGCAGUUAACGUCCACAACCUCACGUAGGUACACACACCACCUAAAUGGUGUCAUCGCAAUUCGUUGUACAUGGUCUUUUCUCAUAAAACGAUUCAUUUCAAUAACAAUUGAUGAAUCCAUAGAUGUACGGACCCUCCACUACAAAAGAUAGACAACAUUAUUAUUACUAACCAUAAAAAAUCACAACUAUAACUAAUACCUAAACUUCAACUUACCUUAGGGUUACCGGACGCCAUUUCAACUGCACGAUAAAUCAAUGGUACAUUAGGGUUCACAACACACAAAAACCUAAGAUAAAAAACAAUAAACUAUGGUUCCACCCAAAACAAGAAACAGAGCCACAUAGCAAAACACACCCAAAAGGCCAAACGCGAAAGAAAACGUAAAAGGGAACACACCCACAACGCCUGUAACGCCCCGGCAACUUACAAGGACUGUUGACUGCCCCCACACAUCACCACGAGACUUUCCAGUGUGCUUUGUCCUCACUCGCACACAGGUCUUUACCCACAACGCCUGUAACGCCCCGGCAACUUACAAGGACUGUUGACUGCCCCCACACAUCACCACGAGACUUUCCAGUGUGCUUUGUCCUCACUCGCACACUUUCCGGGAAAACUUCCCNNAAGGUCACCCAUNCCAGAAUUNCUCCAGGNUAANCACGCUUAACCAUGNAGUUCUUAUGGGUUNGGCUNCCGAAAAGUAAAUGCAUUUUGGUGAUAUGGGUAGNCAAAUCAAUUCCUUUAAGCUAUCCUUCAACUGUAUAGUCCCAUACCUAUACAGUCUCCCGAUCCCUCUCAUUUCGGUGUAUGUUCGAUUCGUCCAUGUGCCCCUUCCACUCGAAGCCUGCUAGGAGCCGCUCCUUGUCCGUGCCCCCUGCACCAUGCUUCUUGCACCGGUGAUCACUCCCCGCCCUCGUCAGUGCCCGGGUGUCACAUGCCCACUAGCUUCCGUCUGGUUCGUCCUCGAACCACACCGUACUGGGAGAGAACCUGGCUCUGAUACCAUCUGUAACGCCCCGGCAACUUACAGGGACUGUUGACUGCCCCCACACAUCACCACGAGACUUUCCAGUGUGCUUUGUCCUCACUCGCACACUUUCCGGGAAAACUUCCCGAAAGGUCACCCAUCCCAGAAUUACUCCAGGAUAAGCANGCUUAACCAUGGAGUUCUUAUGGGUUGGGCUACCGAAAAGUAAAUGCAUUUUGGUGAUAUGGGUAGUCAAAUCAAUUCCUUUAAGCUAUCCUUCAACUAUAUAGUCCCAUACCUAUACAGUCUCCCGAUCCCUCUCAUUCCGGUGUAUGUUCGAUUCGUCCAUGUGCCCCUUCCACUCGAAGCCUGCCAGGAGCCGCUCCUUGUCCGUGCCCCCUGCACCAUGCUUCUUGCACCGGCGAUCACUCCCCGCCCUCGUCAGUGCCCGGGUGUCACAACGCCAAACGCCAUACACACCCAAAACGCGAAAGAAAACUUACCGGUAGAGAGUCAAUGCAAAAGACCACUUUUCCUUGAGAUGACGCCUUUCGAUGAACAAAGCCACCGGAAUGGAGAGACGAAGGAUGCUCAGAAUGGAAGAGACGCGAAUGGGACAGGCGAAUGGAGAGAGGCCAAAUGGGAAAAGCGAAUGGGAGAGGAGAAUGGAGACAGGGCGAAUGGGAGAGAUGCGAAUGGGAGAAUGAGAAAGAAGAACAAUGCUCAGAAUGAAACUGAAGGAAGAUGAAAAAUGAAACCGCCAAAUUCAAUUUUCAUACCAUCAUCACAUUUCCAAUUCUACCCUUCUGUGCUUUUUCAAAUGCAAUUUUUUAAUGAGCUUCAGCCAUCCAAUACAAAUUUGACACGUCAGCCGAUGUCAAAUUUGUGUCAAAAGAUGGUGUUAAACAAACAUUUUCGUUAAUGUAAAUAGAUAAAGUUAAUAGUAAAAAAAGUUAUUUUUGUAAUUAAAUUUUAUUUUAAGAGAGUUGGGGAGGUGGAGGGAGCAAGGGUGGAGGUGAAGGAAGCAACACUCAAAAAGUUGUUAGCAUGGAAUUGGGCUGCACUAAUUGGGCUUGCGGAUUUAUUUGAAUGACACCGUUUUGGUGCGCUACUACCGCCCCUAGGAAUAGUUUGAGCUCCAGGUUCAUUUUCCAAUAGCAACCCUCGAGCAAGGUUCCAAAUGAGAGAAAACUCCUUCGUGCUAGGGCUCCUGUGCGAGAAGAGAGAAGAGAAAAGACGAACUCAUGCCCAAAUGCCACUUACCCAAUGAAGUUGAACUAGAGGAGAGUUAAAACUGACGAGGAAGAUCAAGAUGACCGGAGGGAUAAGAUGCAUUGAGAGCGAGCAAACCACAUAGGUCGUCCGAUUGAAGUAAAGUGAAGUGUCGAAGGUUUCUUCCCUUUUUCCCUUUUCCCUUUAAUUUUCACCCUAUAAAAGAGGGGUUUGUAAAUAACUUUGAGUGUGUAUCGCGAAGGGUGACAAACUCCACACAAGAGUGACGAUCUGAGUUCGCGAUUUUAGGGUUUAUGCACAUUUCGUAGUGUAGAUUUUGGAUUCUUUGGAUUUUGAUAAGGAAAUCACGGUGGUAAUAGCCUGUGGUUGACUCAGUUCCUUUCUAUCAGUGUAAUUUCCAUUUUCCUUUGAAUAAAUUUCAAUUAUACUACUCUGUUAUGGUUUCUAGUUUUGAUUUGAUGCAAUUUUAAGGUUUUCUCUUGAUUCAUUUGAGAUUUGAACUUGUUAAUUGUUUUGGAUAGUUUAGUUGAAGUUUGUUUCAAUUUCUGAUGCUUUGGAGACUUGAAUUUGUGCAAUUUACAGUUCCUUGUUAUUUUGAGUUGUUAUUUCUUUUAUGUUUCUAGUGUUAAUUUCCAACAUUUAUUUUCUUCGUCUAUUACUUUCUAAAUUUGUAUUGUGGUUGUUAGUUUUACUGUAGAUUUCAUUAGCUAGAUUUUCAUAGUCAUGAAUUUUUUUUUGCUGGUUUUGAUUGAGUGGAUAAGAAUAACUAGUUUAAGAUUUUGUAACAGAACCUCCAAAACCCCAAAGUGGGCUUGCUUAUCAUUGUCAAAAUGUAUUUUUGAAAAGCUAUUAGGAUUCACUGACUCAAUUGUAUAGUUGGACCAGUUUUAGUAUAUCUUUAUAUGUUGUUUCCAUUCUAUUUUGGUUUCAAUUGUUUAAUCUCACAUAAUCCAUUUAGUUUAUACUACUUUAUAUUUUCUUACAUUUUUUUGUACCUCUUGUUCAUUAGUUUAGGUGUUUCUUGUUAAUUUGAUUUGCAUUCUUGUUCCUGAUUCUUUUAUUUUCAACAUUCGAAUUCUGAUGCUUUGUUUUUAACUCUGUGAAUAGAUUUUAUGAAUUUAGUAUUGAGUAUUCUUUGUUUUUUGUUUUUUAAGUUUAUUCCUUGUUUCCUUUUUCAUAGUAAAGCAUAUACAUUUAGUUUAGAUUUUGUUUUGAGUAUAAACAAAUUCCAUCUCUUCAGUGCUUUAGUUUAGGUUUUAUUUCCUUAUUCUCAUUCUUCUUUUCUUUAAACAUGUAUUGUUAUUAAUUCUUUCCUUCUAAAUUUCAAUUUCAUUUCUUUUUGCCCACCUUGCUUAGUAGUAAUAAUUAGUAAAUAAAUAAUAGGAUUUCAACUUUACACUUUGAACUUAAUUUUUGCCGAGUCUUUGCAUUAAUCCUUGGUUGACCCCUAUAUUACAUUAGUGGAAAAACUGAGCUUGUUGAUCUUUUGUGCGACCAAAAAGCAUUUCAACAGUAACUCGAAUGCAAACACUAUAGGUAUAAUACUUGUUAGGUUGAUAAAGAUUGACAGUAGAAUAAUUCACUAUAUUAUAUGUUACAUUUUGGUUCCUCGUUCAACUAACUUGCACAAGCGACAAAAAAAGAUCUAAUUUUGAUGUGGACACCUUUUACUUCAAGGGACAUUAAGUGAGCUCAUCUCAUCAAACAUUGAAUGAGAAAGGCAUUACAAGACAAUGCUCCUCUACCAUAUCCCAAACUCAUUACCAAAUUUAUGGAGCAUUUUGAAGUUCCUCUUGAUAGUGAGCCUUAUGUACCAGUUAAAAGGUCUUUCAAAAUUGGGACUAGAGUUAUUUGUUCCUUUGGUUUUGUUAAAAACGUAGAUGGACUAUGAGUUCAAAAAUAAGAUUAUGCUCAGUCAAUUUAUAAUGAGAUUUGUGAUCUUCGAGCAUUUGUUGGGAAUAAAUUUUACAACAUUGAUGCUCAAGUUUCACAACUUGAAGACGACAUGGAUUAUCUACGCCAUCACUUUGAGCCACUAGGGCCCUCUUAAAUUUAAUGGUAUCAUGUUUUUAUUUUAUUAGGUUUAAUGUCACUUUAGUCUCUGUUUUUGUCCAAAAUCUCAAAUAGGUUCUCUUCUUUUUCGGGGUUUCAAUUGUGUCCUUAUUUUUGUAAAAUUGAAUCAAAUAGAGGUUUGCCGUUAAAUUGGACAAAAGGUCGUUUAAGAUUAUCUUAUGUGGCAUGCUGAGGUUAUUUUAUUACUUAAUUAUACACUUAGAUACCUUAUAAUGUGGGUACAAACCAUAAACUAAAGAUCACAUUAUCAAUAGAUACAUAAACUAUGUUACAACCUUUUUCCACUAGUAAUUGAUUACAACAUUUUUGUAAUCAAUUGCAAUGCCUUGUCAUUCAAAUUACAUAUACUGGUAAUCAAUUACAAUAAAUAUCUAAUGGAUUACACAUUGAAGUCGUGUGCCCCUAAUGAUUUUAGCACAAAAAAAUUUUAAAUUACCUACAGAUUUUUUUUUCCGAUGAAAAUAAAUUUGUCGAUAUAUUUGAAUUUCUAAUGGAUUUUACUAACAAAUUUAUUAUCGACGAAAAAAAUUUGUCGGUAAAUCUUUCGUUAAUGUGUAUUACAUUUAUUAACGGAAAAAUUUGUCGAUAAAUUUCAUCGGUAAUGUGUAUUACAUUUGCUAACGAAAAAAUUCAUCGAUAAAUCCAUAGAUAAUGCGUAUUUAACUCAUUAACGAAAAAAUCUAUCACUAAAACCUGUGGGUAAUGUAUAUUUCACUAAACUAUAGAAAAUUCGUUGGUAAAAUGAGCGAGAAUUUUCCUACCCAGUUUUCCUCUCUUUGUGCGAGAUAUAGACACUGUUUAUUUUUUUCCUCUUUCACAAGUGUUCAGCCUCUUUGUGCGAGGCAAUUAAAAGGUGUUCCCCUUCUCCUACUUCCCGAGCUUAGACCGUUGCAACUUCAAAUCAAGAUCGCCUCCAUCUCCGUUAAGUAAGGUCGUCGCCAUUCAGCAGGUCACCUCCACCUUGGUUCAACUAGGCCGCCUUUAUUCUUCCUAUUUCACGGAACGAUGCAACCACGCAUUAUCACCACCGCACACUGCCACAACCGCACACUAUCAUCAUCGCACAAUGUCAUGUUGUUUGCUCUAAGUUCAACCAAAACCAAAGUUAUCACUGUCUUUAAUGUGUUCAUUCUUUUGUAUUGGUAAAAAAAAUAAAGAAGAAAGAGAGCAGAAGAAUGAGAGCGAAAGAAAAAAAUGAACCAGAUUGCGAUAUUCAGGGACAAAAAAAAUUGUUAACAAAACUUAUUGACAACUAUUUUACUAACGAAUUUUUUGUCGUCGAUAAUUAUAAUUUAUCAACGAAUUUUACGUAUUACGGAUGAAUUUUAACCGUCGUUAAUAUCUUCUUAUAGUGAUUACGUAAUCGAUUCAACUUCUUGAAAUCCAUUACAAAUGAAAAAAUAUGUAUAGGAUAUACGAUUUCACCUUUUAAAAUUGUUCAAAACUAAACUCGUACACUUUUUACACGACUUUUUCAUUUAAAUUCGUGUAAGGUUGCCUAUAUAACCUAUAAAAGCAAUUUAAAUUUUGUUUGCCUACUUCAAUAACAAGACAAUCAGAUUUACCUAAAUCUAAAAAAAAAAAGUCAACUUUUAAAAAUAAUUUGAAAACAAAAAUACAUAUUUAAUCUAAUAAUAAAUAAAAGAUAAACAUACAAAUUUAUUUAUUUAAUGUCAAAGUAUCUUCUAUCUUACAUUUAUUCCAUAGCGAAUUUAAAAGUCAUCAACUAAGUUAAGGUCUUUGAUUUUGCUUAAGCACAUAUUUCGUCUAUUGAGUUUGAGCUCCUUGCGGUGGAUAAUAAGGCUCCGGCAAGCAAAGUUCCUUAAUGGUUCCUUCAUCAAUGGCUGUCUUUAUAGGAUUAACCUUGAUUUCAUACAACUUUGGCCACAAUUUUCCAGUUACUGCAACAAAACACAUGUUUCAAAUUCAAUACGAUAAACGGUAAGAACAUUAAUUUUCCAUUAUUCGUGCUUCUUAGGAAUUCCUAGAUGGAAAGGAAAAAGCCCACUCAACAAUAAAAAGCAUAUAAAUUGUAUUUGCAUAUUCUUUAAAUUUGAUGAGAUAAUGUUGUCAUAAAAAUAUAAUCAAUUAUAAUAUAAUAAAGAAAAUAAUAACUUAUCUAUAUAUAAAUUUAAAAUUAUAUAGUAAAUUAUAAGACUAUUAAUAUUUUUAGCAUAAAAACAUAAUAACAAAUUUUUUGAACUCUUGUUACAAAUAAAACUAGCAAUUUUCACUUUUUUUUUUCAAAAAAGUUAUAAAUCUAUAAGUCAAGUUAAUAAAAGUACAUUUUUACUGAGAAAUAAAUAUCUGUAGUAACUACAAAAAUUUACUUUUAGGUAAGUAAAAUUAUUUAAGAGUUUGUACUAAAUAUGAAGGAUAAUUGAAAUGUAUUAAAUCAAAUAGUUAGAUUUUAUCUAUAUAUUAAUAAAUAUUUUUCCCCUUUUAUUUGAUUUGUUACUAUUGAUAUUUAACUCAUGUAUAACUGGACUUAUAUAUUUCUAAUAAAUUCCCCUGAUUAAUCUAGAAUGUAAUAUUUAUUAUUUUCAAUUUGAAUAAUACAAGUAUAACUUUCAUUUCACACCCCAUUUGGCAUACUUUUUAUACAUCUAAAUGUUAGAAUAACAAAUUUCAAAUCGAUAAAUUAAUAAUUAGAAGAAAAGAACGUACCAAAUACACGCUUCUGCUCACCAUCCCAUGCUAUCCCAUUCAAAACAUCAUUCUCCUUAAAGAUGAAAGAUAUAUGAAUAUAAGUGCAACAAUACCAACUUUAAUUAUUAUUUUUUAUUUCGAAAAUGAAAUUAGAGUAACAUUUUGUUUUCAUAUAACAUGUUUUUAUAUAAUAGUAACAUUAUGAAAGUGCAACAUAUAUACAAUAAAUAUUAUCUCUUAAUAUCAAAAGAAUAAACUCCUUACAUUGAUCUCUCCAGCAUCUACAAGUUCCUUCCUGCGUAUAAUAGACCAAAUUAAGCAACUAAUGAAUAAAGAAAUUUUCUGUUUUUAUAUACUUCAAUAAAUGAUUUUUUAAACUAUUCAUUCCUAAAAUACUUAUUUUAUGUUUAAAUGGCUCUGAAAAAGAGAAACAUUACUUUAAAUUUUGGAGGAGAAUCCAUCCAAGAAUUCUGCCAUCAUUGGGAGAUAUUCUCACUAUGCAAUCAGUCUACACAAAGAAAAUGUCAAUCACAAACAAAACUAUUUCACUGUGCACUACAAAAAAUACAAAUUUAUUGAUUAGAAAAAAAUACAAAUUUGACUAUGCACCAAUAAAAAAUCACAAACAAAACAACUUAAAAUUAUAAUGAAACAGAGAAAGACAUAUACCGGUAAAACAUUUGCCCAAACUUCACCAUUUAUGUAUUCCAAUUCAUUGAGAUUGUAGACUUGGUGACCCUUAUAGUAGAUAACAUGUCUUGAUACAGCUGCAACAAUUAUGCCAAUGUAAAUUCCACUAAAUACAUCACAAAUUAUGAACACAAAAAUUUUGGGUAAGAAAUAUGCAUACAUAAAUAGUGAGAGAAAAAUAACGAAACUGUCAAGACGUGGAUUAUAGCUAAACUCAAUUCCAAAAAAUCAGACCUAAAUCUCAAAAAAUCAACUUCACAUAUAUAUUAUAAACUGACUUUAUCUUUAAUCGACGUGAAACUUUUAACAGAAUUUUUAUUUAGAUCGACAAACCUUUAAAUGUUUGAGGAUGAAGUUGAUACAACGUUGAACUGCCAUCACUUCCAAAAAGCACUUUUCCAUCCGUUGCCAGACCCCAACCAUCAUUCAUAUCAUGAUUAAAUGUUCCAAUCUAUAUACAAUUUUUUAACUUUAACUUUUAGCAUGGGUGUUUAAAAAUCUUGGUAAGCAAUGAACAAUAGAAAAAGUAAAUGAGAUUGAAGUUAAAACAACAAACUUGGUUCAAAUUUUUAGGGUCAUAUAUGAAACCAUCUUUGCGCAACCAAGUCACUUGAUACAACCUACAUAAAGUGCAGUGGAUAUAAGUGUUAGAAUACAUCCAUAUAUCGAAUUUUAGAGUGAAAAUAAUUUAUUUUUCCUUUUUAAGUCUUAGGAUUUUAGAAGGAACAAGAUAAUUGACACUGAUGAAAAAGCUAAUAUAAAAAACUAAAAUAUCAAUUUCAAUCUAAAAUUUUAAAACAACAAAUUUAUAUAUAUAUAUAUAUAUAUAUAUAUAUAUAUAUAUAUAUAUAUAUAUAUUUCUCUUACUAUUUUUUCUUAACCGCGACAUAAAUAGAAAACAAAAAUGCAACGUGAUUAUCUUUAAUACCUGUUAUUGAGGAGAGUUAAACCUUCCCCAAAUAAGGAAUCAUCCAUCUUAUGAAUAUUUUGAACCUGCAUGUCACAAAUUAUGAUUAGAAAAUUUAUAAUUCUCACUGAACUGCAUAACUUAAUAAAAUGUAGUAAUUUGAAAUAUAAAUCAACUAAUAAUUGGAACAAGUGUAUAGUAAGAGCUUAAGAAAUGAGUAUAUUUGUACCUUUCCAGUAAGAAGAGCAACUUUUCGAACAGAUGACUGAAACAACGAAUUAUUGAAAGGUUAAAUGAUAUUUUAAAACAAGUAUUAAUUAGAAAAAAAAAAGUAAAUGUUUUCUCUUUUAUCUCAUAUUUAAUAUUUUAAUUAUUUAUUUUUCAAAAAAAUUAUUUUUUAUUUUUAAAAUAAUUAACAUUUUAAAUUUUAAUUAGAACAUGACUUUGGACUUACUUUUAGCUUAUUUAAUGUAUUUAAAAACUUGUUUUGUUUUAUUAAAAUUAUUUAACUGAAAAUUAGGGUUUAUCAUUAAGCUGACAAAGAUGAUGCUUUAAGCUUAAUAAUCGAACUGUAAUUAAAUCCUUGAUCUACGAAUUUAUCCUUUUAAAUUCUCAUUUGAAAUCUUUUAUUUUAUUUCUUAUUUCUUUUAAUUUAUGAAGUCAUUUUCAUUACAGAAGUCAACUUAUAAUCUCUUAAUUUACUAGUUCAAAUUUCACAUCUUCCAACAUAAAUCUUUUUUAAAAUACUAUACAUUCUUUUCAGAAGGAAAAUUCAAUCCAAGAGUAAUUGAUAUGGAGUGAAAUCACUAUUUGAAAUAAAAAGAACUAAAAGUGAGAUAAUCCAGUGGUUGAAAAACUUUCCUUUGGUGUUUAUACUUAAAAACAUUUUAUUUUAUGAUUUAUUAAAAUACUAUUUUAAAAUAUUUAUAGUGAAUAUUAAAAAGGAUUAAACUAAUAUAAGUAAGAACUAAAAAUAAUUAAAUGGUGAUAAGAUAAGAAUGAAUUAGAGAAUGUUUACCUGCCCAUAAAGGCCAGUUGACUCAAAUAAGGUGUCAUUUCCAUAAUAAAGAAGGCCCUGAAAUCAAUAACAACAAUCAAAUAAUGUCCAAAUCAACAUUUUGGAUUUCAUAAUUAAUAAUAACAUAAACUUUUUCUUCAACAUAAGGCCAAAUAUUCACACAAUUACAUGAAAGGGUGUCAAUUAGUUCUAUCUAUGAAAAAAAAAAUAUAUUGGACAAUAUUAAAUAAAGUUUUCGCUUUAAAAAUACUAAACAUACACAAUGAAAACUUUCAAUUUGUCCACACAACUUAUUCUCAUUUAGGUUCUUUGGUUUAAGAAAAAUAAAACAUAAAAAAAUGAAGGUUUUUUAAUUUGAAAAGUAAAUAAAUAUACUUUUAAGGUUUAAUUAAAUUUUAAACUCUAUUAAGUUUUUAUUUGAUUGAGAAUGUAUACUCUUUUUGUUUUUCAAUGUGUCUUAGUUCUUUGUUUACUUUUUUAUAUUUGGGUGAUGAGAUUAUUAUGUCACUUAUUUGUUUUAAAAUGUUGAAAAAUUAAAAUAUAAGAGUUUGCAAUUAAUAGAAGAUGAUAUUGUUACUAAUAUAAAAUAAUAAGUGUUUUUUAUUAUUUUAUUUAAAACAUGUUUAAAAAGGAGAACAUCAUAUUUCUAAAUGACUUUUACGUUAUCACUUAUAUUAAUAAAAACCCGUCAUCGUUAUAAUCAUCAAUGUAACUGAAGGUCAUUAUUCAAUUAUUAUUUAAUACGUUUAAAGUGAAAAUAAUAAAUAUCUUUUGUCAUUUUACAUUAACUAUUUUUUUUUGUUUAUAUUAAUUACAAAAAAAAGUCAUAUUUUUUAAACUUGUAAAACAAAUAUAAUUAUUAUCACAUAACCUGAUUAAUAAAUUAAAAAAUCUCAAAAUAGAAUGUUUAUUUCGUCUUAUUCAAGAGACAAAUUUUUCUAAGUGGAACUCUCUCUACUAAAUAAAUAAUAAUUUUGUCUUUUUCUGAACUCUUUACUCCUUUUCUCACUCUCUCAGUGUUGGUUUUCUUAAAGAAAAUAAAAUAGUUUCUAAAAUUGGUUUAGAGAGAAAAUAUUAAUAAAUUUAUACAAUUUUUUUUUUUCUUAAAAAAAAGCUAAAAGGUCGAUGAAAAUAUUCAUCUACGUAUGAAAAGCAAAACUUUCUUUUUUUUUCUAACACAAACUAUUCUAUUAAUGUUAAAAAAAAAGUUACGAAGUCAUCACCAACUUAGAGAUGAGACAUUGAAUCGAACAGAAGAAAAAAAAGUAAAAAGUGAAAUUAUUUAAAUUUUAAAACAAUUCACAGAAUUCGAUGAGAAAUUUGUAAUAAAGACUAAAAACAUAUAUUUUAUUUUUUAAUUAUUAUAAUAAAUAAAAACAUAAAUAUUAAUAGAAAAAGUACCAACAUAAAUACUUAAGUUUUUAUAUUCAUUCCUCGUUAUAACAUACUUUCUUUUAAAGACAUAAUCAAUUAUAUGUUGAUUUCUCUCUUCAAAUUUUAGGUUAUAUUUUAUACUCUCAUUUUUGUGUAUAUACAUAUAAAGUAAAGUACAUUUUGGGUUUUGUGUCUCGGCGUACCGAAGAAGAGUUUGAAAGAUGGAAAGAAGAAAAGAGAGAAUAGAAAUAGGAUGACCUGGGUGAAGGCUUGAGGGUCGUGAGGGAAGACAUUGACGAUGGUGAAGUUGGCAUAGGAAAUUGGGUGUUCCAACGCGCAGCAACUGUUCGACGAAAGGACUGAUAAGAGAAGGAUGAGGGAGAGAAGAAGAGGAGCAGCCAUGGAAGGUGUGAGACUGUGGUGAAAGCGUGAAAGAAGAACGCAUUUAAGGAGUUACAUGAUUGGUGCUAAUCCUAUCUCAUACACCUCACAAGUGUAAAAUGUCGGUGUUUCGUCGAAACAAUUCUUACCCGUUGGUACGCACGUUUUUUUAUCUGUAUUGUUUAUAUCAAUUUAUUACAUUAAAAAAUAUUCAUACUUUAUUUAUUAUAUUAUUAAUAAAAUAUUUUUAUAAUUAACUUUUUAUAUUAUUAUUGAUUUUAAUUUUAUUUUAUUAAUAUCAUAUUUUAAAUGAUUAUAUAUAUAUAUAUAUAUAUAUAUAUAUAUAUAUAUUAUAUUAUUGUUAGCCAUAAAAAUUCUUUUAUAUCUUAAUAUUUGAGAAAAAUCAUAAGCUCGUAUGUUUACUUCAUUCUCAAACUAAUGAAAGUAAGUUAAUAUACUAUAAGAAAUUUUUAAUUUACUUAUUGAUUAUUAUAUACAAAUAAAAAUAUGUAGAUAAGUUUUUCAUUAUAUACAGAAAUUUAUUGACGAAUUUAAAUACCUAUUAAUAUGUACAGAUUUUUGCCAAAAUCAAUUACCUAAGGAUUAAAUUUGUGGGUAAAUUUGAUAUUUUGAGGCAGAAACACUUAAAUUUUUUCAGUAAACCUAACUAAUGAAAUAAAAUCUCUAAUUUUCGACUUUCGUGUUAGUUACAAGGGCUUCUCAGUUUUGAUUUUUACUCUUACUAAUUUAUUUAUAAAUUUUUGUCCAUAGAUAAUUCUUAAAUAAAAUUGUUUUACCAACAAAUCUUAAAACUUAUCUACAUAUUUUUGUUGUAAAUAAUAAUAUUUUAUUCUCGUAAUGAUAUAAUUACCAUAAAAAAAAACCAAGUAAAGACAAUAUAUAUAUAUAUAUAUAUAUAUAUAUAUAUAUAUAUAUAUAUAUAUAUUAUUAAAAAAUUCAGAAACAUGAAAUUUCUAAAAAUUCAAAUAUCCCAAAAUGUAUUGAAAGAUAAUUAGUAUAAAUAUAUACUAUAUUUUAGAUCAAAAUUCUUAAUCAUGUUAUAUAAACGCAAGCACAAAUUACAUUACUAGAAAGUUAGCACAUUAGAAGCUGAAUUAAUAUAGUAGUUGAAUGAAUAAUAUAAGAUCGUAAAACAAAAUAAUCUCAUUAAAAUAUUUAAAUCGAUCUAUGUCUAAAAACAAUGAAAAAACCCCAAAUUAUAUUCAAACACAGUUGCUAUUCAAACUCAUAAAAUGUGCUUAGUAUAAAAUGUCUCAAUAAAAAUAAGAAUAAGAAUGUAUAUAUGCACUCAAGACAUGGUUAGCACAUUAGUUGGCCAAUGAUUAGAUACAAAUUUAGUGAAACAAAAUAAUUAUUGUAAUGCAUAAUCUGUAUUAUAAAAAAUUUGAAAUGAAUAUAGCAUCAUAUAGAUCUUGGUAAAACUAUACAUGUGAAAGCAAAGUAGUUUUUACUUUUUCCUUCAAUCUUACAAACAUCCAAGACCUACAAUAAAAAAAAAAAAGGAUUUGUGUGAAAAAACCAAAAAACAAAAAGCAGUCACAUUUCUCAAUCAAAAUUUAAAAUAAAAAACAAAAACUAAAACAAUUUUGGUAAAAGGGAAGGUGGCUAAACCAAAAAUUGCCUCUUACUUACAAGAUAGAAGGAAGAAGAGAAAAGGUAAAAAAAGUGAAGUGUGGGGGAAAAGAAGAAAAAAAAAAUCAAACCAUAAUAUUUAUCAUUAAACAAUUAUUAAUAAUCAAAAUUCAUUAAUAAUUAUUAAUGAAUUUUUAUCGGUGAAAAUGUUAAUGAAUUUUUAUCCGUGGAUAAAAAUUGAUAGUUUUAGUUUGAAGCAUUAUAAAACAAAAUAAUAUUCUAUUACUGUGAUUUAUUAUCACUAAUUUUAUUUUGUGACUUUCUUCCGUAACUUUAACUAUAAUGUGAAAUGUAUGUUAAAUUAUCUUUAAUUACAGAGAAAUUCAUCGAGCAUUAACAGUUUCAACACAAAAAUCAGAGAAAAAAAAAUAAAACUCAAUUUCAGUCCAAUAGUGAUGGCAGUGGUCCCAUGCAGAAGCAGGAUUCCUCGUUUUUUGUCUUUUCUUGUUCAUGCACCUAACUUUCUUCUUCGUUUAUCUCAUUUUUUAGACAUGUGUUUUUCUAUUAUCACACCGCAUCUAUCUUACGUCUUUUCUACGCAAAUUUUUCCCACACAAUAUUCAUGGAAUGAAAUUUAUAUCUCAACAAAAAAAAAUCAAUAUAUUUGGUGGUUUGGGAUCUUUGUUUCCCAUUUUUUUUAAUGUAACUAUUUAACGUGUAUGCUACUAAUAUUAAUAUUAGAUUCGUUAUUUUUAUUUAAAAUUUCUCGACAGAAUUAGAAGUAUUUUUUCUUGUACUUGUUAUUUUCUUAUGAAAUGUUUUAUUUUGUCUUUUAUAAUGUUUAUUGUUGGAGGUUCUAUAUCGACUAGAGAUAAGACUAAAUUUUAAUAUAUAUAUAUAUAUAUAUAUAUAUAUAUAUAUAAAAGUGAGGUGUAAACCUUAUCUUACAAGUCAGUUUUGUGAAAUUGAGUUAGAUCUAAACUCACUUUAUAAUAUUUAUUUUGAAGUAACAUUGUCUUCUCUUUCAUUUCUUUUUUAUAUUAUUUAUUGUGCAGAUUACUAUAUUUUUCUAACUUUUUUAGCUAAACGUAUUUGAAUAUAAUUAAUUUAAUUUUUCAAUAAUAUUUUAUUUUAUAAUUAUUAUUUUAAAGCUAUAAAUUACUUAGAUGGAAUGACUUUAUUACUUUUCAUUUUAUAUUGAUCUAAAAAUUACAUAAUUAUUACUGUUAGUAUUCGUUAGUUAUUUAGGAAUUGCCAAGAUUUUAUUUAAGAAGAAAGGUUUAUGUAGUCGCUAUGCAGUCAAGGUAUAAUCUUUCUUGGUUUACAUUGCAACACUUAUGAAUGUAUCUUAUAAAUACAAACAAAGUCCCACAUCGAAUAAAAGAAAAAACAGAUAUAGGUUUAUAUACAUACAGAUACAUUCAUUAGUAAGGCCUCUGUGAGGGUUUGACCCAAAGUGGUUGGAUGUCCACUUCGGGUCAAAACUCUCACGCCUUUUUGUGUCUCAUUUUCAUUUGCAUUUCAUAUCUUUUCGCUUAUUAAUAUGUAUAUAAAUUCGUAUGUAAUUAUAUAAAAAAAAAAUCCAUUUAUAACUUUAUGACUAGUGAUCAAACUCAAUUGUCAAAUACUAUGAAUUUAAGAGUUUCAUACAGUUCUUAAGAAUCAAACAUAAUUGUCAAAUUACUACUAGAAAUUAAACUAAUCAAAAGAAAUCAAUAUGGUUGUUAAACUACCAUACAUGAUACAAUAAAGAAGUUUAGAAAAUUACAAUUGAUUAUCCACUUAUAGGAUAUACCAUCAGUAAUUUUCAUGAUAUCCCAAGUUUUUCAUAUGCAUUCACCAAUACAUAUAAAACAAAAAUGCAAUAAAAACAAUAAUUUUCAUCCAAGUUAGCCAAGAAAAUGGAGCAGAAUGACUAAAUAACAUCCCUCCAAACCUCCUUACACAAGCCUGCUUAGAAAGGUAGUAGAACACUGACUGUUGCAACCCUCUUUACUGUCUUUGAUUUCACAAUUGUUUUUAGACUAUGUAGUGCUCCUUCAAUGGCCCUUUUGGUCACAACUUCUUCAGGAUCGUUCACUGUAAAAUCAAUUAGUGUAGUAGUGUCAAAAAUCUCAUCACAUCCUUCAAACAAUUAUAAAAAAUUGGAUACACAAUUCAAUUUAAAGAAAAAAAAAAUCAAAGGACAUACUCAAAACUUAUCUCAAGUUCCAUAAAAUCCACUCUAAUCACAAAAGCUCAUGACCCCUGUAUGCCCUCAAAUACGAAUCAACUAUAUAUCUGAGUCCUACAAUUUCGUUUGUCUUAUAAUUAAGCAAGAAAUGGAGACCAAAAAGUUAUACUUUUAGUUAUAUAGAUCCAUUCACAAUGCAUAAAAGAUAUAGAUCCCACGUAUGUAAGGAAUUCUACUACGCAAAGACAAGCGGUAUUCCCACAACACAUGUUAUCACUUUCACAUAAAUGGACAAAAUGCAAUUAAGCAUAUUCUAUCAUACAUAUUUUAAUUGAAGAAUUAAUUGAAAGCAAUCAUGCCUUAAAAGUGAGUAUUAUAUCAUGUAAUUCUAUUAAAAAGUCAAAUCCAAUUCAGACCUGUUGCAAUGCUUUAAAAGAAAAUGUACAAAAAUAUUCAUAAGGAUCAAAUAGGAAUCCAUGAAUCACUCAUACUAUAAUAUAAAAUCAUGAUUUAAUGGCCAAAUGUAGUACCUAAUUAGGCAUUAAUUCUUCUGGUAAGUAAAGGCAUUAAAACUUACAAUCUCCUAUAAUAUAUCUUAAAAUUUAAUUAGCGUAAAUUGUUAAACAUAUUUUAAAAUAUAUUGUAAUAAUAUUAAAUGUACUUUAUUAAUUUAGUUAAAAUUUAGUCUAAAUAUAAUUUUUUUUGUAAAAUUCAUAUUAGAUGAGUUAGUUAAAUUGAUCUAAUUAAAAGUUAAUGAUGUCAUAUCGAAACAAAAACAGCACAAAAUCAAUACAAAAAAUCAUCUUGAACAAGGAUUUUAAAAUUUAAUAUAAAAGGUGUUAAAUACUAAACAAUCGCAUUUAAUAUGUUGUACUGAAUUAUAUUUUUAUGUCUGAUAUGGUAUACUGAAUUAGAUUUUUAUUUCUGAUAUAAAUGUUAAAGGAUCUUUUAAAUAACGUUUUAUUUUAGAUUUUAAUGUCAUAAAGUUAUAAUAUUCUAUUUACUUGAUACUAAUUACUUCCGGAUAUAGCUAUUGAUAUAAUAUUUUAUCCAAAAAGAAAGUAAAAAAUAAAUGUAGGUAAAUAUCUACAAUGACAAUUGGGCUAUAAUGUAUUUUUUUAUCCAUAAAAUGUUUAAAAUAUAUAUAUAUAUAUAUAUAUAUAUAUAUAUAUAUAUAUAUAUAUAUAUAUAUAUAUAUAUAUAUAAAUGUUAGCUUGUACACUCUUCAAAGAAUUUUUCUACGAUGCAAGACUGGUUCAUUAUAAAAUAACAAUGUUUUGAAAUACUCCAACACACUUUAAUCAGGUUUUGAAAUCCUAGAUUACAAUACUAUAAGGAAUUAAGGACUCUGACAUAACUCUUGCAAGAGCAGCUAUAUCACUUCUAUCUACAAAUGGGGCAGCACCUAUAUAAAGAAAGUUUGGUUUUAUUAAAUAUCCAUCACUUUUCGGUAAAGACCCUGUGAAUGAUUCUCUCCCAUUAUACAAAAGUGAAAAUCAUAUAUAUGCCAAAUUUAAAUCUCGCCAGAUGCUCACUUGUUCAUCUCUUUCAUGCCGCUUCUCUUUGACUCAUGGUGACUCUAUACCUAAGCCAACGUCACCCCCUUCUGCAUCUUCGUAACAGACGGUGUUUGCACCUUGGUCUAUGUCGCCUUCUCUAACGUCCAGAUACUAAAGUAAAAACUUGAAUUAAAGUAGUACUCAAAAAAAUGAGUGCACUUGUGGAUUUAAAAAGAGAAAAGGAAACAUAAGAGGCAUUUUUAAGGGCCAUAUGAAAAAUGAAAAAAGAAUAGAAAGCACCUCGAAUAUGAUUGUGGUUUUCACCUCAUCUAAAGUUCGGUGAGGGGGUUUCAAACGAAAUUGAUGAUAGUUUCUUUGCUACAAGGAAAGAAGCAGAAAGAAGCAAGGGUGUGAGAUGGGAGACAUGUAAGAGUUUCUUCUAUUUGAGGAGAAGGAAGAAGAAAGGGUUUAUGGGGUUUCUUUCAUUCGAAACGAAGGAAGAAGGAAGGGUGAGUAAGGGAGGGUUGAUCAGGGAUUCUUCUUUUUCAAAGUUAGAAAAAGCUCAAGGUUUUUUUCAAAGUCUAUGUAAAUAAUUUAAUUUUCUUUAAUUAUUAAUUAAUUAAAAAUCUGUAUAUAAUAUCUCAUGUAAUUACAUUUUCAUUUAUAUACGGAUUUUACAUAAGAAUAUAUUAUUGGAAAUGUUUUCGUCAAAACACGUCAAGUUAUAUACGGAUUUUACAUACGGAUAAUCCGUAUAUGAAUUUUUUUACAUUACAUACGAAAAAAUUCGUAUGUAAUUAAUCUGUAUGUAAUAUUUGUAUGUAACAUGUCCAUUACAUAUGGAUCAAAAUCCGUACGUAAUAAUUCGUAUAUAAAACGCAAUUUUUUUGUAGCGUUUUUCUUCUCUGCCUUACUUUAAUUUGUCGCUAACCUUUGUCGGUUCCCCUUUGCUCGCAGUUCUUGUUUUCACUAGAUGUCGUUAUUGGUUCUCAUUCUCGUUGGUUCCCUUUCUAGUUACAGAAGCUUGGUCGUGUUGUGGUGGCGUUGGUAGUGUUGUGACACAUUCUCUCCUUCAUCUCACGCUCAAGCUCCCAUGUUAGCUUUGCUUGUGCUGCAAUGCCUCACUCGUGUUUAGGGUUGUAGUGGAUGAUACAUUUCCUUAUUUUUGUCAAAUUGUUAUUGUCAUUGUGUGGUGGCUCACUGAUAUUGCGUUGUUGCUCUCAUUUAGGGUUUUUUGUCAUUAUUGGUAAGUUUUGAUCAAUAUUUAUUGUUGAGGAUGUUGAGUUUACUAGUAUUUACUGUUACAUUACAUUUCUUAUGAGGAAAAUUAGAUAUUGUGAGAUUCUCCAUUUCUUAGAGCUUUACGUGUAUGUGCUAUUGCAUUCAAUUUAUGUGAUUACCCUUCUAUCUUAUAGCUAAUGAGAAAACAGUGAUGCACAUGUGAUCAAUGAGUUUGAAUCCAUGCAAAUAGUGAGGCUGCAAGUGAUGUACAUGCUUUGAAUAUAUUCAAUACGUUAUUCUAACAUUAUUCAUUUUCAAUGUUUAAGGUAUUCGCAUCGUAUGAGCGUUAAGAGCAAGAAGGAUCACAUAUAUGGAUUUAUUGACCCUGAUGUCAUUUAGGCAAUUGGGAAUAAAGGUCAAAAGGUGCAAAAAAUACCUAUUAGAGACCUUUGAAAACGAAAAAAAAAAAAAAAGUCUACUUAGCACAUUAUUUGCAACAAUAAGUAUGUUUUUUUAUAAAUUAAAUUUUAUUUAUGUAAAUCUUAUUUGACACUAAUAUUGUUUGAAUCUACAAAAGUCACUGAUAAUUGCUAGUUAUUCUUCCUCAACAGUCUCUUGUGGUAUUCUUAUGUUCAUUACACAAGAAACCUAAUACAUUGACAAUUAAAUACGUAAGCUUUUUAAUAAUUUAUUUUUUGUGUACACAUAAUUUAAUUUUACUAAGUUUCAUACUAGGCAUAAAUUUCAAUGUACAUUUAACUUUUACAGAGUGGUUGAGGCUUAUUCAAAGUUGUAGGAAGAACAUUUCGUCUCUCGAAAGAAGUUGCAAUUCAUUGCAACAACUAUAAGUAUUUAAUCUUAUAUAAUAUUGAAUUACAAUUAUAAAAAUAUGAUAUUCUAUGAAUUUAACUUGCACUGCUCGUGUCAACCGAGGAGCUUUGAGUGUGAAUAUUAUGUCAUGAGACACAUGUAGAAAAUCAUAUCCACAAGUGUUGUUGAUUCAAGGAAUUUGGUAAUGUGAACAUUUUAUAGCUAACAUCUUAAGUAUUUACCACUAUAAGUUGAUUCAAAUUAUUCAUUUUUUUUAGUUUUUGUGUACAUAUUAGAAGUAUUCAUUGUUUGAUCAGGUUAGGAAGUAUUAUUUGAUGUGUAAAUAAUAGGAAGUAUUAUUUUAUUCCUUUUAUAUGUUAUUCAGACAGUUUUGAACUAUUGUGGCAUGAAUUUUAUGCAGAUUUGUAUGUGGUAGGUAACACAUACAAACCUACAAUUAAAAAAAUGAGAGAUUUUUUAUACCAGUUAAUGCUUAAAUCGGUAUAAAAAGUGACAUUUUUAUGCCGGUUAAAUAUCUAAUUGAUAUAAAAAAUGAGUCUUUUUAUACUGAUUGAGGCCUUAAUCGGUGUAAAAGGCAAAACUUAUUAUACUGUUAAUGCUUCAACUGAUAUAGAAUGUCAAACCUUUUAUACCGAUGAAUUAACUCACUAGUAUGAAAAAUCUUGAUCAUAUACAAAUUUAUCUCUCUCCCUUUCGAUACCACUUGCAUAAUCGAUAUAAAAAGUUGAAUACUUUUUAUAUCCUCUAUUUCUAUACCAGUUUGAAAACCGGUAUGAAAAGUUAUUUUUAAUCAUUAUAAAAAGGUUUUUACGCAAUAGUUAUGGUUAACUAACUUUUAUAAUGUUAAGAAAUAAACUUUGAGUCUGGCUUAAUCUUUCAAAACUAAUAUGUAAGAUGAGUUUGCACCCAUUUAUACAUUAUAAAUUAAGAUAUUAAAGGGUAGUCCGGUAGAGGUCCAAGUAGAAUAAUAGACCCAAGAAACAAUAAAUUUUGUUAGGAUAAGUUAUAACACAUUAUUAUGAUACCAUGUUAAGGAGGGUUUUAUACCUAUUUAUAUAUUGUGAAUUAUUUUAUUUCUAAUUGAUAUGAAACUUCCAACCAUAACUUAAUUAACCAGUCAUUUUCAUCAACAAAUACAAAGUCAAUUACAUGUUUUUCCAGAAAGAAUAAUCUAUUAGAUUAAUUGUAUGACGAUUAUGGUUUCUUCUCAUAGUCAUUCUUUACAAGCUACAUGAUAUGAAAUUGAUAAAUAUUGAACACACUCGUUUCUAAAAUAUAAAAUCCCUCUAUUUGAAUGAUAAGGAUUUAGAAAUAACCCUUUUAAAUAUAUUGAUGUUGUUAACACACUUUUAGAAACAUGUUAAGAAUUGACAUAAUUUAAAGUGGCGAGCACAAUACUUUUAAGCACAAUAAUUGUCUAUAUUAAGUUUCUUCAUCGCUUAGACCUGUCAAUUUGUUUUCCCUCACAUGGUUUGGUCCUGACUCACAUGGGUUAGGAUCAGAAAAAUUUAGGUUAAAAGCUCUUUUUGGUCCCAGUUUUGGUUGGGAAAAUUCGAAAUGGUCCCUGUGUUUAUUUUGUGUUCAAUUUCGUCCCAAAGAACGAAUUUUGUGUUCAAUUAAGUCCUUUUCAGUAACUCCGUUAAAAUUCUUAACGGCAACGUGUCUAGAUGUGCAACUGCUAACUGAGGUGUCAUUUCUUUGCUGACUAGGAGUCCUUUUCAGUUGGAAUUAGGAUUUUUUUAAAUUGAAUUUGUAAUUAAGGUUGUUAUUCUGGUAAUAAAAUUAAAGUUAAGUAUUUGGGAGGGAAACUUGUGAAACUUGCGAGAUUGAGAAGUGGUUGAAUUUGGGAAGAACAACUUGUGAAAGUUGAGAAGAACAACUUUGGGCUUCCACACCAGUAACGUGCUUUUCUAAGUGGAAGCAACCAUCUUUGUGAAAUCAGAUCUGCGAAAUAAGGUUUGUGUUCGUGUUCCUUCCUUUGUAGCAUAUAAAUUUCUAGGUUUUGUUGCUGAAGACUGUAAAACCCAAAAAGAAUUUGUUUCAGUGUUAGAUUUUGGAAAAGUUACAAAUUUUGUAACAAUUUUUGAAAUUUAUAUAGGGCAUUGUUGUGUAACGUAUGAUAAGUGGUUGGUAUUGGUGGAUUUUUGAGUUUGAUAUAGUGGUCACAUGUUAACAGUUACUUUUAGCAUUUCUAUAGUGGUCACAUGCCCAUAACAGUUACUUUUGUAGGGUUGCUUUUGAGAUGUCUAAGGAGAGGUUUAAUGUUGUGGUCCACCAUGGUGGGACCCUAGUAUGUCAAUAUCCUAUUGAAUAUGUUGGUGGGGAAAAGACAUAUUGGAGUGUGGACCCUGACAAAUGGAGUUAUUUCGAAGCAGUAGAUGCGGUUAAAGAAUUGGGGUAUAUUAAUGUGAGAGACAUAUUUUAUUGCAUUGAUAAUAUGCUACUUAAGUUGGAUGAUGAUAAGAGUGCAAUGAACAUGGUAGGCAUUGCCAAACAGUUAGGGGAAGUUAAGGUGUAUGUGGUUCACGGUGUGGAUAAUGACCCAGAGUUGGUUGAAAUAGAACCAAGUGAACAACAACAAGACCAAGUUCUUUUGCUGUGUCAAGGAACUUUAGGUAGGGAAGGCUUGAAUGAUAACGUCCAUAAUGAGGAGGAGAAGGAAGUACACUUGGAUGACAUGGAUGGUGAACAGAGGGAAGUGCACGUGGAGGACGAAGUUCACGUUGAAGAAGUACAUUUGGAGGAGGAGGACAUGGAUGAUGUGGAGGUGCAUGUGGAGGAAGAAGUACACGUUGAAGAUUAUACUUCAAGUGUGUCUGAUGAUUCAGGGGAUGUGCAUAGUCUUGAAGGAGAAGAGCAUGAAGCACAGCGGGAUGUUGAUGAAGGAGAAGGGGGUGAAGGAUUAGUGGAUGUUGAUGUUAAUGUUGAUGAAGUACUUAGGGACAAUAUAGAAGGGGCUGUAUCAGUGGAAGUUAGUGAAAAUGAAGAAAGUGGAAGUGAGGAUUCAGUUGAUAUUGCACAUAGCGAGAAGAACCCAUAUGAUAGAGGGUUGUCUGGUGAUGAGUGGGAGUCAGAGUUUUUGGCCAGUCCAGAUGAAAGUGGAAGUGAGGAUGAAAGCCAAAGUUGUGGUCCAUUUGGGACCUUUGUUAUGCAAAAGAGUAUGUCUGAAUACAAGUGGGAAGUGGGAACAAAAUUUAGGGAUAAAAAUGAGUUUAUGGAGGCUGUUCGAAGUUAUGCAGUCCAUGGUGGGAGAGAUUUGAAGUUUAUUAAGAAUGAUAAUAGACGGGUACGAGUGAGAUGUUUGGGUGCCCAAAAGAGUUGUCCUUGGAUGGCUUAUUGUGGGUAUAUGGAAGGAUGUAGUACAUGGCAAUUGAGAACAGUAGUGGAUAACCAUAGUUACAGUAGGCAAUUCAACAUUAAAAUGAUGAAUGCUAAGUGGUUGAGUGAGACAUUGGAUAAUUCACUGCAACAAAAUCCGAAUUUGAAGAUAAAUGAAAUACGCUCAAAAGCUUUGAGGAAAUGGAAUACGAAUGUCACACUUUCUAAAGCUCGUAGGGCAAAGAUAAUGGCACCUGAGAAACUUGAAAGUAGUUUCAAAAAUCAGUUCAAAAGAAUUCAUGAUUAUGCACAUGAAUUAUUGAAAUGUAACCCUGGUUCAAUAGUACAAGUUAAAGUGGAUAGUGGAAAUGGUCAGUCAGUUUUUCAGAGAUUCUAUGUUUGUUUGAAAGCUUGCAAGGUUAGCUUCGUGUGUUGUAGGCCAUUUAUUGGUUUGGAUGGAUGUUUUCUGAAAGGGUUGUAUAAGGGGGAGUUAUUAACAGCUAUUGGGAGAGAUCCUAAUGACCAGAUGUUACCUCUGGCAUACGCAAUUGUGGAAGUAGAGAACAAAGAUAGUUGGACAUGGUUUCUAGAGUUGUUGUUAGAAGACCUUGGGGUCCUGAAGUUGGCAAUGCAUGCACUUUUAUGUCUGAUCAACAAAAGGUACAUGCAAUUUUCUGUUCUGUUUCAUAAUAAUAAUUGUAUCAGUCAUAUUGUAUUUGGUUCCUAUUUGUAAUUAAAAUGUUCAAAUUGGUCCCUAUUUUAGAUUAUACUGUUCAAUUUUGUCUCUGUUACAAAUAGGGUUUGCUGCCAACUAUUGAACAACUUUUACCUAAGGCAAAGCAUAGAUUUUUCAUGCGACACAUGUAUGCAAAUUUUAGGAAAAAGUUCCCUGGCCAAAAGUUGAAGAAUCUAAUGUGGAAAGCUGCUGCAAGUACAUAUCCCCAAGCUUGGGAAAAAGAGAUGUUAAAUAUGAAGGAAGUGAAUGAAGAGGCUUACAAAUAUCUAAUUGUUAUCCCGCCAAGGUAUUAUUUAUUCAUUAUGAAUACAUUGAUCACUUGUAUUGUGCAUAUAACAAUGAUUUUUAUUUCUUGUAAUAGAUAUUGGUCAAGAUCUAGAUUUACAGGUAGGUCAGUUUGUGAUACACUAACCAAUAACAUGAGUGAAGGUUUUAAUAGUGUGAUUGUUGAGGCACGAGGAAAGCCCAUUAUAACCAUGCUUGAAGAAAUUAGAGUUUUCCUCAUGAAAAGAUGGACAACCAAUAGAAUAAAAACAUGUAAUAUGGACUUUGAUAUCUGCCCCAAGAUUAGAAAGAGACUUACAAAAGAGUCCAAUUUAUCGAAAAAUUGGAUCCCAAGGUAUGCAUUUCAUUUCAAUCUGAUGGUAGUCUGAUUGUGAUUAAAAUUGUGUUAUUGAUCAAAUAUUUCUGAACUUCUAUUCAUUUAUGCCUUAAUGACAGUUGGUCUGCAGAAAAAAUCUUUGAAGUUAGGCAUUAUGCACAAAUUACAAACAAGUUUGCAAUUAACCUGGACAACCAAGAUUGUACGUGCAGGAAAUGGCUUCUUACUGGGAUCCCUUGUUGCCAUGCAAUUGCAAUGAAGUUCCUAAAUUUAGAUCCAGAAAAUUAUGUACCCAUUUGGUUCAGACGGUCAACGUAUGAAGAAGCAUAUGCCUCCAUCAUAUUUCCAGUGAACGACCACCUGUUAUGGGAAAGAACACCCUACGUAGACGUCCUCCCACCAUUCAACAGAAAAUUACCUGACAGACCAAAGAAGAAAAGAAGGUUGGAGCAAUGGGAGCUAAGGAGGGAUGAGACCCAGAUGACCAAAGGUGGCCACCGCAAGAAAUGUAGUAUUUGUCGUCAAGUUGGACAUAAGAGAAAUAAAUGCCCUACUCAACAUCAAGCAGACCUACCAGGACCAUCCCAACCACCACCCCAACAACCAACUAAGGAAAUUACACAAUCAUCCCAACCACCACCCCAACAACCAACUAAGAAAAUUACACAACCAUCCCAACCACCAGCUGAGGAAAUGACACAACAAUCUGAACCACCACCAAUCAGACCCGACAAGUUACCAAUUAGAAGACAACGUGCUUUAUAAUGUUAUAAACUUGUACUUUUUUUUUUGGAAUUGGUCAGUUGUGUGGUAAACAUUAGCCACUGGAUAUGUUUUAGAUGUGCUUUAAAUUUGUUUUGGUGUCAAACAUUAAGCACUUAAUUUGUUGGAAUUGGUCACUUGAUAUGCAUGUAAUGAUUACCUUGGUUCUGUUUAUGCAAAGUUAUCAUUUUAAUGCUUUAUACAAUUUGAAUCAUGUUGUGUUUUAUUGCUUUAUCAACACAUCAGUCGUCAACAUAGGGACCACAUUUAUAACUGAUAAACAAAAACUAGGACUAAAUUGAACAAUUACUUACUAAAUAAUUAAAAUUUCAUUCCUUCAUUUAGUACAAAAAAAUAGCCACAACCUAAACAUCACAACAUUUCAACUCCAUUGACCUUAAAUCACUACGUUCAACCACAUUGGGACCACCUCUUCAAACAUCAUCACUUCAACCAAAAUACACAAAACAUAAGUAUGUUAACUACACUAACAAAACCAGUCACUGCUACUAAUAAUUGGAUCUUUUUCUUCAAAGCUUUGAGUGCGCUUUCCAGAUCAUAAAUCUUCCCACUUUGUCUCCCAAUAAUAACAUCCCUUUCGUCAUCAUUUUCUUUACUGCACCACUUGAAAUAGUUGCAACACAUCGCAUUACCAGUUUCGCUCUAUUAUUCAUCAACAAGAAAAACAUCAAACACAAUGUUAAUUACUAACACAUAAAGAACGUAGGGUUUAUAUUCACAUUACCUUGUAGUUUCGACAACCCCAAAAAUAUCUUCCCGCAUUCUUUGGAGUUCUAGCCAUUUUUACUAUUGUCAUCUCAUUUGCAAAUGGGGAUUAUCCCUAGCCCCAUUGAACCACCCCCAGGUGAAUAAUGAGAAGUACGACGGCCCAAGCUAUUCCAACAAGAUGAAGAAGAAUGGGAAGCAGACAUGGCUCAUUAACUAAGGCAAGAAGGUUGGGAAAUAAAAACCCUAAUUUAGAAUCCACCCUCUUCAAUUUAUUCCCAAAAUAAUAACCCUGAUUAAGAAAUACAAUUUAAAAAAUUCUAACGGCUACUGAAAAGGACUCCCAGUCAGCAAAGAAAUGACACCUCAGUUAGCAGUUGCACAUCUGGACACGUUGCCGUUAAGAAUUUUAACGGAGUUACUGAAAAUGACUUAAUUGAACACAAAAUAAACACAGGGACCAUUUCGAAUUUUCCCCACCAAAACUGGGACCAAAAAAAGCUUUUAACCAAAAAUUUACAAUGCCAAAAAGCUCCUCUUUAAAAAAGUCAUGAGGUCAAAAUAUCCACAAAAGUCUUGUGGGUCAGGAUCAACCCAUAUGGAUAUUCUUUUUAAGAAAAAUUUUCAUUUUGAAUACAGGACAAAAUGAUAUUAACUCUUGAUCUGCUACAAAUCUAAGUCCUUUUAAUUAUUCAAAGAAUUAUAUACAAACAUUUUAAUCAGACUAAUAGUAUUUGUAAGAAGUUUUAAUAAACUCGGUUGCUUACUUAUAUACAAAAAUUACACAACAACAUAGGAUGUUGAAAUCCUCGAUUAACUAAAUAUAUUUAAUUUUUCUUGACUAGUUAAACAUAUUUUUAAGAUAUAUAAGAUAAUCAUCUAAUUUUGUUGUGUAAAAAAAUCAUCUAAAUCUGAACUAAAACUAAAUAAGACAUCUCAAUUUAAAAGAUUAAAAUCAUAAAUUUAUAAAUAAUAAGCUUAUGAAUUUUUUUAUAUAUUUUUUUAAUUUUUUAAUGUAUGACUUAAAUUUAUACUUUAAUUCUACCAAUUAUUUAUUUCUCUGUUACUCAUAAACAGUUUCCUUAAGUUAUCAAUAUCUUUAAUCAAUAUCUUAAUUUAUUAAUUGUUUAUUUACCCAAACCAUUAGCCUAAUAACUAUAACUUUAAUCGUGACCCAAUUUAAAGGAUGGUCCAAACGGUAUUAAACUAUAAGAUACCAUUCAUACAGUUUCCUUCUCUAAGAAAUCGAUAAAAUUAAUAAAUAAUAUAGUUAAUUCUAUUAAAUCAAUUAAUCUAUUAUAACUUAAUUCUUUUAUAUAACUUAAAUCAAUGUUAUAGUAUGUGUAUGAAUAAUAUAGUUUAAAAUAACAUCCUUUUCUUUUAUAUAUCUUUUAUUUAUUUCCCCGUCUCUUAAAUAUGAUAUAUGAUAUUCGAUAAAUUUUACAGUAUAAUUCGAAGACUCAUUUAUAUAAAAGUUUAUUCAUCAGCAUACCAAUCAUCAUCUUAAUUUCCAGCUUUUACAUCUACGAACCAAAUGUAAAUUCUAAUUACAUGGAGCAUCUUGUCUGCAUAGGAUGGCAAAAACAACCCCAAGGUCAAGAAAAAAAAAAAGAAAAAAGCGAAUGGAGUGUCAAUGUCAAUAUCUAAUAACAAACUAACACAGAAUGACUCAACCAGAACAAUAACUUAUGCAUACUAUAUAUUAUCAUAGUGAACAUCACAAGGUAAAUGGGUAUUUGAAUUUGUCACACGGUAAGACAAUACAUAUAUCAGGUAAAUCACAUCAUACUUUCACCAACCAAACAAUGUAAAGUGAUAGACAUAUGAAGCUAUUUUCUCCUGUCCAACAAUAAUCUCCAUGUCGGAACAGGAUUCAAGUGAGCUCGCAGCGUAAUGAUGCUCAAAGCUUACAAUAUAGUACAGCACUGAUUGGUUUUCUUGGCUUGUUUAUAGAACAUCUGUUUCAAACGCCAACAUCAGAUUGAAUCAGUAAAACGAACUAGAGGAAAAAAUAAUGCAUUCAUGAUUAACACAGUUAUCUUCUAAGGAUAAACCAAACAUAGUGCUUUCAAAUGCAUAAAGAAAUCAUAUUCUAUGCAAAUGAAAUAACCAUAUAGCUCACAUAUUCAUAUUAAGUUCAAAAAAACACCAUUUUUACAUCAAUUUAAACUCUGAAAUUAAACUAAUUGAUAUCUUAAUAUUCAAAGGAUGAAAAUGGCCACUUUUCUCUCUUUCAGAAACCAAUGUUACAUCUCAAAUCUUUAGGCACCAAAAUGGUGUUUCAUUCAAUAAUUAAAUAGCAAACAAGUAACUAAAAAGAAAUUAUUGAAAUAAUUACAAGCAUAAAUCUUGGACCAAGCCUUAUAAGUUUACUACUUUGUAGAGUAUAUAUAUACUCUGCAAGAAAUUAUUGAAACAAAUGCGAAAAAGGAAAAAAUAAUUGAAGAACCUUUUGCAUUUUAAUUUUGUUCAGUUUCCUUAAGCUAAAAAGAUGAGAAAAAAAAUAUAUAUCAUCUAAAUAGACUGUAAAACUAUUCAAAAGAACAAGUGAAGAAAUAAAAUUUCAUCAAGAGAUUGUGCUAACUUAGGGUCUGGAUGAACUUCACAAGUACUUUCAAGAGAAAAAAUACCAAAGGAAAAUGAAAUAAGUUUCUCAAUUAAAUAAAAUUAGUUUAUUCAUAAAUUAAGAUGUACAAACUCUUCAGUAUUAGCUUCCCCAAAAUCUAUUUUUUUUAACUUUUGCACAAGGCUAAUUUUAUUCUAUGGAGAAGCUUAUUAUUUUAUUUUUCUUAUUUUGUUCCCAAACAGUGAGUAUGAAAAAUUUAUCCAGAACCUUAGUUACAAUAAGAAGAUAUUGAUUAUAAAAGUCAAUAAAACAUACCCUCACCAAGAGAUUAUAUUCUUCCUUCUAAAAUAAUACAGUAGCGAUGACACAAAUACCCACAAUUUUAUUAUACUAAAAUAACACAAUUUAAAAAAAAAAAAAAGAAACAAAACAAAAAAACGUAUAAUUUUGUAAAAGUGGUUUCGAAAGGAUUAUGUGGUAAAAUAAAUAUUUGUACGGCUACCAAUUUAUAUCUUUAUCAAAUAAUGACUUCUUUAUUGGUAAAUGAUAAAAUAGCCUAAUUAAAAAUAACACCAAAAACAAUUAAAAUAAAAGGUGUCCCCUUUAUAUAAUGGUAAAAUCACACUAGGCAGCAGUGACAACAGUGUUUUAAGACAAAAACGCACAUCCUAAGAAAUAUUUGGAACACCGUGACCUUGCCAAUAAUCUUAUUAGCAGCAUCCCUCAGUUUGCAACAAACAGAGCAGGCUGCACAUGUCAACCCACUGGCUUGUAUAGGCAUAUCCCCGCAUAACUCAAUCGGUUUUCUUAAUUAUCCAUAUAUGUAUAAAAUUGUCUGUAUGUUGAAUAUGACUAAAUAUUUAUAUUCACUAUUUCAUAAAAUAUUAGUACAUUUUUUGUUGAUAAUUGAUUGCACAAAAGGAUUUAUCAAUGCAUGGACGAGUUCAACUAUCAAGUUGUACUGUCAUCAAUUAUGAAUGAUUUGAACUUGCGUACACUAAUAUACUUAUAAGUCUAGAUUUUAUUUUGUAUUAUAAUUUAAUUUUUUUUUCACAGUAUGUAUUUUUAUUUACUUGCAAUAAAUAAAAAUCUUAAUUUUUAAAUUUUUCCUUUGACUGUUUUAAACAUCAUUUUAGUUGGCAGUAAACCCUCCUACAGAUUUGUACUUGGGAUCAAAAGUUGUCGAUGACCUUGUAGAAUUUAUUUAUUUUUUCGAAAGCACAUGCCAGCCUGCAGUUAUGUGGGAUGACGGAGGAAAAGUAGUCCGCAAGUAUGUAGAUAGACCCACUUUUAGCCUAUUCUUACCCCUAGGGAAAGCACAUUCUAAUGUACAUAGACUCAAAAAGCCAAAAGCACAGAUGUGUAUUGUAUAAAACAAAGUCCCAGACUGGCAUGUUAUUUAUUGCACAUCUUCCGUAUCAAUGCAUUUUGUAUCUAAUGGAAAAGCAUAUAUAAAAGUUUUGCACAGCAAGAAAAGAGAUUAAUCACAAAGCUACAUAAUACAUUUAUCAUGCACGCAUACUCAAUGAUGACCAUAAUCAUAUAGACAAGAGAUAAAAUAUGUCAGACAAUAAUAGAUGCCUGACUAUAUGUAGCAUUGCUGUACUAGUCCCAAAUGCAAAUUAGUGUAACAGGAGUUGUUUAGAUGUACCUGGGAUGCGGCACUCAGAUCAGAACUCUUCUCAACUAAACUGUCCAGCUUCUCCCCUCUAGCCAGCACACUAUCAAUAGUCUUAUGCUGUUCAUAAACAGAAAGCAAUCAUAUGGUCAAAGAAAUCUACACGCCAGAAAACUGGAGAAUCUAAACAAGCCUAUUGUGUAGGUAGAAACUAACAAAACCCCACAACCCACCUAGAAGGCCCAUCUCUCGGCUACCCAUUUAUAGUAACAUAACCAAGUAAUCAGGAAGAAAUAACUAACAGCAACUAAAUUAUUGAUGAACCACUGACAGACAUAAUGUAAAAUCCAGGGCAUCUUAUCACAAUGCUAGAAAGAGACAAAUUAGCGUUACUUCGUUGCAUUUGAGUUCAUUAAAAUGAUACUUAACUAACAUGCUGCUGGUAUUGUAAUCUAAACCUAAAUGUAUUUGGUUAAAAGUGCCAAUUUCUCAAACGAAUUUCAAACAAAAAAUACAGACAUAGCUAUAUAAUUGAACAACUACAUGACAAAAAUAUCUUAUGUAACUUUUGGAAGACAAUAGAUGCAGGGAAUCGGAAUACUGAUUUGCAAAUAUAAAUCAAUGUAUGCUUACAAGGAUGAUUUUUGUUUCAUCUAACUCUCUCUGGAUUUUCAACAAUUUGUCAGCCUCUGCAGGAUCCUGAUGAUUUGACAGGAACAGAUAAAGGGGGUUUGAGACAUAAGUAAUGGUGUAAAAAGGAUACCAAAAUGUAUCAAUUUAUUAAAGCGAAAAAAGAAAAAAAAAAUCAACGAGUCCUUUAGCUGCAGCUCACAAAAUAUAGACGAGGAAUUUACAUGCCUGGAAUUUUGUCAGAGCUUCAUUCAAAUAGGGCCAUGGUUGAGUACCGUCUUCCGUUACAGUUCUCCAUGACUCACCAAAAGCUUUUUGAUAUUCAUCUAUCACCUGCAUUUUUAUAGUUACAGUCAGCUCUUCCUAUAGAAUCUCCACAAAUUAAAUAAAUAAAACACAAACCCCUUACACAAUUAUAACAUCCUCAGAAUAGUUAUCAUGUCUCAUCCUAACAAAGGAAGUAGCAAAAAUCCGUCAAUAAAACAUAACGCUGAACACACACGCGAUGCUCUGACUCUCACCUGGUUUAGAAGAGAAAAGGCACUUCGAAUCGGGUAAUGAUCAUCCAUAAAUCCCAACGCACAAAGACCAUUUCUGUUAUAGGUGUGCACCUUAUACUCUGCAAUCAAAAAAGGAAAGAACAUGUUUCCAAUCAUUCACAAUUCGGCAAAAAAAAAAAAAAAAAAAUUAAAAUCGAACCCUCCAGAAAACCAAAGAAAUCACCGCAGAUCAAAGAACAGGGUUAUAUCACAUCGCCAAUUUUAAAAACUACGAUUUCUAUUACUCUGAAGGGGAGCAAAGAGGGAAAAAUAUGAUAAACGGAAUCCGGAUCAACAAAAACGACCGCGCAAUGACCCAAACGCGCGAUCGGUGUCGGUAAGCAACAAGGUGGGAAAAGAAAGAAACCCUAAAAACGGGAAUCUAAAGGACAAGAACCUUCGUGUUGUACAGAUUGGCGUUGGCCUUGAGGGGUGCGUUUGGCGACGGUACGACCGACAAAGACGAUGAACUCCCUGACGCUAUGGCGUUGAAAGUAGCCGAAGUGGCUAACGUCGGAAGCAUUCGCGAGAAUCACGGGAUCGGAACCUUCACCUGUGCAUUUAAGCACCAACAACGCUGUGAUCUUCAUCUUUUCUCUAUCUCUCGCUCUAGAUUUUCUCUCUCUCUAUCUCUGAAAAAUUGUAACACUACAACGAGAAAGAAAGACAGCAGAUCGGAAACAGAAAAAAUUGUUCUCUCUAUUAGAAAAAAUAUUGACGUGCGUAGUUGCAUAAUUUUAUUUAUAUAAUAACACCAACCAUAAUUAUAACUAUAAUUAUUAUUAUUAUUAUUAUUAUUUGUCUUUUUGCAAAGAAAUAUUUUGUUAUAAAAGUCAAAGAAAGCGUUAAUUUUCUUGAUUCUCGUUUUAUAGAGUAUCUAAAUAACAAAAUAUAAGGAAACGAGGAAAUAAUAUAACUAAAAGACAUUUUUAUUGCACUAAAAUCGGGAAUAUGAGUAAAAUAAUAGCAAAUGAAAUAAAGAAUAAAAAGUAUUUUUUAAUUGAUAUUGAGUGUUUAUGUUGGAAGCUUCAAAACUAAUCCAUUCAAUUUGGGCUUCUUCUUGCACCCUCGUUUUGAUUUCUUCCGACAAACCCAAAGUUUUUAUAAUGGCCAAAACACCCUUUUGAGUUUGACUAGGUUUGCGUCGUCGCACCUCCUUUCUGGUCCUGCACCUCUUUUUUCACUUUUUUUUUCCACCAUUACAAGCUCCGGAUUCUAGUAGCAUGUGACUUUCAUUGCGACCUACUUUGUUCUAGGCACAUCCUUUGGUUACUUCCUGCACCGUCAUUUUUGUCAUUCUCCAAUGAUUCUGCACCUCCUUUUUGCUUUUAAAGCAAAUAUUGUUUUAUCUCAGCAUUGAUGGGUUUGUAUUAUUUUUUUAAACGUGUUCUUGCCAAAAAAAAAAUUUAAUAUUUAUGAAGAUAACAUAUUAUAAUUUUGUAAGAAGUUAAAAUUCAGUUGGAAAAUAGAAUUCUAAUUUUUUAUUUUAAUAAUCUUUAUGAAGAGAUACGUUAGAAUUUAGUUUCUGAAAAAUUUAAUUCUUAUUUUAUUUUUUAGUAAUUUUUGCAAAAAUAAAGGUUGAAAAUUUUUAAUGAUUUUUAGAAAUUAUUAAAAGUUUUUUUUUGAAAAUUGUUAAAGGCUUAAAUGAUUUUAGAAAAUCGUGAAGGUUAUAUUAAUGAAUUUCAAAAAUGAUUUAACAUUUUUUUAAUUCUUUUUAAUUUUAAAUUAAUAAAUAAUUAAUUAUAAUUUUAUUUAUAAUUAAAAAUAAGUAAAUUAAUUAUUUAUUAAUUUUAAAUUAAAAACAAAUUUUAAAAGAAUAUGUUAAACAGUUUUUGAAAUUCGUUAAUAUAAUAUUUAAUAGUUUUCGAAAACUGUUAAAAGUUUAAACAGUUUUUACAAAUUGUUUAAGUCUAUAACAAUUUUCAAAAACCGAUCAAAUUUUGAAAUUAAUAUAAGUGUUUGUUGAAGUAAUCCACAAGCAAAACAACUGAGAAUAACGAUAACUAUAUGCUUGAUUUUCUAAUAUGAAAGCCAAGAAGGUUUAGUGUACGAAGAACGGUUGGGGUCAGAAGGAAGAAGAUGAAAGUUAUAUUAAAUUAUUUAAUAUAUAAUUAAGAGGGAAAAAUGGAAAAGAAAUGAAAAGUUAAGAACUAUAGAAAGAAAAUAAUGGGAUGCAGGAAUAAACCUAUCAAUUGAGAAAGAUGAUUAUUGAAGGUGUAUACAGUGGACAAAAUCGAAGGGUUAGAAGUUACAAACACAUAAUACGGUCACAUUAGCACCAUUUUUCUAAAAUAAUAUUUUUUUUUUAAAUCCUCAAAUAUAAUUGUUUACUCUAACGUUGAGAAUUUGGGUUUCGAAAAACCAAAUUCUUUAGAGAAAAAUAAUUUAAAAUAGAUAAUUAAAAAUACUGAGAUAAAAUUUUAAUUGUUUAAAGAGAAAAAUAAUUUAAAAGUAUAUUAAAUGUUUUAAACAUUUCUGUUAUACAUUUAUUGUUUUUCUGUUUAAGACAAUUGUUUCUAUAAACAAUAAUCUGAUUUCUAGGAUUUCUGUUUUAGGAGUUCUAUGACUUUAUGUUAGACAAUUAGAAAGUUUACAUUUUGUAAUUACUGGAACUCGAACCCUAUAUAAGGGAUUCUAACUUUUGUAAUAAAAUACAACAUUUUUCUUUUUCUCUUUAACAUUGAACGGUUAAACUCUUACCUCUGUUGUGCGAUGACCCACUUGGUCUUCCUCUUUCUGACCGGUCACUGCCGCUGGUAGCUUUGCCAAAGCAACAUGAAGAUUGCCUUCUUCCUCUUGCUUUUGCAGUUGGCUCGCGUGUUUUUUAUCUCACCUAACUUCUUACGUUCAGAAGAAUCUAGUGAGAAUUUUGUCUCACGUGUUUGGGCCGCAAGCUUUGGACUUCUUUCUUUAAGCACUGGGCUAACGGUUUUUCUUUAUGGUAUCCAAGCUUGGUUUUACACCUGUUCUGCCACUGAUUCCGCUGCAUAUACCUCUUCUUCUUGACCUUAUUCUUGUUUCUUUAAAGUUUUCUUAUUGUCAUGGAGAAAGUGGAGAAAGUGGACCAAACCAACAACCCAUCCAGUCCCUUCUACUUGCAUCCAAGGGAGAACCCAGGCACCUCCCUCAUAUCUCAAGUUCUAAAUGAAUCCAACUACACUUCUUGGAGUAGAAACAUGAGAAGAGUUCUCCUCUCCAAGAAUAAACUGAAAUUCAUAUAUGGAGGAAUCACAAAGCCUAAAAGAGAUGACAGCCUUUUCGAUUCUUGGGAAAGAAGCAACAUGAUGGUACUAUCUUGGAUUACCAAGACUCUCCCACCCAAAAUAGUAGAGAGUGUGAUAUAUGUUGAAAAUGCUCAAGAACUAUGGGAAGAAUUGAAAGAAAGAUUUUCCAAAGGGGAUCACUUCAAAUUCUCAUAUUUACUCCAAGAAAUUCAUUCCAUCAAGCAAGGUGAAAGGAGUGUAAACCAGUAUUUUACUGAUUUGAAGAUUUUGUGGGAAGAAUUGGAGUUUCUAAGACUCGUUCCAAGUUGCAGUUGCAAAGUCCCUUGCGGUUGUGAUUUGUCUAAAGCCUCACACAAAUACAGAGACAUGGAACAUGUCAUAUGCUUUUUAAAGGGCUUACAUGAAUGCAAUAACACUGUAAAAUCUCAGAUAUUACUCAUGGAACCCCUACCCAACAUUAAUUGCGUCUUUUCUCUCAAGAAAGGCAAGGGAAAUACGAUUCUAAUCAGAAUGACAGCAAGAUCCUUGCCAACACCACUGAGAAACAAAAUCAGUGGAAGAACAACCAGGGCUGGAAGACUUAUGGACAUGGAAAUCCCCCCAAAAAUCAAGGAAGAGGGAGAGGGAGAAACCCCAACUACGGGAAACAGUGUUCCCACUGUCAUAAAAUGAACCACACCAUUGAUGAAUGUUAUUCUAAGCAUGGAUACCUACCUUGGUACAAGAAAAAUGGCAACAAUGGUGAAAAUGGCAUCGAACGAAAUGAAUAGGGCUCAACUAAUACUUGUUCAGCAUCUACUGGAAUACAAACCAGCCAAUAGAAUGUUAUUUAAAGCCCGUUCACCCAUGAACAGAUGCAGAAGAUACUACAAAUGCUGGAGAAAGCUGACAGCCCAUCUCACAGCAUCAGCCAAAUACAGAAAAACAACACAGAGGACACACGAGGUAUGUUCUCAUGGAUCAUAGAUACAGGUGUCACAGAUCAUGUGACCCAUGAUAGAAACCAGUUCACAUCUUUUUAUAAAAUCAACCCAUAUCAGUUAAAUUGCCUAAUAGUUCUAUUGUUACUGCCCAUUAUGCAGGGACCAUACAUUUCUCUAAAGAAUUUGUGAUUUUUAACGUUUUAUAUAUAACCAAAUUCACUUUUAAUCUCAUAUAUGUUCAGAGUCUAACUAGAGAUAUAAAUUGUACACUAACUUUCUCUUCUAAGAUGUGUGAAAUCCAGGACAAUUCUACAUUGAAGAUGAUUAGAUAUGCUAGUGUGUGCAAAGGCCUCUACCAUUUACAAUCUUUUGGAAGGAAUUUAGCUCCUAGUUUUACUUUUUCUUAUGAACAUAACAAUGUAAAUCUAUGGCACUAUAGACUUGGUCAUCCUGGACAUAAAGUUCUUGAGAAAAUGUGUAAAGCUUUCCCUUAUAUUCAAAUUACUAAUGAUAACACUUGUGACAUUUGUCAUUUUGCUAAACAACACAAAUUACCUUUUCCUAAGAGCAAUUCUUUAUCUGCUGACUGUUUUGAUAUGAUUCAUUGUGAUAUUUGGGGUCCUAUAUCUACACCCUCUGUGCAUGGUCAUAAAUACUUCUUAACUGUUGUUGACGACUAUAGUAGGCAUACAUGGGUCUUCCUCAUGCAUAAUAAGGGUCAAACUAGGGAACUCUUACAGACUUUUAUUGCUAAAAUUAAAACCCAAUAUAAUAAAACUAUCAAAGUCAUUAGGAUAGAUAAUGGACCAGAGUUCAAUUGCUUUAAUACUUAUGAUUCUCAUGGAAUUGAACACCAAAGGAGCUGUGUCGAAACCCCACAACAAAAUCCUGUUGUGGAAAGGAAACAUCAACACAUGUUAAAUGUCACCCGCAGCCUAAAUUUUCAAUCAGGUAUGCCUCAUAUAUACUGGUCUUAUGCUCUAUCACAUGUUGUUUAUUUGAUCAACAGAUUGUCUUCUCCUAUCAUUAAAGAUAGAACACCUUUUGAGCUCUUACAUAAUAAUUCAUCCACCUAUCUUGACUUAAAGGUGUUUGGUUGUCUUUGUUUUGCCUCUACCUUGGAAAGCAACAGAAAUAAACUUGAUCCUAGGGCUAGAAAGGGUAUAUUCCUGGGAUACAAGAGUAGGGUAAAAGGGUAUAUAGUUGUGGACAUCAACAGUAGAGAGAUAUUCAUAAGUAGAAAUGUUGUAUUUUAUGAAGACAUUUUUCCAUAUAAAGACAAACAAGAAGAGAGAAAUAAUCAUAGUAAUGGAUUAGACAACAUGUUUUUUCUUGAUGAUAUUGCUUGCAGCCAUGAAAAGGACUCUGUUGAGAAUGAAAGAGGAAACUUCAAUCCUACUCAGAGCAGCUCUGCUGAUAAGAGCUCUGUUGAGGACAACACUGCUAUCGGGGACAUUAAUCCUAUAGAGCAGGAACAGGGAAAUGUGCAAAGGAGAUCUAGCAGAGUUAGAAAGACUCCGGAAUACUUAAAAAGCUACAUACAACAAAGUGAUCAAUUCCCAUCUGCCCAGUUGUGUGCCAAGAAUGGUUUGAUUACUCCUUAUCCUAUUAAAACUGUUUUGUCUUACAAAUCUCUUUCAAAUAAGCAUUUGAAAUAUACUCUUGCUAUAACUGUCAAUAAAGAACCCAAGUCCUAUGAAGAAGCUAAAAACAACCCUGAAUGGAUUGAUGCCAUGCAAAAGGAGAUACGAGCACUACAAAUGAACGUGACCUGGUAUUUGACUCAACUUCCUUUAGGAAAGAGAUUUAUUGGAUGUAAGUGGGUCUAUAAAAUAAAGCAUAAGGCUGAUGGCACAGUUGAGAGAUAUAAGGCUAGGUUGGUAGCCAAAGGCUACACUAAAUAAGAGGGAAUAAACUUUUUAGGCACUUUUUCUCCUGUUGCUAAACUCACUUCUGUUAGGCUGCUUCUUGCUCUUGCAGCCUCUAAAAACUGGUUUCUACAUCAAUUAGAUGUGGACAAUGCUUUUCUUCACAGAGACUUAAAUGAGGAUGUUUAUAUGGAUCCUCCACCAGGAUUAAAUGUUGACACUAAAGGACAAGUUUGUAAACUAACUAAGUCUUUGUAUGAGCUGAAACAAGCCAGCAGACAGUGGUUCAAGAAGCUAUCUACAUUUCUUAUCUCUUCAGGAUAUAUCCAAUCUAAAUUUGAUCAUUCUCUAUUUGUUUAAAGAACCCCUUCUGACUUCACAGUUUUACUUGUGUAUGUUGAUGACAUUGUUUUAACAGGAAAUUCAAUGAAGGAAAUCAACCUCACAAAGACUCUUUUCGACAAUCAGUUUCAGAUUAAGGAUCUAGGAGAACUCAAGUACUUUCUUGGAUUUGAGGUUGCUAGAUCUAAGAGAGGAAUACAUUUAUGUCAAAGGAAAUAUGCCCUAAAUAUUCUUGAAGAAACAGGAAUGCUAAGAAGUAAACCUAGCUCUACACCCUAUUUGAGCAACACCAGUUGUCUAUACAAGACAAAAGACUAUAUGGAUAAUCCCAAUGAUUAUAGGAGGUUAAUAGGAAAAUUAUUCUAUCUUACUAACAAUAGGCCUGAUUUAUGUUUUACAGUUAACCUUUUAAGUCAGUUCAUGCAGGAACCAACUAAACACCACUAUCAAGCCUUACAACAUGUUCUUAGAUAUGUCAAGGCAAGUCCUGCUGAAGGACUCUUCUUAGCUUCUGAUUCUAAUACACAGAUAAAGGGGUUUAGUGAUUCAGAUUGGGCCACGUGUCCUAAUACAAGAAGGUUAACUACUAGUUAUUGUAUCUUCUUAGGUAACUCUCUUAUCUCAUGGAGGUCAAAGAAAUAGAGUAUGGUCUUGAGGUCUUCUAUAGAGGCAGAAUACAGAGCUCUUGCAGCUACAGUGUGUGAGAUGCAAUGGUUACACUAUCUUCUCCAAGAUCUUCAUGUUGAGCCAAUAGCUACUGUUGUCCUAUAUUGUGACAACAACUCAACAAGGCACAUUGCUCAUAACCAAAGUUAUCAUGAAUGAACCAAACAUAUAGAGUUGGAUUGUCACGUUGUUCGUUAGAAAAUACAAGCCAAGCUUCUACAUUUGCUUCUCAUUCGAUCAGAAGGACAACUUGCAUAUAUAUUCACUAAAUUUCCUCACCGGACUCGAUUCAAAUCCAUUAUUCCCAAGCUUGGAAUGGUGAAUAUCCAUCAUCCAGCUUGAAGGGAGGCUAUUAAAUGUUUUAAAUAUUUCUGUUAUACAUUUAUUGUUUUCUGUUUAAGACAACUGUUCCUAUGAACAGUAAUAUGAUUUCUAGGGUUUCUGUUUUGGGGGUUUUAUGGCUUUCUGUUAGACAGUUAGAAAGUUUACAUUUUUGUAAUUACUGGAACCCUAUAUAAGGGAUUCCAGCUUUUAUAAUAAGCAUAGAAACAUUCAGAAUAAAACACAACAUUUUUCUUUCUCUCUUUAACAUUGAACGGUUAAACUCUUACCUCUAUUGUGCGUUGAUCCACUUGGUCUUCCUCUUUCCGACCAGCCACCGCCGUUGGUAGCUUUGUCGGAGCAACAUGAAGAUCGCCUUCUUCCUCCCGCUUUCGCAGCUGGCUCGUGUGUUUUUGAUCUCACUAACUUUUGGCGUUCAGAAGUUUUUAGUGAGAAUUUUGUCCACGUGUUUGGGCCGCAAGCUUUGGGCCUCUUUCUUUAACCACUAGGCCAACAGUUUUUCUUUAAAGUAAAUAAAUUUAUUAUGAUUAUAAUGGUUUGUAAAUAAAUUGAAUGAAAAGUAUAAAAGUAAAUACAAAACUUUCCAAAAUGGUUUAAACCCUGCCUUAGUCGUAAUUUUUGUAUGGAAAUCUCAGUUCGGUCCUCAUGUUUUCAUUCAAUUGGGUCAUAUUUAUUUUGUAAAAAUGAACACAUUUUAUCCUAACCGUUAAGUGCUCUGAGACGGCAUUAAGUUUAGCUGACAUGGUGGAGAGAGAAUAUGCUUAUGUGUGUUAUUUGAUUACAUGGAUUUUUUAAUUAAACAAACAGUAUUAAUGUGACAUUAUUUCCUUCCCAUUAACGUUGAGUUCUCUCCUCCUUCACCGUCUCCUAUCACAAAACUCAAAAUGCUCUCUUUAGCACUAUGAUAUGAUAUUUGGUACAACUGUUUCCUCUCCAAGGUGGAGAUAAACACAAAAAACAAGAAGAGCUCAGGUGACAAUUGCGAUGACCUUGUGGAGAAUACGUUGCGCAGGGUGACGCUGAGUGAAGAAGGUUGAGGAGUUGUGAUGGCUCUGUCGAUAUUGGCUCGGUCUGAACCCUCCUCAUUUGGCGGUGGCGGCAGAAGUAGCCAUGGUGGCGGAGGAAGGAGAGAAACUUGUUGAAGGCAUCCUCUAAUUCCCUGCAGGUUUGAGGCGCGAUGGAGAAAACGCGAUAUGUGCAAAUUGGUUGUCAGCGGUGGCUUUCCGAUUUAGGGGCCGGCCUUGGUUGCGCGAUCGGAGGCACAGGGAGGGAGCUGUCGUGGAUGUCGGCAGCGAUGGAAACUGAUGUUGGGGGCUGAUCUGAACGACUCGACAGGAUCGCCUUGCAAGCGGCGUGCGCAGAUGAUGCCGCCAAGAACCAGGUGGUCCGUGAGAAACAUUGCAACACCUUCAUGUUCGGUAGCAUCAUGUUUAUUGUAUUGUCAUGCCAUUAUGCUUAUCAAUAGGAUGCAGAAAACACGUUUUUAGAAUCAUCUUCAUGAUUGAACUAGGUGAUCUUGUUUGUGUCUGAUCCAUAUUUUAACAAUGUUUGUAGGUUUAGUCUGUCAACUCUAUUUUUUCCCACAGUAAGUGAAACCUCGGUUUCUUUUGUUUUUUAUUUUUUUCAUUGUUUCUGCAUGAGAGAAUACCAUGAAUGGUCUUGGUCUAUUUGUGAUGCUUCUAUGGCUAUUUGUGGUCUUGAUCCUUACUUCCAGCUACACUACAGGUUUAACAUUCAUACUCACUCUGCAACAUUUAUCUUCUCCUAUCAGUGGAAUAGAUAGCUUAAAGGCUGGUUGAUGGGUGUUGCCGCCCAAUCAAAUUUAAUGUGCAUUUUAAAGUACAGUAUAACUAGGGAAUGACUCCUAGGUCGUCUCUCAAGGACCAAUUUUGCGAUUCAGAAUCAGGUCUAACACGAAGUGGGAGGGUUUGACGGUGUUUGAGACGAGAAUUAAAAUCAAUUAAAAUGCACAGAAAUUAAACGCAACCGAAUAAAAUAGAAAACAUUAAAGUAAAAUAAAGUGCUAAAACUAACACUACAAAAGUCAACUAUCUAACACGGUUAAAAUUAUUAAAAGGCAAUUCUAAACUAAAAAGAUUAAAAACAAUUAAACAAGUAAUGUAAAACAUUUCUAAGGCAACAGAAAAAUAAAAAAAAUAAAAAAAUAAAGUUGCUUCUAUACCAAAUUCAUGUGACCAUGCAUCUUAUGAUAUUUAAUUGCAAAGCGUCAACAAAAAUGCACAUAAGCUGGAAUGUAAAAUUGCAACACUUAAGCUACUAAAUAAAAUAAAGAUUGCAGAAUGAAUGAUAAGUAAAGCUUCUUUUUUUUAAAAAAAAAAGAAAUUAAAGGUGCUUCUAAACUGAAAUUGUAAUAGCGUGCUCCAAGGCAUCACAAAGCUCCAACUAAAUCACUGUAAAUUUCUCUCAACCCAAAGUCAACGCAGUUCCUUUUUCUUUCUUCGAGCAAAGCUAAAUUAAUUACCAUGUUCACCUUCCUUCCAUGCCAUGAUUGAAUAUAUAAAAAAAAGAAAAAAUAUCCAAUGCCAAAAAUUGUUAGCCGUAACAGCGUUGAAAUCAAUAAAAGAAAGUUUCUAACAUUCAUCAAAUGCAACAAUGCUUUUCAAAAAUAAAAAUGUGCUUCUUCAUUAUCUAAUAAACGCAAAAAAAAAAAACUUUCUUUCACUAAUUAAAUCCAAUCAACGUAAUAAUACUUAAAAAAAAAAGGAAUACUAACCAUAAAAAAUAAAUAACCGAGCAACAAUCAAACAUUCAUGCUUCUUCUCGGUUCCAGCAUUGCAAAACAAAACGGCCCAUUUACUACUAAAUAGGAAAAAAAAAACGAAAUGUCCUACAAAAUGCUGUGUUGAUGUGACCAUGAGCAAUUUCAAAGCAAAGUAAUUAUAACCGUGGUGCACUAGAUGAAAUGUGAAUCAACACCUCUUGAAAUUAAAAGUGUUACUUCCCUGAAGCAAAAAAAAGUGGUUCUAGAUUUUCUCUACUACCAUUGUGACAUCACGUGCCUUACAAUUGAAAACUGGAUGUGUCCUAGAAUUAAAUCAGCUUGCUGCACCGUCUCUCAGCUUCAAUUCAGCCGUAAUCAAACACUGCAGACAUUUUUUUAGCUAGAGCUCUCUCCCCCCAAAACAAAUGUUGCAGCAGCCAAUGUGAUCCCCGUUGAGUGACGGCUCCUCACCUUUUCUUAGGGCCAAGUGUCCUAAAAUUGGGGUGGGGUCCACCCUAAAAAUAAAAGGAAACCUUAGGUGUCAUGUGUUUAUUUUUUUACUAUUGGGCUCAACCACAAAUACCAAAAGUUGGCUCACAAUGUCAAAGUUUGUCUAAAAAUUAUAAACUACUAAAUUAAAAUACAACUAAUUCUAAAGCGCUUAUGGAAGAGUCUUGAUUUAUUUUGUCUUCAUCCUAAUGCUCCAAAAUAUGUCUCCAAUAUUUUUCCUGCAAUUAAUAAUGCAAAUAAUUAGCUCAGAAAAUUCAAAUUAAUUAAAAUUAGAAUUUCGGGUCAAAUUAAGCAUAUUUAGGAAAAACGGGAAAAUACCGAAAAAUUAAACACAAUUCUCUGAUUAAUUCUAGCACAAUAAACUAAGUGAAGUCGAUAAAAUAUCGAUUCAUCUGGUGAUGAACCUAUAAGUUACAAUAACAUUCCAUGACUCAAGAUAUUGGAAUAUCCAAAUCCAAGCUUAUUGCCCUUGGAACUCUAGAAGAAUAUGCUAUGGCCCUAAAGCUUUGUCCUAAAAAAAGAGGAGAUGUUGCUGCCAUUUUUUAUGAACGGCCUUAUGUUGAAAUCUUCUUAUCAAGCCAGUGCACCUUCAGAAUUGUUGGUCAGGAGUUCACCAGAAGUGGUUGGGGCUUUGUGAGUACCUCUAGUUCUCUACUUUUGGAUCAUUAAUUUCUGAAAUCCUAAUAUAUAUGCAUUAGAUGAACUAAUUUGUUACGAACCUAGUAGACGUGCAGUGAUAUGCAACUUUGUUCAUGCCUUUCUUCCUUCAAGAAUUCUAGUUGAGAAAUUGAUACAGAUCCAGGGCGCUCAGAAAUGCAUUCCUAAAUGAGCUUCAAUGUGGCACACUGGACAGGGUGGAAAGGAAUCUCCGCCACAUACUGUAACGUUGGGAUAAAAGUUUCCUCAACAGUUGAUAAAAGGUGCAAGUCUUGAGGUUCUAGCUUUGGGAGACGAAACAGACAUCUUGUCGGUCUCGUUCCAGCUCCGGUUGUGAGACUGAUUGCACCGGUCGCGCUACCUCCGAUGACUUUAUUUUCUGCGCCGACGAGUUAAUCGGUGUAAAAUUCUUAGUAGGUAUUGUGUCACGUGAAACACUACUUAUUUUAAAAUAUAGUUCACAUAAUUAAAUAAUACACGUCAACCCAUUCUUUGUGUACCACGUCAGCUAGCUAAAUUUAAUACUGUUUGAGAUCAAUUAACGGUUAGGUUAAAAUGUGUUCAUUUUUACAAAAAAUACGAUCCAAUUGAGACAGAUAAAAACAUGAAGACCGAAGGAAGGUUUAAACCUUCCAAAAUUACUACUAUUAUUAUUUAUCAUAUAAUUUCUUUAAAAUAAUUUAAAACAUAAAGUAAAAAAAAAAAUGAUAGGAAAUAUAAAGUAAAUUAUUAAAUUUAUAUCAAAUAAAAACAUUUAACCAUUUGUAAGUAUUUCCUUAUGACAAACUCACUUUAAUAACCCAAAAUUAUUAUUAAUCAUUUUUUAUUGUCAAAUUUAUAAUAUAAAAUAUACUUUUAAUUAUCAUUUCAAAUCAUCUGACGUUUCCAAUAAUCUUACCCUUCUAAUAUGACAUUACACAUGUUAAAGAAAUAUUUUAAAUUUUUUUAACAUUCAAACAUUUUAUUAUGAUCAUAACAUAACAAUAUUUUUUUUUAAUUAAUAAAUACUAUUUACAAGAUCCAAAAUAAUAUUUAUUUUAUUUAUACCAUUAUGUUUAUUUCUUAAUCGAAAAGUCCAAAAUUAAAAUUAUAUUUUUUAUUAUAAUAUUUUUAUUUUCCAGAGACCAAUAAUAACAAAUUUACUUUCAAAUUAUAUUACAAAACUAAAAAUUUAUUCAUUCUUAAAUUAUUUCUUAUUUCAUUUCUUCUCUUAAAACAAUUAAAUUUUAGACCUAAUAUUUUUAGUUAAUUAUUUUAAAUUAAUUUUCUAUAAAUUUCUUUUUUUCGUAUUUAAAAAAUCAGAAAAUCAUCCCAGAAUUCUCAACAUAGGAAAGAAUUUUUGCUACUAAAUAUUAAAAAAUCAAUUGAAAAUUUUGAUUUUCCAUAAGUUUAAUUUUGAACUACUAUAGUGAAAAGGUUAAUUUAAUAAUGUUGUAAUAAAGAAAAUGUUUAAAAGUAUAUUAUUUUAGAAAAAAAAAAUGGACAUCUACAUUUGAAAAUUUCAUUGUAAUUGAUAAAAUAAUAUUUUAACACAAUUCGAAUUAUAAAAGCUAGAUGUGACAACAGUGGAUUCUUCCUUCUCUACAAAUCAAGCAACAACAGUGGAGCAUAACAUUCCACUCAUACUUUUCUUCCACCUUCCUCCUUAUAAAACACUUUUUCUUUUUCUUUUUCUUUUUCAUCUACUAAAGCAACCACAACCUAACAUCAUUUUCUAGAAGCUCAAAUACAUGCCACCCUCUUAGGACACAAUGCCUUAUAAAAGAAAGUUUAGGACACCAAUGAGUACCACUUAACCAAAUAAGGUAUUUUUGUCCCAGAAAUAAUAAAUAACUAUAGGACAAAAAUAAUUAUAUUGUACUAUAGUUAAUUAUAUUAUAUUAUACUAAAAAAAUUGAUUCACUUUUACUAAAAGUUUAGUAUAUUAUUUUAUAGCUUAAUUUUUAAAAAUUGAACUUAUAACAGUUUUGGUUCAGUUAAGUGUGAGAACAGUAUCUACUCUUUCCUUUUCUCUAGUUUUAGUUCAACUUACAUUAAAAUAAAUAUCAAUAUUAUUAUUUUUAGAUGAUAGUAUUUUACAGAUUAAAACUAAAAUAUAUUAUUUAAUGAUAAAUUAUAUUACAUGACUAUAUAAUAAAAUCUCAUAGAAAAUAUUAAUAUAACAAAAAUAAUUAAUAUUAUAUAAAUAUCAAAGGACAAAAAAAUUAACAAACAUUUAUUAAGAGUAACUUUUCUAGUAUCAUCUUUUAUCAUAUUAUAAUAAUUAAUAAAUAUUAGUUUAAUUUUUACAUAAUAAAAUAUAAAUAAUAAAUAAUUGAUUAAUAAAAAAAUUUUAUGAGGCAACAAAAUAAAUAUAAAUAAAAAAUUGUUUUAAAAUAAAAUAAGUAGCUAAAAAGAUAAAAUAAAUUAUAUACACGUAUAAAACAAAAAAUUUAAAUAAAAAAUAAAUAUAAAAGUAAAAUAAUAUUCAUGAAAAAAGAAAUAUAAAUAAAAAAAUAAAAAAUAAAAUAAAAUAAAUAAAUAAAAAAUAAAAUAAUUUCCAUACACAUAUAAUAAUAAAAGAAAUAUAAAUAAAAUAAAAAAUAAUAAUAUCAAAUAAUUAAAAAAUUAAUUUGUAAGACACUUAUGAAUAAAAUAAAAUGAAUUUCAAUUAAAAAGAACAUGUAUUCUUAUACUAUUCAGUUUAAAAACUAAUAUUUCAAUGUACUAAUGUUUAUCCCACCAAGGUAUCACACACAUAUAGCCUAAAUCACCUUAUACCUAUCCCCAUUGGAGACACCACACAUGAGGAAAAUGAAAACCAAAUGCAUAACAACGAUUAUUUCAAUCGAUGAAGAAGGUGUUGCGUGAUGACGAAAACCUUACAAAGCUUCAAUAGUGAAUCAUUGAGAGUGAGAAGACUGAAGGAAACAGAAAAUGAAAAAAAGAUUUGAAGCGGUGAUUGAACAAAUAAGGUGAUAAAAAGUUAACUUUUCACAUUUUUAUUUAGGGCAAAUAAGAAUAUGUUAAUGGCGGGGGAGAAUUUCUUCUUGCAUCUCCAUGUUUUUUUCUUGUAUAUUUUUUAAAUUUCAAUUAUACCUUGUUUUAAUUGUAGUACAUAUAUAUAUUUUGUUUACAUUUUGAAUUGUACAAUUCAAAAUGUAGAUUUAAAAGACAAUCCAAAAUGCAAGUAAAAAUAUGAGGUACGUAGCACAUUAAACCAAGCAAGAAUAAAGUAAAAGUUCUAAAGAGAAUAUAGGGAAGUAGAGGUGGAAAAAGAUAAUGGGAUAGAUGUAACGGUUGUGGAAAAAGAUGGGGUGGAGGUAGCGGUGGAGGAAUAUGUAGUAGAGGUAAAAGAAGAAGAUGUAUUAUAGGUAAAUCCGUUAAUUUCACCCUUUUUACAUAGUUUGAUUCUGAUUCCAUGGAUUGGAGUUAGAAAAAUGAACCGGACCAAAAAGUCUUAUAUAGAAAAAAUUCACGAGACCAAAAUAUUUAUAAAAGCCUAGUAGAUCAAGACGAACCCAUCAGUUUUUUCUUUAGAAAAAAAUAUUCAUUUUAAAUACAAAGAAGUAGUGGGUCACAUUCAUUGAAAUGUACAACUUUCAUUUUAUCUUUGUUAACUUGUAAUCAUAAUUUUGUUCAUGUGUAAUUAUAUUUUUUGCCAAUAAAAUUAAUUUUCUACUUCAUAACUAUUUCUAUAUUAAUUAGCUUACUAAUAAUGCUCUUAUAUAAUUAUUCCUUAAUUUCCAAAUUCCGUUUUGAUAAUUUUUCAUCUUAAAUUUGAUUUGUAAAUCUGACCGGUUCAGAGAGAUCAACAUAAAAUAGGUUUAAAAGUUAAAAUUUAAUUUGUAAAAGUUUGAUAGACUAACGAAUUUAUUUAUAGAUGGUAAUCUAUUUUGUCACUAGUUUAAAUCAAUAUUAUUCGAUUAAGAUAUGCAAUCAAAAAUAAUUUUUUUAAUUUGUGUGAACUUAAUGACUUUUUAACUUUUUUUAAUUUUCCAAAUUUAAUAAAAUUGAUAUUUAUUAUUUAUAAAGUGAUAUAACUCUUUUAGAAUUUUUUUUAUGAAACAUAUAAUUUACUCAUUUACAUCAAUUUAUAUUUUUUUUAUGUCUUUUCAUAUAUUUUAUAUUAUAUUCAAUUGUCUUUUUUAUUAGUUUCUUAUUAAGAGACAUUAAUGUAAUUUAUUUAUUAUUAUAAUUAUUAUAUUUUUUAUUUAUUUUAUAUGUUAAUAAUUAAAUACAAUAAUAAUUUUAAUUUUAGUGUUAUACAUUAUAACAUUAUAUUUAUUUAAAAUUAUUGUAUCUAUUAUUUAAUUUUUUUUUAUUACAAUAUAGCUCAAUUAUGGUAAAUAAUUCAAUAUUAAAAUCGUCUCUGUUGGAUAAAGAAAGGUUUGAUUUUAAAAUAUUAAUUUAAUCUAAAAGGUUAGAAGAAAAAAAAAUCUUAAUUGAUUUUAGGGUUAAAUAUGUUUUUCGUCCCCCAACUAUUGGCCGUUUUUGUGUUUAGUCCCUCUUUCAAAAUAUAAUACAAUUUAGUCCUUCAAUUUUAGAAAACUAUGGUUUUAGUCCUUUUUAUCAAAUUUUUUAAACUUUAUUUGUUGUUUCAAACACGUUACAUUAUAACAUUAUAUUUGUUUACACUGUUUGACACAUUUUUGCUGUUAACUGAGAAACGCGUUUGAAACAGCAAAUAAAGUUAAAAAAAUUUGGUAAAAAGGACUAAAACCAGAGUUUUCUAAAGUUGAAGGACUAAAUUGUACUAUAGUUUGAAAGAGGGACUAAACACAGAAACGACCAAUAGUUGGGAGACGAAAAACAUAUUUAACCCUUGAUUUUAUAACCACUAGGAUUACAUAUAAAUCUUGGAUACUAACAUAUAUGAUAUUUAUAACAAUUUUGCCUAACAAUUUUGGUGUGAAUUUAAUUUUAAACUUUAUAAAGUUUGUGGUUUAAUUUUUUAAUGUAUAUAUAUCUAUACAAAACAUUCCACAAAAGAAUUUUAUAUGAAAGACUAUAAAAAUAAAAUUUUUACACCGAUAUUUAAAAUUCAUCCAAAAAUAGAUUUGAAUUAAAAUCUAUCCAUAAUUAAUAUAUCAAAUAUUUAUAUAAAUAUCAGAUAAUUGAAAAAUCGAAUUUUGAACUGUUACUUUAUAAUUUCUUUUUUGAAAUUUUUUUCUUCUUUUCUUUUAAAUAAAAAUAAUAUUUUUUUUUAACUUUUCAAAAUAAUAAAUUAUAUAUUUAAAAUAUACUUAUAAUUGUAAAAUUAUUUUAAAUAGUUUUCUAUAAAAUCAAUAUUUAUAUAUUUAUAUUUAAUUAAAAAAGAUAUUAGUAAAAUAUCAUGUAUAAUAUGUAAAAUUUGGAAACUAUUGUACUUGUAAAGUAAAUAAAUAAAUAAAUAAACUAAAAAUACGUUAAUAGUGAAUUAAUUUAGUUUGAAAGAUUAGCUCAUCCUACUCCUACACCAAUCCAUUUUAUGUGCGGCUGUGGAGUUAGAGUUUUUAAAAAACCUCCUCUUAAGUGGGUUAAAAUAAUGGAACUUGAUUUUAGAAGGGUCAGAAUCAACCUAUGCACUACGGGUUCAAAUGACAUCCUAGAAGUGGAGGUGAAAGAAGAAAAUGGGAGUAAAGGUGGAUAAAAGUAUGAAAGGUGCAGAGGUAGAAGAAGAUGGGGUGGAGGUGGAUGAAAGUAUAAAGGUGUUGUUAGGAAGAGAAAAAAAUGAGGACAAAUUUAACUUUUUCACAUGAAGUUGCAGGAAGAAAUACCCAAAAUUAAGACAUGGCUUUGGUUCUUUUUGAAUUUUUGGACACAUUAAUGUCAAACUCUUGCUGAUCCUCCUAUCCAUCAAUGUCAACGUAUGUCUAAUUUAGAUUCUUUUUCUUUUAUAUUUUAAUCCUUUCUUUCUGCUGUGUUCUUCCAAGUUAUGCAAAUAUCAACAUAUAGAACAAUAAUUGUGAAUAAAUAUUAAAGAAUGGUGUUUAAUCACGCUUCAAGAAGGUGUCUUGUUAACAUUCUUAGUCAUAUUUUACUAUAUUAAUUUAGAAUACAUAUUUUUUAUAUAUUAAUAAUAAUUGCAAUGAAGCAAAUAAUUAAUUUGUUAAUUAUGAUAAAUGUUAACCGAAUAUUUUAACAAUAUUCAACAUUAAUAAAUUGGGUGUUGCUCCUUCCACCUCCCCAAGUGGAUCUGCUCCUCCCCACUGUUUUAAUUUAUUUCAAAAAUAUUUUAUAUCUCUCCACUAUUUUCUUUUAUUCCAAAAAUAUCUUACACCUCCCCAUUAUUCUUAACAAUCUUUCCCUUUCUCUCUCUAUAUUAAUGGAGCAUUUAAUAUGGUGAGAGCUAUCAAAAUGAGUAAUCUGGUCCGGCCCACCACGGGCUAUCAAAAUGAGUAAUCUGGUUCGGCCCAUCACGGGUGGUUACUUAGUAAGCUAACUCAACUCAGCUCAUUUAUUAGUGAGCCAGAAAAAUUCGAACUCGGCUAUUGGUGGAUAAACGGGUUGACUCACUCACUCAUUUAAUUAAAUUUUUUUUUCAAAUAAAAAAAUUAUAAAUUUUCUAUAAUUCAAAUUUAAAUAAAUUUCACUCCCAAAUUUUACUUCCAACAUGGAUGUUUACUUAAUUUUUAAAAUAAGAAACUUAAAUAAUUUUUUCAAACAAAAAAAAUAAUAAAUAUCUUUUCAUAAAAUUAAAAUUAAAUUUUAAUAAAAUAAAAUUAGGUAGGUGGGUUGGUGGGCCGGUGGCCCACCACAGAUUCAACCCGUAUAAAAAAAGUACAAUUUUCUCAAACCUAACCCGACUCGAAUCCGUAGUGAGCCGGAUUGACCCACAAAUUAUGACUCAUGUUGACAGGUCUAAGUAUAGUAUACUAAGAAUUUGAGAAUAAAUGUAAAAACAAAUAUUGAAUUAUAUGAGAACAUUAAUAAAUGAUUUUCAUCUUUAAAAAUGUAAAAUUUAAACUUUGAAAUAUAUAAACGAGGAAGAAGAAGGAAUGAAAUCUAAUGAAAUGUAUGACGAUAUCAAACUUAUCUGUGUAAAAAUAUAUUCCAAUGGUUGCCAUGCAUGCGGAUCUUUUACUGAUAAAAUAACUUAAAAAGAUUAAAAACUUUCUUUCCGCUAUAGAAUGAAAGGGUGCAAAAAGUAUUCCCAGGACAGUGGAUCAUAUUUUCAUUACCAUUUUUUAUGAUCAAUUUGUCCCUAUUUUGUUGACCAUUCAACCUAUCAUAGCUUUAAUUUGUUGUUGAUUUCAGAUUUUUCUAUAAUAUGUAGUUGCUUAAAUGGAUUGCUUAUUUUAGUUAAAUUUAUCAUUUUGCUUUAACUUGUUGAUAAGUUGAGAUGGUUUUAUUAUAUACAGUUGUAAUUUUAAUUCAUAAAAUUAUUCUAAUUUUAUUAUUAUUAAAACGAGUAUUUCUUUUAAAUUUUAGAUCUUGUAAUUAAUCUCAUAUAUUUAUAUUUAGAAUACUUUAUUACUAAUUGCUCUUUUUUAAAAUAUAAAAAUAGAUAAUAACAUUCUUUAUACAAAUUAUCAAACUUAUAUAAAUAAUGUUAUGCAUAUGAUUUUAUGAAAAAAAAGUUCAAACCAUGAUAAAAUUCAAUAGGACCUUCGUUUUUUUUUUGGUUUAAAUUCUUUUUUGUCUCUAAUUUAAGUGUUGAUGUUCAGUUUAGUCUCCGCUUUUAAAAAUGUCAACCUUUGGUUCCUAUGAUAUGAAAAAUGUAUCAAAUUAGUCCUAUCCGUUAAUGGUGUUAAAAAAAUAAAAGUUGAAGUGACUGUGCAUGGCAGGUGUCUAAGAAUCGUUGAAGUUUCAUUUACUUGGCAUAAAAUUAGUUGAUGUGGCAGGCAGAGGUGUAAUUGGUAAAAUAAAUUGAUUAAGUUACUAAACCAAUUUUGAAUUCUCUAGUUUUUGUAGGUGCUUUGUGGUGCUGGUUCGUGAAGAGAAGAUGACGUGAGGGUCUCGUGGUGGUUGUCGGAAGGUUCUGCGAUUUUUAUGGUGGCCACUGGUGCGUCAUGGUAGUUGACGGCAAGGACUGUUGGAAAUGAGGGAGCUAGGGUUAUGAUGUUACACACUUUGUCUACUCAACUAAGUUCAAUCCGAACCAACCAGGAUCCACUAUGACAUCCUCGGACCACCAUGAUUCCUCUCCACAACCAAGCAAGGAACCCAGAGCCAAUGCCAUCAAGUCUAAAACGAGUCCAAACCGGUGUCUGCAAGCCACUUUUAAGAUGGAAACCACCACAAAUAAUCCCAAACCCCAAUCGAAAACGCAACCAAAUCAAGAAACAAGAUUUCCCAAACCAGAAUUUCCAUUUAGCAAUUUCAGAAACCCUAUGCCCCAAAAGUUUCAUUUCAUAACCAUCAAGAAUCACAGUCGUGAAUAUAAGAGGUAAAAAGGAAACCUGAAAUCGUAGCUCGGAAUCCUAAUCCUAAAUCAAAACCCUUGCCGCAUCGUCGUCGGAAAAUCAAUCACGCCACUGCAACACUCACCUCGCCACGAGAAGGGAGGACACGUCCUACCAACCGAAAUUCAUAUCCCCUCCCUGCAAAAUCCCAUGCGGAACCAAGAAAAAGAUAAAGAAGAGGGUAACGCCUACUCUCUCUGCAAAACGAAGUCGCACCAGGUCGAAAGGAGGAACGAAAACCUCCUAGCCAUAGUUCACUGCGCGAUAGCGAACCUCGCCUGAAACGCGCCUUCGUGGCAUCAUCGCCAUGCCGUCACCACGUCCCUGGAUAAUCCUCCAAGUUCGUUUGUCAAUUGUUAUAUUCAACACCCAUGAUGAAGAGAAAAGGAAAAAGCUUGAAGCUUCUGAUUAAUGAAUCAAAACAAAAGUUGUUCAUGUUCUUGAUCUGUUCAAUAUUCUUGAGCUUUGCUUUUUCAAGAUUUCAGAAUUUAGUUCUGUUUUUCUUUUUUAAUUUCAUUUAUAUGCAUUUUUUUUUAGUUUAAAAUAACUUAAUCAAUUUAUUUGACCAAUUACACUUUUAUCUACCACAUCAACUAAUUUAAUGCCAAGUAAAUGAUACGUCAACGAUUUUUAGACACCUGCCAUGCACAGUCACUUUAACGUUAAUUUUUUUUAACACCGUUAAUGGAUAAGAUUAAUUUGAUACAUUUUUCAUAUCAUAGGGACCAAAGAUUGACAUUUUUAAAAGCUACUAAUUUGAUACAUUUUUCAUAUCAUAGGGACCAAAGGUUUACAUUUUUAAAAACGAAAACUAAAUUGAAGAUCAGCAGUUAGGGAAAAAAAUGAUUUAAAACUUUUUUUUUUUCAUGUUUCAUGGUGUUGUGUCUAGUGAGCAGAGAAAAAAAUUGAAUUUUCUUUUGCUGUGCUGCAUAGCGGAUGCAUAGACUGGCCACGUUGGAUGGGAUUUUACAGUUUUCAUUAUUAUAGGUAGGUCAAACACAAUUUAAUUUAAUUGUUAGAUUUAUAUUUUUAUUUUUAUAAUCCAAUUAAUUUAAUCCAAUCCAAUCUAAUUAAUUGAAUUAGGUAAGUUAAGUCAUUGAAUUGAGUGCCUCAAAAACUAAUUAUUUAUACUUCAAAAUAAAUAUUUAUAAUAUUUUUUAAUAAUUAUAAACUAACACAUCAUUUAAAACAUCCAUAGAUAAUAUAUACAUGAUAAAAUAUAUCAUUUUAUACUAAAAUUAUAUAUAUAUAUAUAUAUAUAUAUAUAUAUAUAUAUAUAUUAUAUAGAUAGAUAGAUAAUAGCUUUUAUUGGAUUAUAGAGUUUAAAAUUCACAAAGCCGUUAUCAAACAUAAUUGUAGUUUGGGUGCCCUAAAAUAAAAUUGACAUUUAUAUUUAAAUUUACAUUAUUUAUAUAUAAAAUGUAAUCUUAUUGAGUUAUAGACUUGCUGAUUGAACACAACCAGCUUAUAUAGUGAUUAUAAUUGGAGUAUUUGAUUUUUUUAGUAAUUUGUGUUGACAAUUUAAAUAUUUAAAUAUAUAUAUAUAUAUAUAUAUAUAUAUAUAUUAUUUUAUGAGUCACCAAAAUAAAACUUUAAUUUUAAUCGGUAAAGACACAAAUAAUCUCUAUGUACAGAAUUACCCAUAAAUUCUGCGUGCAAUUUAACAAGUCCGAAGAAGAAAUACAGGAACAAGAAAGGGAAAAUAUAAUAUAGAAAAUAAAGAGGAAAUAAAUAAAUAAACAAAUAAUUGUAAGUAUAAUUUCUGGUCAUGCGAGGUAGUUAUUGUUUCUUUGAAAAGUUGGUUUCUUCUUUAAAGUCCGUCUCUUUAAUAGAUCUAAUUACAGCAACGACAAUUUCGGACAAUGCAAAUGAGUUGCCGACAACAUAGGAUGUUGCUAAUUUUUUCAGAAAUAUUUACGAAAAAAAAUAUAAAAUAAAUGUAUAAGUUAAAUUUCAGAGUUCUGUUAUUUAUUUAACAUAUUUCAUUUAUCGCCCGUAAUAAACUUUUAAGCGAUAAUAAUGCUUUGUUCUAUUUAUAAGCAUGGAAGCAGGGUGUUAUACUUCAACAAUGGAAGAUUUCACUUUCAACAACCCUCAUGACAUGUGCAGAGUGAUCACAAGUUGAGACAGCAUGUGACUCGUGGCACCUAUUUUAUUUUAUUUUUAUUUUUAUUUGUCUUCUCACAGACUAUAAAUAAAUAAAAUAAUAUCAUCUUUAAAUCGUGCUCACAAUUAGAAUUAUAAUAAUGCAUAUACUUCAUCCCAAUCUAAAACUCUAAUACACUAUCUAAAAACUCUAUUUAAGGAAAUAAAUUUUAAUUAUAAAAAAUAAAACAAUUUAUAUUGAAUUACAAAUUAUGAGAUUCAUACUAAAUCCAUUCCAGUGAUGAAACUCGAAUUUGACUUUCCAAGUGUCAUGCAGUGAUACGUUUGGGACAGGUGUGUCCAUUAAGCAAUUAACGCUCAACAGGUGACUCCAGACAUUAUGAUAACGAAAGACAGAGACAGUUUCAUUUUAAAAUUAAAUAACGUGUGAACUUAAUUGUGAGAAUGAAUAUAAGAAAUGGAUAAAGAUAUUUCACUGCUAAAUUCUAACAAAUCUUUUUUGCCAUUCUAACAAUUUUUUUUUCAAUCAGAUACGUGUCAUAAAUUAAUUGGUCCAUAUAUUUUAAUUUUUUUAAACAUUAAACAUAUAAACUAAUUGAUUCAUGACACUGAUAUAAAAAAUUUAUUAGAAUUUAGAUGUAAAAAUAUUAUUUCAUAAGAAAUUCAACUAAAGAAGUUUAUUUCUAUUUCUAUGAUAACAAAAAAAUGAGCAAUAACCAAAAUUCAAACAUACUAGUAAGUGGCCGAAACAAAAGGACAGAGAAGGUGUGAAUGAAUUGAAGUUCUUUGACUUUGAAUGGUACGUUAUCCAGUGUUGAUGUGGGCACGCGAGAGUACCUUGGAUCUGAAUCAUGGGUGUAGUCACACCCCAAUCAUAUGAUCACAUAUUCAAAUAAAAAAAUUAGAAGUCUACUCUUCAAUUUGGUCGUUAUUUCGUUGGGACCAUUCUUUCCGUGUGACAUGAGUGUGAUCCAUAAAGCAUUCUUCAACUGUGUAUAUAAUAAAAGAUGAAACGGUUGUAAUACUGUUUUCAGCGCGCAUCACUCAUCCUUUCCCUGUUCUCUCUCUCUUUGUUGUUCUCUUCUCUCUAGAAGAUGGACCAGUCUCUGCUGAGAGGCGAAAGCAGUGGCUUCGGCUCCCGCCGGCGAGGACUGUUCCGGCGUUCCGACGCUAUAACCUACGGUUCCAACUACGAGAAAGCCGCUGCGCUCAUCGAUCUGGUUCGUUUAACUCUUUCAUGUUUCGUUUAUUCGUUGUUUGGAAAUCUAUUUCAGUGAACUCAGUGAUGUUCGUCUUUGGUUCUAUUUUACGUUUACUGCGAACUGUGGAUUUUUGUGCAUUGAUUCAGCUUUUAACCGUUGUGCUUUGCAAUAGCGAGCUAAUUAGUGUCGCGCAUUGUGUUGGAGUUAAUUAUUGAACAUAUGUAGGUAGAUCUUGUCAUCGAUGGCUUGUUACGGACUCUUAAGAAUAGUCGAUUGAAUCUGUUCUGGCGGUAAUGAAUUUUGUUAUCAUGUUUGAAGUUGCAUUGCAUCGUCUCUUAAGCUGUUCAGCAUCGUUCAAGUUUUGAAAGUCUUGAAUUGUAGGGGGAAUUGUUCUGUAUGUUGUGGGAAAGUUGUCACUGAUGUUCGGUUUUGGUAAAGCGAGAAUUACAGAAUUGCGAAGUGCAGAGACAAAUAGUUGUAGAUAUAAAAAAAACAAACACGGAGAGGGUGACGAAAUAUUUCGAAGUAAAUAAAUUUGAAAAAAGAGAGGUGUUUUUGUGUGGUACUUAAGCCUUGAUGUUCUACCUGCUGAUAGAAUGGUCUCUUUGGGUUGAACUCUUUGUUGUGUUUAAGUUCUAUCAGUUGGUGCUUUCAUUAAGUGUUGAGUUAUGGAAAAGAUUAUCUAUAAGAUGUAUAGAGGAGCAAGUUGAAUUUAGAAAAAUGAGUUAAACUAUCUUAAAGAGAAAAGGAUUUCUACCGGAUCAAUAUAAAUAGAGUGGAAGUCAUUGUGAUUGUUGGUUCUUAAAAGAAGUGACAAUGUUAAGAGUCCCACAUUGUUAGGAACUACUUGAUGAGGUACUUAAACCUUAAAACUCUUUUACCUGAUGGGUUAAUCUUUUGGAUUAGACUCUUCUCUUGUGCUGAUAUUAAGAUUCUGAAUAGUAUUUCGGUAUAAAACAAUCAGGACCACCAAAUUCUCUUUCUAGGUCUCUGACUUCAAGUUUGCUCGGUGAGUCAAGUCAGUAGGUUAAGACUGCUAGGUGUGUCAUGUUAAUAUAUUAAGGGAGAAAAAUGUUUAUAAACUACUCUUUAUCUUGAUUUUCUACAUGAAAUCGGAUUUUUUACCAUACCAGAACGGUGGUCUUCUGUCAAAGCUAAGGACUAGAGGGCCUUACUACCAACCUAUGUAGUAGCCUUGACUCGUUUUAGGACCAGUAUUCUAACCUCAAUAGCCUUGACUCGUUUUAGGACCAGUAUUCUAAUACUCAAUGGCCUUGACAGACCAAUAAUUUUUUUUUUAAAAUAUAUUUCUACUAACCUCCCCUUUACAUUGAUAUGUAUUUAUUGAUGGACUUUCUUUCGGGUCAUUAAUUGCUUGUUAUUCUUGUUGGAAAUUCUUUAUGCAGGCUGAAGAUGGUGUCGGUCUCCCUGAACAAAUUCUUGAUUCAUCAAACUUCCAAAAUUAUGCAAGAUUUUAUUUUAUAUUUAUUAAAUUCAAUCUCAUAUGGUCUCUUAGUUAUUUUGCUUUGAUAGUCCUGAAUUUCCUGGAGGUAAGCAGUGACAAGCUCCUUAUGAACUCUAGUUCCAGUUAUAUGUAUUUGAGGCUUUCAUACCAAAGAAAAUAUGAUGGAAAGAAGAUAUUUCAUUAUGUACUUUACUUGGAACAGAAACCUCUGUGGUGUAAAAAACUCGCCACACAUUCCUGCAACGAUAGAGAGUAUUUCUAUUUGGGUCAGUUGCCGUAUCUUACUGAUGCAGAAUGUCUUAUUUAUGAGGUAAGAGUUCAGUACUUCAGACACUGUUACUUUUAUUGGGCAAAUCAGCGAGCCUUUUAGUUGUUGUCACUUUGAAAAUGGUGAUUACCUUAGUUAAUAUUUGUCAUUUCCACGUUGAAGUUAAGUUAUUUAUUCAGCUACACUUCGAAACUAAAGUGAAACAACUAAUACUACCUGUCUAUGUGAUUCUAUUAUUUCCUUAAUGUCUCUUAGGAAUGUGUUACUGUUGAGCUAGAAAUUUAGAUUGAUAAAGCAAGUGCGGGCUCUAUCCCUUCACUGUAUACCUACAUCACUUUGUUGCUUUUUUGUUUUUAUUUUAUUUAUGCAUAUCUGCUGAGAGUCACCUUUUCCUUUGGUAGUGCUUACUUCCAUAGGAUUUUUAUUAGUGAGUUACGAAAAAGUUUUCACAUCUUUUAUCCAAUUUGGUUUAAUAUGUAUUUUUCCCUUCCUUUUAAAGUUUCUAAUCCUCCAAGAGUACAUGCUAUAUUUUCUUUCUAAUAAUUUUUCUUCUCUUAUUGAAAAAAUGGGAGUGUCUUAUACUGUAAGAUGGUAUGGAGAUAUUAGUUUAUUUGUGAAGCUGUUGAAGUGUCCUUGUAUUCAUUUCUCAACUAUCUGUACAUUUUUUUUUUCUUACACAGCCUUUUCUAUGUAAUACAGGCAAUAGCUCUUCUUGUGCUAAUCAUACAUACUUUCUUCCCAUUGUGGUACGAAGGAUCUCGUAUAUAUUGGAAAAGUACUUUUAAUCAAUUGAAGGUAUGUUGCUUCAAGAUCCUACUAAAGAAUAUAAUAUGGUAGAAGACAACAAAACUUUAUUAGCUAUAAUGUUGCUUUAGAGGACCAACUUUUGAACAAAGAAUUGAAAAUAAGAAUGAUUUUAUUAUUCUCAAUCAUGUAAAUUACAUUCUCAUUUCCUCUAUUUGUAACCAUCUAAUCUUCUAAAAUAGGGAAAUAGGGAAAUAGGGAAAAAAAAAUCUAGAAGAUUACACAUCUAUUUUCUCUAAUUAGGAAGAUCUAUAGAUAUGUUCUUUAAUUAAGAAGAUAUUUUCUCUAAUUACAACACUCCCCCUUAAGUUGGUAAAUGAAUAUCAAUCAUUCCCAACUUGCCUACAAGAUCUUGAAAUCCACCCGGAAGGAGCCCUUUUAUAAAAAUAUCUGUUAUUUGAAAUUCUGUAGGAACAUGAGUUGUAAUCACAAAGCCUCUAUCUAGAUUAUCUUUGAUGAAAUGUCUGUCAAUCUCAAUGUGUUUGGUCUUGUCAUGUUGUACUGGAUUAUGGACUAUGCUCAUGGAAGACUUAUUGUCACAAUGUAGUUACAUAGGGUUAUCCAUCUCGACUUUAAGAUCAUCCAAAAUGAUUUUCACAGUGUAGAACGAGAUACUUUAUCUUGUUUUUUGCUUCUCCAUGUUAUCAAACUAUCUCCAAGAAACAUACAAUACUCAGAUGUAGAUUUUAUGUCAGUAAUAGAACCUGCAUAGUCAGCAUCAGUAUAUAUUUUCAUAGUCAAUGUGUCUUUCCUUUUGAAUAUUAGCCCCUUCCUGGACUUGACUUCAAGUAUUGGAGAAUUUUGUCAACUUCUUGCAUGUGUUUCUCUCUUGGAUCAUGCAUAAAUUGACUCAUUACACUAACUGCAUAAGCAAUGUCUGGUCUUGUGUGUGAUAGAUAAAUCAAUUUUCCUACCAAUCUGUGAUAUUGGGCCUUCUCUACAGGAGCACUUUCCUCACUUCCAAUUCUGUGAUUCUGUUCUAUAGGAACUGUUGAGGUAGGAAUUUCUGUGACAUCAAUGGCAGCAAUAAAGCUUUUGUCCUUGUUAGAGAGAUUAUUAGUGCAAACAUACUGAGAAAUAGGAAAUUUAACAUAUGAUCUUCUUUCUUUUUUCAUUGUGAUGGGUAAAUCCUCAGUAAUAUUUACCUCCGCACUGAUAUCUUCAGGGAUCCUCACCUCUGGAUUAGACAAUUUUUCUCGCUCUAGGGUCAGAGUGGGUUGUUUUCUUCUUUCAUAUUUUUUGCCAAAAAAUUUGUCUUCUUCCUCACUGUGGACUAUGGUAGCUUCAUUGCUCAGAUCUUGGGCAUCUUGCAAAGAAAAACAUGGUAAUGACAAGAAGGAGAGUUCAUCCACUUCAAGUGCUUUCUCUCCCUGAAGUGGUGGACUGACAUUAAAGGGUUCUGUUUCAUGAAAGGUGACAUCCAUGGUGAUAAAGACACGAUGACUCUGAGGAUGAUAACAUUUGUACCUUUUUUUAUUAGAGGGAUACUCAAUAAAGACAAAUUUAAGAGCUCUGGGAUCUAAUUUACUACGAUUAGGAGGAUAAGAGUGAACAAAACAACACAUCUAAGGACUCAACUAGGUAGACUCGUCAUUAAAAGAGAAGAAAGAACAAAAGACAAUAGAGACUCUAUAGGAUUAAUGUCAUUUAAGAUACGAGUGAGUAACCUGUUGAUGAGAUAUCUUGCAGUUAACACAACUUCUCCGCAGUAAUGUUUUGGAACAUACAUUUGGAAAAGAAGAGCUCUAGUUACUUUAAGAAGAUGACGAUUCUUUCUUUCUGCAACCCAAUUUUGUUGAGGGGUUUUACAUAUGUUAUUUCAUGAACAAUACCAUUAUGAGACAAAAAAUUGAGAAAUUCAUGAUUAACAUAUUCAGUACCAUUAUCAGACCUGAUUCUUUUGGUAUUUUUUCCAAAUUGAUUUUGGACAGGAAGGGAAAAAUUAACAAAGAUUUUAGAAACUUCUGAUUUAUUUGUCAUAAGGUAUGUUCACGUGACAUGGGUACAAUCGUCAAUAAAGAUAACGAACCAUUUGGCUCUGGAAUUAGAUUCUAUGAUAGGACUCCAAACAUCAAAUUGAAUUAAAUCAAAUGGAGAAGUACUCGUUUUAUUACUAAUAGGAUAAGAUGCACGAUGGUGUUUUGACAACUGACAAAUAUCACAAUUUAAAGACUCAACAGACUCCUUGGUAAACAAAUGGGGAAAUAAGGACUUGAUAAGAUUAAAUGAAGGAUGCUCAAGCCUUUGAUGAUGUAACCAUAUUUGGGAAUUCGCCCACGUCUUCGAUGUAGCUUGUUGACUCAUGUUUUUUGUGUUUCUUUGGUCUUUAGACUCCAAAAGAUACAACCCACUCUGUUCCUUAGCAGUUAAAAUCGUCUUCCCCAUGGCAAGGUCAUGAAAAGCACGAUAAGUUGGGAAAAAUGUUACCAAACAAUUUAAAUCCUUUGUGAGUUUUUGCAUUGAGAAAAGACUAUUAGCUAAUUGAGCAACAUGUAAAACAUCCUCCAAUACAAUAGAUGAGUCCAAAAUUAUAAGGCCAAAUUAAUGGGUAAUAGGCACAACCAAAUACUUUAAGAAAAGUGUAAUUUGGAGAUUUGUGAAAAAAAAAUUUGUAAGAGGAAAUAUUUUUUAAAAUAGAUGUAGGUAACAUAAUAAUAUGAACAAAACUAAUGAAAGCUUCACCCCAAAUUUUUCUAGGUAAAGAAGUUCUUGUAACAAGAGACAAGCUAGUAUCAACAACAUGCCUAUGUUUUCUUUCAGUAGAACCAUUUUGUUGAUGUGUGUGUGGGCAGAUAAGCUUAUGUCUAUUACCGUGUUUAUUGAGAUAUGUGGCAAGACAUAAAAAUUCUUUAGCACUAUCAGUUAGAAUGGCCUUUAAUUUGUGAUUUUUUUUUUUUUUUAAUUUUCAGCAAAAGUUUUUAAAAGAACAAAAAUAAACCGAGACUUGAGAUUUUGAGUGAAGAAGAUAUAUCCAAGUAAAUUUAGAAUAAAAAUUAAGAAAGCUAUGUAAUACUUUGCAACAAUUGUACUAGACAUGGGAUCAUGAUAAGAGUUCACCCUGUUGAUUUUUUAUAGAACAAGUUGUUAUUAGUGUUUAAGUGGAUUAAGAAAACUCCAAGAAGAUCCCCGUUGGACAUUAAGAUAACUAGGUUAUCUAGUUGUGAAGGUUCACUUCAUAGGAGUUCAUAAGAAAGAAGAAAGUAUGAUUUCAAGUUAUUAAAUGGAAGAACAAAGUAAUGAACAAAGAACAACAUAAGAAAGUAAAUAUAAGCUAGAAAAUGAAGCAAGAAGAUGAAAAGAAGAGGAAUGGAAGAAAAAGGGGAGUGAAGCACGCCACUUGUGGGAUGGGCCAACCCAAGAUGAGUUGUGGUGCCACCACUUGGUGAGACAAGGGGAGCUUAAGAACACUAAAAGGAGCACUCUCUCAACUCUCACAAAUGAUUGAAACACAAUGACUUUUCUAAUUAAGUGAUCAACUCCCUUACAAGUGGCAGAGACAUGCUUUUAAAUAGGUAAAGGGAGGGUGGGAGAAGUGGGUUCAACUCUUCCUACUAAUAUUUGGGAGAUAUAAGGUUGGUUUUAAGGGUUUGGAAGGGAGGGUGGGAGAGGCUGUGGGUUUAACUCCUCCCACUAACAAAAACUAACAACUAACAUUUUCUGAUAAAAGAGAAAGGUAAAGAGAGGAACCUCUUAGCAAAUACAAAAAGGUAGGGUCUCCCUAACAUUUACACAAAGAAUCUUUCUAGAACUUAGGGCAGCGCAAUAAGUGAAAAUAGGUGGCACCAUGGGAGAAAAGUCAACCCAUCACUACCUUUUCAAAAAGUAAAUUUUGUCACUAUGUAGGGAUGAAUCCAAG